AGGGCCCAGGUAAGCUUAAGGCCCCCGAGAUUCGUAGUAAGCCUAAACCAGACAAUUCAAUUACAUCAAAUGGAUCCUAAGAACAGCAAGUCCAUAUUAUUUUAUAUAUAAGUCAAGGAAUCACAUAUCACUGCCCCAAUUUCAACAUCUCAAAUUAAUUCUUUAAAUUCUUACUUAAGUAAGUCAUUUGUCUAAUCCGAUCUUUUCCUUUGUAUAGGUAUUUUAUCUAGAUCGUCAGAGUUUGUCUACCGGUCCUGUUAGCCAAAAUCCACAAUAAAGCUUGUUCUCCCCUCUAUCACUAUGAGUAAUAAUAAGUGCAUAUUAUCAUUUUCAUGCAUUUAUUAUUUACUUUAUAAAGAAAUAUAUGAAUGAUAACUUAACAUUUAUUUUUUGAUAUUACUAUGUCAUUAUCAAUACAUGAUUAUAUUUGUAUAUUUAUUUACAUCAUAUUUAUAUCUUUUUAUGUUUGCAUGUUAAUUAUUGAUUUGAUGUAUUAUACUAAAUGAAUUGUUUGAUUAUUUGAAUUGUGACAUGGUAGUGCCUUGUUUGUGUGGAAUUGGGAUGAAGUGAGUCACCAUGGGUUUGCGAUAGUGGUUUACGAUACCGUCGGCCAUGAAUGAGGAGAUCGCGCUCCCAUGUGCAUCUGAUGAUAUAUGAUAUGGAAAACCACAAGGUAGCUACCUAUUGGUAUGGAAAAGAGAGUAUAAAAAAAAUGAGAGGGUUGGUUAAGUGAGGAUUAGACCGGUCGGCCAUGUAUGGGAGAUCGGUUCCUUAGUGCACACGUUUGAGAAGGCGGGCCAUGUGUGAGGACGGCUCGUCAGAGGUUUCGAUGAUGCCACUGACCAAUUUCCACUUGUUUGAUUAUUUGAAAGUGUAAUUACUUGUGGGUACUGAUGUUAUGCCAUAUGCUUGAUUAGUUGUGUGUUCAUUUUAGUAUUUUAGGAAGUAUUUCGGAUGAAUUCCAGUGUUAUGCAUUAUUUCUUAUUAUUCACUAAGUUGCGAAAUUCACUCCUCUUCAAUUUAACUUUUCAGGAAGUAGAAUCUCCGCUGAUUCAGCUAAAGCUCUAAAUCCUUCCCCGCAGAGCUACUGAAGUAAAUUUCUAAUGUCAGUAGUUACUUAAAAUUAUGUAUCUUUAUAUAUAAAGACUCUAUUAUUUCUAAUUAUUAUUGAACUCCGCAGUUGUAAGACUUAAAUGUCUUUAAUAGCGUAAAUGGGCAUACUAACCCAUGAACUUAUGGAUAUUUUAAUUAUUUAUCUAGGUGCAUGUAUUAACCAAUUAGCCCAUAUUAUGAAUGAUGUGUGUUGUAAAUAGACCCGAGUCAUGAAUUAAUUUGAGAUGUUGAAAUUGGGGCAGAGAUAUGUGAUUACUUGACUUAUAUAUAAAAUGAUAUGGGUUUGUUGUUCUUAGGAUCCGUUUGAUGUAAUUGAAUUGUGUGGUUUAGGCUUACUAUGGGUUUCGGGAGCCUUAAGUUUACCUGAACCCUAGUGUUGGUCCGGCCUAUGAUUUUGGAUUGUGACACUUUUCUUUGAAACCGAAUCAAAACUAAAAUAAGUUCAAAAAUUGAACCAAACAUAUUGAUUCGGUUCAGCAAACAUCAGUUUGGUCAACAAUUCAAUUUUACUAGAAAAUAAGUGUUUUAUAGUAUCUAAUUCAAAGGCCGAAAAUCAAAAUGAUGGAAUAUUGGAAACUGAAAACUGUAUAACCAAAAAUAAUUCAGUUUUUUCCAAAGUUUGCUCACCCGUGCAAAUAGGAGCCCAAGGAGUAGUACCAUGGAGAUUGUGAAAGGCUUUUUGCCAAAUAAACAAUCUGAAAGUUGAAACUUUCUGGUUCUCUUCAUGUUUUUUCUUAUUGUCUAAUUGUAACAUGUAAAGGAACAUUUCAUGUUGAUCCAUUGAAAUUAAUGUACUAAACAAAUAAAUGUACUAAAAUCUUUAGACCCAAGAAUCCAAAUCUUGCAUUGGCAACAACACAGUAGCACUUCCAUUCAAACAACCCAGCUUUUAUUCAUAUAUAUGGUUAUACAUGAGGGAGUAAGACUCCACUUUAACAAACGUAAUCACUCUAAUUUAUAUAUUACAUAUCCAUAACACACUUAAUCCUUAUUACUCCGUGUAUUACAGAGAUACUACAUUGCACAGAAACGGAAACGAGGAAAUAUGAAAAACGAUGAGGGAAAAACAAUUUUAACGGAAAACCAGUAUUUUAUAUGUGGAAAUUGACACGCUGAAACGUUUAUGAAAUGGCCAUGGCUAAAAAUUUCUAUGCAUCAUAGCAGACAUAUAAAUGCAUAUAUGUGUGUGUGUACGGCACUCUCUCUCUCUUAUGAUCAUUUAGAAGAGAACUUGACAGCUUCAAUGCGAGCUUUGAUAAAAGUAAUAUGUUUGUCCCUUGGAGGCAGGCAUCCAUGAACGACAUCAAUUUUAUGGAGCUUUUCCAACCAUUUGCAGAAAAUUGGAUGCUUCUUUUCAGUGAUGAAUUCUAUCUCCAGAACUUCUUGGUGCACUUGAAGCCAAUGACAUGUAAAAAAUGCAACAAUGUCCAGAUACCCAAUUUCAAUUCCUCCAAAGAAUUCUUUUUCUUUUUCUUUCAACUCAUUCUCUAGCAAUUUGAGGUGUCCAUGAACUUCUUCAAUUAUCUUUUGUUUCUCCUCCUCCAAGGCAGAGACAAACUUUCUUGCUGUUUCUUGGAUCUGCAAAUACAUGUAUACAUUAAUUGUCAAUUCUAGUGAGAACAAAAUUAAUUCAACCCAGACUACUAAAACUAUUAAUGUAUAGUGUUGUAAAUGAGACAAGCCGCUCGUGAGCUGUUCGAGGCUCGGCUCUAUAAAAGCUUGCUCAAGCUCGAGCUCAAGUCAUAUUUAGCUCGCGAGCUUGCUCAUGAGCCAGCUAUAUCGAGCCGAUUCGAGCUCUCUAGCUAGCUCAAUAAUCCAAAAUCAAUUAAAACCUACAUUAAAUUGACUCUGUUUUAAUUUAAUAGAUUUCGAGCUCAAGUUUAACUACUUUUAAAGGAGCCGAGCUCGAGCUCACCAAAGUUCUCUCAGCAUGGCUCAUUUACAGCCCUUUAAUAGUAAUGAAGCUUACCUUUUCCUCUACGAACUUAGCCCAGAAACGAGCAGUGGCUCUAUGAUAAGGCUCUUUAGGUAGGAUAUGAUGAUGGUGUUUCCAGGUCUCAUCAAUAUACUCAAGAAUGACAAGUGAUUCUGCGAUUGGUUUUCCUUUAUGUAUAAGCACGGGAACCUUUUGAUGAACUGGGUUAUACUUAAGAAGCAAAGGACUCUUGUUGAAGAUAUCUUCCUCUAUAUACUCAUAUUUGACUCCUUUUAUUUUGAGAGCUAGUUCUACUCUGCGAGUGUAAGGACUAGCCCAAGUUCCAAUUAGCUUCACUUCUUCAUCUGCCAUUUUUGAGUUGUGUGAAUUUUGGUUGAGCUUCUCUUUAAUACGAGAGACAUAUAUAUAGUGAGUGAGAGUUUCUUAACAUGCAAGUUUGGAACAUAGGAAUCAUAUAGUUCCAACUUGCUAGAAAUCAAAGUUUAGUAUUAGGAAUGUCAUUGAUGACCACAUUGUUUAAUAUUUCAAGGAAUAAUCUAUUUUUUAACUAAUUACUCCAGGCACAUUGGAAAGUGGUUCCAUGAGGUACAUAGUAGUUAAUAUAUAGUAUAUUGUAAUAUUAAGAUUUAUAUAAAUCAUGUUUGAAUAAUGAAUCACCAAAUUCAAUUAAAUAAACAUUGCAUUUUUUUUUCAUAUUUAGGAAAAAAAAAUUUGCUGUUUUAGUUUAUUAAAUUUCUUUUUAAUUGUUAAGAAUUAACAAUUGUAAAUUUAAUGAGCUUUUUAACUAGAAUUAAUUAAGAGAUGUUCCUCCACCCUUUUGGUGUUUGACAAAUUUCCUUCGAUUGUACAGCGUAAUGAUUUUUUGCAUGAUUUUUCUUUUUCGGUUAUUUAUUUAUUUGUUGUGAAACUUAAUAUUAUGAACUAUUAAUUUGGUGAGUCAAAUUAGUAAAAACUCGUGGUUGAGAAGAGUCAAACUUGAAAUCUUACUCUCCCCACGUAAAAAAGACUAAUAAAUAUCCUUCAACCCCUUUAAAUUUUCAGCACUUAUUUAAAUAUCCCAAUUAAAUUAAAAAAUUUGUUGAAAAUAAUAAGCUAAUAAUUGCAAUUUAAAAUUUAUACCGAAUGCGAUAACUCAAUAUGAUUUCUGUUUAUAAACCUGUUGGACGAUAACUCUUUAUAUAUUUUUUAGUGUUUUGAUUAAGUCAAAAUGCUACUUUUAUUAUUUAUAUUUGGUAGCUUAGUGUUUAUAUUGAUGUUUAAAAUUUGAGAAAGCCGACCAUGAAAUGAUAAUAUUUUUUACAUUAAUUAUGAAUUAAUAGCUAACUUUAAUAUGAUAAAAUGCACUUGCAUCAACUUUAAUAUGGCUAAUUUAAACAAAAAAAAAAAAAAGAAAAAAAAAAUCAAUCGUAAAGAGUUUUACCUCUGCAGAUAAUUAUAGUGGGGUGGUUCAACUGAAAAAACUAAUGAAGUAGUUGCUGUUACGUCACACUUUAAAUUAAACAAAAAUAGAGUCGGCUUUGUUAUCCAUCAUCCAGAUCGUCAUGCCUUACAAUUAAUCGUUUAAUCAACUUGAAUUAUCCAUUUUACCCUUAAUUCAAUUGUAAAUUUUCUUCUAAAGCCUUGUAUAUGUCACAAGUUAUCUGUUGGCGGCUGCAGUGGUCAAAGGCGAGUAUUCCGUCGAUUUAAAUAAAAUUUUAACCGAAAUAAAUUAAUUGAAAUUUUUUUUCACUUAAUCGAAUUAAUUUUGAUCAUUAACUAAAUGGAAAGUAAAGAAAUUGAAAACUUAAUUAACCGACUAAAUUUAGUAGAAAAUUUAUGAUUAACCGACUUUAACCGAAAUAAAAUUAACCAAAGUUAUUAAUCACUAUUUAAUUAAAAUAAAAAUCGAAAAUAUUUUAUUAUUUACUUAAUCAAAACGACAUAGUUUUGAGAGUCAAUUGAUUUGUUUAAUUCGGUUAAAUUAAUUUUUAACUGAUCACCGAAAUUUUAAUUUUCUUUAAUUGAACUUUUAAUCGAAUAUUUAUUCACCGAAUCAAUUUAACCGAAUUAACUGAAUUAAUCGAAUUAACCGAAUUGGUCGAACUGUAAAUAUGAAAUCCAUAACCGAAUUGGUUAAGAGAGAGAGAGAGAGAGAGACUUGAGUCCAAUAUAAAUAAACUAUGGGCUUGUUUUGACAAUAUGAAGUCCAUAACCCAAAAACUGUGUCGUUUGGCAGGCCAUAGCUUAAUUUAAGACCAGCAAACAAAAACAGCUGCAGCUACCAGAUGGAGACCCAUUGGUUUCUUUUUAAUUUAUUGAAAAGUAAAUAUCUGCUGCUGCUUCUCUACCGUUGCACUUGAAUUUGCCGCCCGUUGUUUUCCUUCUUUAUUACUUUCUUCAACCAACUUUUUCUAACACUAUAAAACAACCAUAACCUAACAUUAAACAAACAACCAAAACCCAAACAUUUUUCUUCCUUCUCUUUACUAGAUUAAUUUCAUGGCUUCUCUCAUGCUUUUGUUGUCUGUUCUUCUUCGACCCAAGAACCUUGCGAAACCUGCAGCGGCUUUACCUUCUUCUUCUUUUGCCUCUUCUUUUGCUGCUGCUGGUGCUGGUUCUGUCUCUUCCAAUGCUCAAAAGCCAUUGAUGAAUUAUACGAAGCGAUUUGAUGCGGACAUUGUUGAUGAAGAUGUGCCGGAGCCUAAGUUUAAUAUCGACCUGUCAUGGCCUUGAAGAUCUUCUUUUUUUUUUUAUUAAUUUUGAUUGCAUUUUGAAGAAAUUUGGAAUUUCAUUUGCCGUGGAAAUUCUCUAUCUUGUAAUUGAGUUUAUUUCAUUUUCCAUCCUAAGUUUAGUUUCUUAUGUGUAAAAAGUGCAAAUAUAUGAAAAUUUUAGCCAAUUUGAGCAAAUAUUACAUGAAAAUUUGAACAAAUUUUAAAAUUUAUUAUCUUUCUUGAAUUGUAGUCUGUAACUAUUUGUGUAAUUAAUUGUAUUUUUAUUGUUUUAUUUCAUAUUACGAAUUACUAAAUAUAACUUAUUUCAAAAUAAAAUCUAAUAUAUCUAAUAUCAUAAUAAAAAAAAUUAAAAUGAGAUCAAAUUAAAAAGAAUAAAAUUCCUUUAAAUUGAACUAAAAAAAGAAUGCAUUUUAGGGUCAUAAUAAUUUAGUUUAAAUUAAAAUAAAAAACAAAGCUUUGUUUAUUAGAUUUAAGAUUUUUGUUUGGAAAGAGAGGAAAAAAAAAAUCGAAUAUAUGUGACAUUAAACAAGGUAAUUUUCUCGGUUUAUUCAUAUAUUUUUCUCCAAUUUAGAGAUAUUCUAAUCUUGUUGUCUAAGCAGAAAAAUAAUGCAUAUUUUAUUUCAAUUAAUGUAGAGUAUUCGAACAGAAGAUUUCUCACUCUUCACAUUUUCUGUAAAAUAUAGAAAGACCGACUAUGAGUAAAUAUUGCAUGAAAUGGUUCUUGAGCUAUAACUGUGUGUAAUUAAAUUUAUUCUUAUUGCAUUGUUUUCAUAUCAUGACUUACUAAAUAUACAUAUAACUUAACGCAUAAUAAAAUAGUAAUAUAUAUAACACUUUAAUGAAAAAAUUUAUAUGCGAUCAAACUAAAAAGAAUAAAAAAAAAAUCCUUUGAAUUAAACUACGAAGAGAAUGCAUUUCAGUGUCAUAAUAACUUAUUUUAAAUUGAAAUAAAAAAAGUUAUAUUUUAUGAUUUAAAGUUUUAUUUGGAAAAGAGAGGAAAUAAAAUAAUGCAUGAAGAUAACUCCAACGAGUUGCAACACUGUUUGGAAGAUUACUCGAAACCUUGAGACUAGCAUGGUAUCAAGCAACUCUUGCUAGAGCAUGAGCUGAAUUGUUUGCUUGUCUCUUAAUUCAAGCUACAGAAACAGAGCUGUUUGCAUUAAAUAAACUCUUCCAAUCAUUAAUAAUUGCACCAAACUCAGAGACGUCAGAGGUUGAUGAAAGUGAAGCCUGAACAAUUUCCUUGGCAUCAGUUUCAAUUAUCAUAUUACCAAAGUGUUGAUCUUUGAUCCAAGAUAGAACCUCCCUCAACCCUAAGGUUUCAGCAACUCGAGGAGAAGCUUGUUCCAUAAACAGACAUGUAAGACCAACAAGGAAAGAACCAUUGUAAUCUCUAAAAACAGCUCCAAACCCCAUUUGAUUUCGAUCCUCAAAGAUUGAAGCAUCCACAUUGCACUUCAAAAAACCUGGAGAAGAUGGAACCCAUCUGCUAGGAACCUCUGUUGUGGGAUCCCUCCGACAUGUGAGACCCACACAAGUUUCAAGAAAGAAAAAAAAAAGAGUCACGUUUUUUUGUUGUUCAAAGAAGGCUGCGCGUUGGAUGCGUUAAUUGCGCGCAGUUGGUGGAUGCGUUGAUUAACGCAUCCCCUUCUCUUAUAAGUAGGAGAAGGUUUUCCCUCAACAAAUCGUACAAAAACAAAAGAAUAGAAAUACAUAGAGUGUAUAGAAUUUUAGGAAAAGGAUUCCUAAAAUUGGGAAAGAGAGAAAAUAGUGAGGAACAUAAUUUUUUGGUGUUUUUGGAAAACAUUUAGAGUACCACUAUUUUUAUAAUCUCUUUUGUACCUACUAUUUUUAGUAGAAGCAUUAUUCGGGGUUUUUGUCCCGUGGACGUAGCCCAUAACAGUUGAAGGGUGAACCACGUAAAUCUCAGUGUCCUUAUUUUUCAUCUAGCAUUUACAAUAAUUAUUUAAUUUUUACCGUGGUUUUUAUUUCUGGUAGAUUCGAUCGUCAAUAUCCAAUACGUAAUUAUUGGAGCAUUUUUCCUCGGGCCCUAUUCGGAUCAGUUAUAAUCCCAACAACUGAUAUCAGAGCCUUUAGUUGGUAAAUUUUGUCAGUUUAUACAAAGUUACUAUUCACGUGAAUAGUAAAAUUUUGUCAGAUACAGAAUUCGACAUGGCUAACGACGGGGCAAUGAUCAAAUUGAUGGAUUCGAAUUACUCAAUGUGGAAAUCCAGAAUGGAGGACUACCUCAAUUGCAAAGAUCUGUAUGAUACAAUUGAAGGUGACAGUGCAAAGCCGGAAGAAAUGAAAGAAAGGCAGUGGGAGAAAUUAAAAAAGCAGACAUUGGGUACAAUACGCCAAUGGAUAGAUGCUAGCCUGUACAACCACGUGAGAAAUGAAAAAGAUCCCCAAGUUCUCUGGAAGAAAUUAGAGAAUAUGUACGAGGCUACGAAUGCUCAAGGAAAAGUCUUCAUGAUGCGUAAAGUCAUGAACUUGAAGCUGUCAGAGGGACGAUCAAUUACACAACACCUGAACGAUUUUGAAGGACUCGUAACUGAGUUAGCAGUUAGCGGUAUGUCCUUAGAAGACGAGAUGCAAGCAUGCCUACUGUUGGGAUCUCUACCGGAUAGUUGGGAUACUCUUGUGGUAUCAUUGAGUAACUCAGCUCCAAAUGGUGUGGUAAUAAUGUUUAUGGUAAAGAAUAGACUACUUAAUGGAGAACUACGAAGAAGAGAUGUUGCUAGUACCAGUUCAUAAGCCCUUGUCACAGAGAAUAGGGGCCGGAGUAAGAGUAGAGGUCCAAGGCAUGUAAAGUCAGGUGGUAGAUCCAAGUCCAGAGAGAUGAGAAANNNNNNNNNNNNNNNNNNNNNNNNNNNNNNNNNNNNNNNNNNNNNNNNNNNNNNNNNNNNNNNNGAGAAUGACAGAAAUACAUCUGCUACAGUCUCAGGAGAAGAUGGUGAGGUGACUUUAGUCACUCAUGAUGCAGAUUGCUGUCAUGUUGGAGAUGCAGAUACCGAGUGGAUAGUAGACUCCGGUGCUUCAUACCACUGUGUUCCAAAAAGGGAAUACUUUUCUACUUAUAAAGCAGGAGACUUUGGCACUAUUAAAAUGGGAAAUAAUAGUGUCUCGCAAGUGGUGGGAAUCGGUGAUAUCUGCAUAAAGACAAGUGUUGGGUGCAUAUUAACACUUAAAAAUGUGAGACACAUUCUAGAUCUUCGAUUGAACCUGUUGUCUGUGAGUGUACUGGACAAGGAAGGCUAUCACCAUCAUACAGGUGGCGGUAAUUGGAAACUCACCAAAGGGUCUUUGGUGGUGGCGAGAGGANNNNNNNNNNNNNNNNNNNNNNNNNNNNNNNNNNNNNNNNNNNNNNNNNNNNNNNNNNNNNNNNNNNNNNNNNNNNNNNNNNNNNNNNNNNNNNNNNNNNNUUAGUGAGAAAGGGUUGAAUAUGUUGGCUAAGAAGUCCCUCAUACCAUUAGCCAAAGGUAAAAUAAACCCUUGUGAUUAUUGUUUAGUUGGAAAGCGACAUCGGGUCUCAUUUUUGAAAAGCUCUAGAAGGCGAGACAACAAGUUGGAGUUGGUACACUCUGACGUAUAUGGUUCCAUGGAGUUAGAAUCACUUGGAGGAAGUAGGUAUUUUCUUACCUUCAUUGAUGAUUUCUCACGAAAAACAUGGAUAUAUUUGUUGCGCACAAAAGACCAAGUAUUCAAGCACUUUCAGCAAUUGCAUGUGAUGGUGGAAAGGGAGACUGGAGUAGCAUUGAAGUGUUUGCGCACGGAUAAUGGUGGUGAGUAUAUCUCUAAGGAGUUUAGAGAUUAUUGUAGUCAGCAUGGUAUCAGGCAUGAAAAGACAAUUCCUGGUAAACCGCAACACAACGGCGUUACUGAACCGAUGAAUCGCAUCAUUGUUGAAAGAGUUAGAUCCACGCUCAAAAUGGCCAACUUACCUAAGCCAUUUUGGGGAGAAGCUGUCAAUACUGCUGUCUACCUAAUCAACCGACUACCUUNNNNNNNNNNNNNNNNNNNNNNNNNNNNNNNNNNNNNNNNNNNNNNNNNNNNNNNNNNNNNNNNNNNNNNNNNNNNNNNNNNNNNNNNNNNNNNNNNNNNNNNNNNNNNNNNNNNNNNNNNNNNNNNNNNNNNNNNNNNNNNNNNNNNNNNNNNNNNNNNNNNNNNNNNNNNNNNNNNNNNNNNNNNNNNNNNNNNNNNNNNNNNNNNNNNNNNNNNNNUUCCACGAGAAUGAGAUCGUGGCAGAUACAACUUGUGAAGAAUCCACAAGUGAUGGUGUUGUUGAUAUUACACCAGGAAGCAUUCCUACAGAUGAUGCCACAGGAGGAGGACUGCCAAAAUCAGAACGAGAAGAAGAAGAAGAGCCAGUUGUAAGGGAUCAGGAGACAAUUGUAGAUGAUAACAGUGAUACAGAGGGUGUUGAGUAGGGGGAGCCGGAGAACCCCAUUUCACCAGAAGGAGUUGAACCUCAGUUAAGAANNNNNNNNNNNNNNNNNNNNNNNNNNNNNNNNNNNNNNNNNNNNNNNNNNNNNNNNNNNNNNNNNNNNNNNNNNNNNNNNNNNNNNNNNNNNNNNNNNNNNNNNNNNNNNNNNNNNNNNNNNNNNNNNNNNNNNNNNNNNNNNNNNNNNNNNNNNNNNNNNNNNNNNNNNNNNNNNNNNNNNNNAAGGAAGAGAACACUCAAGAACAAAUGGGUGUACAAACUGAAGAAAGAUGAUGGCAACCUAGUGAGAUACAAAGCUCGAUUGGUCGUCAAAAGCUUUACUCAAAAGAAAGGUAUUAACUUUGAUGAGAUUUUUUCACCAGUUGUGAAAUGAGUUCUAUUCGAGUUGUGUUAGGUCUUGUAGCCAAUUUGAAUCUUGAGUUGGGGCAGCUUGAUGUAAAGACUGCAUUCUUGCAUGGGGAUCUAGAAGAAGAAAUCUAUAAGGAACGACCAGAAGGUUUCAAGGUCAAGGGAAAAGAGGACAUGGUUUGUCGCUUGAAGAAGAGCUUGUACGGGUUGAAACAAGCGCCGCGACAAUCAAGGAUCCAAAAGGACAGAUGCAGAUCCUUGUGUAUAUGUCCANNNNNNNNNNNNNNNNNNNNNNNNNNNNNNNNNNNNNNNNNNNNNNNNNNNNNNNNNNNNNNNNNNNNNNNNNNNNNNNNNNNNNNNNNNNNNNNNNNNNNNNNNNNNNNNNNNNNNNNAAGAGUGAUUUGUCAAAAGCAUUUGACAUGAAGGAUUUGGGAUCGGCAAAGCGAAUUCUCGGAAUGCAGAUUAUCCGAGACAGAAAGUCCUGCAGGUUAUGGUUAUCGCAGGAAAAAUAUAUUGAACGAGUUCUAGAGAGGUUCAAUAUGAAGAAUGCUAAACCAGUUAGCACUCCGCUUGCCGCUCACUUCAAGUUAAGUAAGAAAUCCUACCCAUCAACAGAGAAAGAAAAAGGAGAUAUGUCAAAUGUUCCAUAUUCUUUAGCGGUCGAAAGUUUGAGGUACGCGAUGGUGUGUACGAGACCAGAUAUCGCUCAUGCAGUUGGCGUUGUGAGCCNNNNNNNNNNNNNNNNNNNNNNNNNNNNNNNNNNNNNNNNNNNNNNNNNNNNNNUUCAGAUACCUGAGAGGAACUUCAAAGUUAUGUUUAACUUUUGGAGGUGAAAAGACUGCAUUUGUUGGCUACACAGAUGCAGAUAUGGCCGGUGAUCUUGAUGAAAGAAAAUCUACAUCAGGAUAUCUAUUUACAUUCUCAAGGGGAGCUAUUUCAUGGUAAUCAAGAUUACAAAAAUGUGUUUCAUUAUCAAUGACCGAAGCAGAGUAUGUUGCAGCUACGGAAGCAGGAAAGGAAAUGCUUUGGUUAAAGCGAUUCUUUCAAGAAUUGGGUGUGCAACAGNNNNNNNNNNNNNNNNNNNNNNNNNUUAGACUUGAGCAAAAAUACUAUGUAUCAUGCAGAAACAAAACACAUUGAUGUAAGAUAUCAUUGGCUUAGACUUGCCAUUGAAGAGAAGCAGUUCCAGUUGCGAAAAAUCCACAAAGACAGAAAUGCUGUCGAUAUAUUAACAAAGGUCGUUCCGAAGGAGAAGUUCGAACUGUGUGUCAAAGCGGUAGAAAUGGAGAGUCCCACCAUGUAGUCGGGAGGGGGAGAAUUAUUGUGGGAUCCCUCCGACAUAUAGGACCCACACAAGUUUGAAGAAAGAAAAAAAAAGAGUCAUAUUUUUUUUGUUGUUCAAAGAAGGUUGCGCGUUGGAUGCGUUAAUUGCGCGCAGUCGGUGGAUGCGUUGAUUAACGCAUCCCCUUCUCCUAUAAAUANNNNNNNNNNNNNNNNNNNNNNNNNNNNNNNNNNNNNNNNNNNNNNNNNNNNNNNNNNNNNNNCUUUUAGGAAAAGGAUUCCUAAAUUUGGGAAAGAGAGAAAAUAGUGAGGAUCAUAAUUUUUGGGUGUUUUUGGAAAACACUUAGAGUACCACUAUUUUUGUAAUCUCUUUUGUACCUACUAUUUUUAGUAGAAGAAUUGUUCGGAGUUUUUGACCCGUGGACGUAGCCCAUAACAGUUGAAGGGUGAACCACGUAAAUCUCAGUGUCCUUAUUUUUCAUCUGGCAUUUACGGUAAUUAUUUAAUUUUUACCGGGGUUAUUAUUUCUGGUGGAUUCGAUCGUCAAUGUCCAAUAAAUAAUUAUUAGAGCAUUUUUCCGCGGGCCCUACUCGAAAUCAGUUAUAAUCCCAACAACCUCGACUGCUGCAACAGUAGCUUGGGCUACCUCACCCUGAUCCUUGGCACAAAUCCAAUCAUGAAAGUACCUCAAACCCGAUGAGACAACUAGAGUCGGUGGAGUGCUCACCCCUUGCUAGAUAAAAAACAUUUCUAUGGUUCCAGAUAUUCCAUAUAACUGCUGCCAACUCAGCAACACGAUCUGCACCCCCCGAUUGAAAACAAGAUAAAAAUCCAGUGUAACAAGCCAUCUCCAAUGAGUUGAGAUGUCUCAGAACAAAAAUUGUGCUAGCACUCAGUCGCUCUAACACAGGUGACCAAAGCAUGAGCAACUGACUCCUCCAUACCACAAACCGGACAACUCGAUGGAAUAUCUACCCCUCGUUGAUGACGCUUCAACUUCAUUGGUAAAAUAUCAGGACAGACACGCCAAACGAAAUGCUUGAUCCUGGGGGGUAAGCGCAGGCCCCACAACUUCCUCCAAUCCACCCAAAUCGGACCCAAGUUGUGCCUGAGAAACGAUUCCGCUGUAAGAUAAUAGCCGGACUUUACCUGGUAAAUCCCAUUUCGGGACCAGUGCCAGAUAAGCUUGUCCUCACCAUUAUUACUGAACGGCAUGCGCAGGACAAUCUCAGCAUCAACAGGGGUCAGCAGGCCCCUAACCAAGUCCUCGUUCCAUCCCUGCCCAUGAUCAUUUUUCAAGUCCGCAACACAAAGAUCUUCCAUACCUGGUAACACAUCUGAUUGAACAUAAAAAGACAUAUUGUUGAGAAGCCAAGGUUCCGACCAAAUGUUCACUACAUUCCUCGAUCCUGUCCUCCAUCUCAUCCUCUUACAAGCAUAUUCUUGGAAAGCAAAAUGCUCCUCCAUGUGAAACUGGGGUUAUCUCCAAGGAGGCUACCAAGAACAGCCCUAACAAAUCCCCAUCCGGGUAAUAUUAGACAAAUGAUAAUUUUUUUUUAAUAUUUUCCUUAUAUAUGUAUAUUUUUUAAAUCAUCCUUUUCAAAUAAAGUCUAAGUAUUUCAAUUUUCAUCAAAUUAUAAAUAUUCAACUGUAUGUUUUUGAAAAAAUAAAAAGAAAACAUGUGCUCAAGUAUUAUUUACACAAAACCAGAGGAGUGUUUCAGUAAUUAUUCCAUUUCAUUUUAUUCAUUUCUCCAAUUCGAUUCUCUGCAAAUGGAAACGAUGCAGUUUUUUAUUUCUUCACUCCACAUUUCAAUUAUUCCCUUGCCGGAAAAGGCACGCCAUAAUUAAUUCGAUCCUAAACUUCGCCAAACUUCCAUCUCCAAGAUGACACCUCAAUCUUGUCUCUUUGCCAAACCCAGACCCCAUAAUUCCCAAACCCAUUGACAUAAAAAAGGAAAAAAAAAAAAUGCUUACUCUGUUUUUCUGUUUCUCUCGUUUCCUGUGUCUUCUCUGUUUCCUCCGCCACCUUCGCCGCCUCCACCAUGCGUCCACAGAAUUCUCGGACCAAAUCAAUUCUCGCCACCAAAAUUCACAUUAUGGCCUUGGAUGGCAUUGUCAAUGUGAACUCUUUAUUCACUUUAGCUCUCUUUCUUGGUCUUGCUUGGUACCCUGUUCCUGACCCCACCAUUACUCUUGUCACCGAUCCUUCCUGCACCGCCAGCUCCGCCAUCGUCGAGAACUUAGUCACCUUCCAUGUUUAUUCCUUCAGUUCCUUCCUUUUCUCCAGCCUUGUUGCUUUGGCUCUCAAGCAGGCCAUAAAGAUUGCAGAUAAAGAUGAUGAUAAUAUUAUUAGUGUUGAAGAGUUAGGGAGUGCUUCUCUAGUGCAUGUUGACAUGGUGGCUUUACGGGUUGGGACUUUGGUUUCUGGGUUUGGCUCAGUUUUCGGAUGUGGGUUCUUGAUGAUGGCUUUGGUGAAUUUAGUGCAGAUAAAGUUAGGGAUUUUGGCUUGUGGGAGUUUGUAUACUGUUGCUGCAAUUGGUCCUUUGGUGAUAUUGGUUCCCUUGGCUUUAGUAAUCUAUGUUUUCCUCAUGCUUUAUUCCUUUACUCGCUAGAGUUUUCUGAAUUUAUGUUCAUAGAAUUCAUGAAAAGAUUACACCUUUAUGUUUAUUUAUAUGUUGAAAUUGUUAAAUGGCAACUGUAUUGAGCAUUUGAAAAUAGAAGUGUGUAAAAAUUGAGCAAAUGCUCAAUUUAUGAUUAGAUGUUUCUGAUUAUGCUUGUUUUGGCCUUCCUGAGUGAAAAGGGCAUAUUUUUGUUGUUAUUGAAUUUUGGCAAUAGCUGAUUUCUGUCGUGUGUUCAUUGUUGAAACUGUUUGGUUUCAGCCAGAAAAUUAAAAAAGCUUUAAUUUUUAAUGAACUUCAAGCAUCUUUGCUCAGCAUCUUGACUAUAUAGAUAUGAAUGUGAUCUACUGAUUUAGGUGCAUAAUCUGGUGGAAUUUGCAGUUUUAAAUUGCAGGCUGUAUUGGGAAUGGUUCUUUUUGUCUCCUAAAUAAUAUUUAUUAUGAUCUUGGGAGUUGGUAAUGACAGUGGCUAAAAUUUUGUUUUCUUAAUAUAAUAAUAGGUGUAGAUGUCAAAGCAGGAUAAUUUAAUCUGUGAAGGCAAUGGACGAUGCGGUUGCUUCACCACAUUUUUAGUUAUCUUUUGAAGUUUUUCAUAAAAAAUGAUAAAAAAAAUUGGGUGUUUUGUAGUAUUUGCUUCCCCUGGACUGCCACUAGAGAAGCAUGUGCAGGUGCCUUCUAAUUCAAGUACCAAAAGGUCCAAAAACCGAAGGACCUUUUGGUUCUCAAAGAAUGCAUCAUAUCGCCUUCUCAUUAGAUUUAAACAAAUUUUUGUAUUGGUUCUCCAUCUAUUUGUUCUUUUCAUGUUUUGAAUUCAUAUUAUAACCAUUGCUUGAUUUAUUUUGCUGGGUGAAAGUUUGCCAGAAGGAUUUGAUCUCAUAUUUGGCAUUUCAUGGGUAAGGAUCUGGUUGCCAUCUUCACUUUCCGUUGUUUAUGCUUCAUCAUUGCCCUCCUAUCUGCAUUUUCAUUUAUAUCCUUUCUCUCAUGGUUUCAACUUUCUGCUCCAUGCUAUUUCAAAGCCCAAAUGAUACUGCAAAAGCAAAACCAACCUAUUAAUCUCCUCCUUUUCCCUUCUGCUUGGAAUCAUCUUUCUUUUCCCUCGGAACCACCUUCUAAACUCCUUAAAAUUGCACUCUUUGUAAAGAAAUGGCCUCAUAGAUCUCAUGCUGGAGGGCUUGAACGGCAUGCCUUGACCCUUCAUCUUGCUCUUGCCAAAAGAGGGCAUGAGCUUCAUGUUUUCACCUCUUCUCCCCCAAACUCCUCCUUCGCAAGGUAUCCGCUGAGCAAUUUAUACUUUCACCUUUCAAGACCAACCGCUGCUGGUUAUCUGGACCAAGCUUCAGUCUGGAAGCUAUUUCAGACUCAAAACUCAACAGGAAAACCGUUUGAUGUGGUCCACACUGAAAGUGUUGGGCUCUGGCAUGCUCGGUCACGGAACCUGACCAACUUAGCUGUUAGUUGGCAUGGGAUUGCAUAUGAAACUAUUCAUACUGACAUCAUUCAAGAAAUUUUAAGGAAUCCUGAAGAACCAUUAGCAUAUGCGUUGACUGAAAGAGUUACCAAGGUUGUUGAAGAGGUCAAAUUUUUCCCUGAUUAUGCUCACCAUGUUGCUACUAGUGAUCAUGCAGGUGAUGUCCUGAAAAGGAUUUAUAUGAUUCCAGAAGAACGAGUUCAUGUUAUUCUUAACGGAGUGGAUGAGGAAAUUUUCAAGCCAGAUGCUAUGAAGGGUAAGGAAUUUAAGCAGAAAUUUGGUGUCACAGAAAGUAGAUCAUUGGUUUUGGGCAUGGCAGGGAGGUUGGUGAAGGAUAAAGGACACCCCUUAAUGUUUGAAGCCCUGAAGCAGAUCCUAAUGGAAAACGAUACAAUUCGAGAGGACACUGUUGUUCUGGUUGUUGGUGAUGGUCCUUGGGGUCCUAGAUACAGAGAUCUUGGUGUUAAUGUACUUGUUCUGGGGCCAUUAGACCAAGCUCAACUAGCAAGGUUCUACAAUGCCAUAGACAUUUUUGUGAACCCAACUCUCCGAGCUCAAGGGUUGGAUCAUACUUUGUUAGAAGCAAUGCUUUCUGGUAAACCUGUGAUGGCCACUAGGGUAGCCAGCAUCACAGGUUCAGUGAUUGUUGAUAAAGAAAUUGGUUAUGUCUUUUCACCAACGGUAGUUUCAUUGAAGAAUGCUCUCUAUAGAGUUUGGGAAGAGGGCAGAGGAGUCCUAGAAGAGAAAGGUAAGGCUGCUAUGCAGAGAGGGUUGCGCCUGUUCACUGCUACUAAAAUGGCAGCUGCUUAUGAAAGGCUUUUCCUUUGCAUAUCAAAUAAUAGUAACAGAACCGAAGAUUAUUGUCAAUACCAACCUCCACUAGUUGGAUAGCAACAUCAUUACCUCAUUCAACAUUGACAGAGCUAACAGGGAACGACAUUGAACAUUGAGACUAAGUGGUAAGGUUGAAGCUCUGGAGAAGGCAGCUGUAUAGAGCUUUUCAAGAAGAAAGUACCUUCUUGUAUUGAUCCUUUACAGAAUUUGGUAAUUGUAUUUAUCGAUCCAUACUAGUUUCAACCAUUUGAAAGGCGACAUAACAUUCAUUUUUUCCCCUUCAGACUAAUGGUAAACUGGCUUUAUAAUUUAUCUGUUGCUGAUAUCUGAAUCUUCUUGCUUUUAAUUCUCUUACUUUAAUACAUUUGAACUUGCAGAUUCACAGGCUACAUUUUGCCUCAAGCUCCGACAAAGUCUAAAAUUAGCAGCCUCAAACGAGGUAAGUGUGCUUGGAAGUAACAUCUGCAGAUGGCUUAGCAAUCAAAGUUAGGGACAUGAAUUAUGAUUUACAAUUAUGAAACCAGAAAGAAAUUUAACAUUUAUGUAUGGAACUACAUGUUUUGCCUAGAAAACAAGAUUGGAAUUCCUAGCACUAAAAUUAGCUGCAGUCAUUUCUGCAUGUGCUCAAAGUUUCAUUAAUUGAUGGCAAUAAUUCUUCAAAUUUAAGGUUCAAAAUUGUACCUCUCAGAACAAAAGCACAAGCUUAUUUAUUUUGUUCGAGUUUCAUAAAUGUCUACAAACAAUAGGAAAGAUACAUAAACUUUAGGAAUUGAACCUUCAAGUAUAUAUGCUGCAUAUACAACAUGAAGAGCAUUGGGACAACAUUCAUUGGUGGUCUAGGUAAAAAAGCAGAAAGAUUUAACUAGUGUUACAGUAUUUCUUAAAAAUCUCUUGCAUUGAGGCUACACUCAUAUCAAAAUCAUGUCUUCACAGGCAGAAAAAUAAUACAAAUUGCUGACAAGAUCUAUCCACAUCAGCUGCUUAUUUAUUUUGCAUCUCUUCUAUCAUUAUCAUCUAGGCUUUAUGAAUUCCUGCAAUAUAAAAAAGAAAGGAACAGAACAAACAAAAUAAAUUAGAUAAAGGUCCCAGAAAAAAAUCUCUAGUUGAUCAUUUGUGUAUCUUAACUCAAAUGAAUAUGUGUGGUUGCAUCACAUUAGCUGAUCGUGAUUGAUAAGUUUAAUAUUUUCACUGUUUACACUAUUGAAAAGGGUUCCAUUACAGGCAAAGCAUAAUUCUACCCCUGCCACUCUUCCUACAAGUGGCUAAAUGGGAAACUAAAAGUAAAACCCCACUUUCAGGAACUAGAAUAGAUACUGCGAUAGGCAUUUUCUUGUGUUAUCAAGAUGUGCUGAGAUAUCCUUCUGCUUUAAUAUGAAAUUCUAAUGCCUUUUGUUAAGAUAAUAGCGUGGGAUAGAAUCCCACAUGGAAUAAAAGCAAGAUGUUGUAAGACUUAGGUACCAUUUGAAAUUGCAAUAACAAGUAGCAGAUUUUAGGCCAAAAUUGGGAGUAAUUUAGUCGGUUCAUAUGGACCCGUUUUUCCUCCUAAUUUUAGCCAAACUGGCCCCUUGAUAUAGAUAAACUCUCCAACCUCAAUGACUUAACUUUUAAUGUGGGUUCUCCCAAAUCCAUAUCAAAAUUCUUUCAACACCUUCUAUCAGAAAUUACAACAAAAAACAAAAAGAAAAAGAAAAGGAAUUACAACUGAUGAGAAGAACAAAAGUGGAAAAACAAGUAUUAAUUGCUUUAGAACUUGUCUACAUUGGUAUUGCAGUAUUUAUAGAUUGUGUUAUAGUUCUGGUAAAUUAGAUUCUUUAUUAUUUUAUACCUUGAAAAAUAGAUGGAGAAUUCAUAUGCCAAGGGAAGCGAGGUCCUAAUAAUAAAGCGAACCUGCGGAAAAAGCAAAUUAGAAUCCUUAGUUUAUCGUUAUAGGCUAUAGCAAGAACAGGAGCUUAAAUACUAUUUGCAGCUUCAUUUAUGACAUGUUACCUUGCCACCAAUUUCCUCUAGAAGCACCAUUUGAAUUGUUUCCAUUAGGAUCAUCUUCUUCCCCAUCUUUAUUGAACUAAUUCAUUCACAAAGCACAUUAGCACAUUUACUUGAUGCAUAAUCUAAAUUAUUUGGUGUGCUGAUAAUAGCACAGGCUAUCUACAAUUGAAGACUUACUAGGGGAUAUGAUCCAGAAAUAUUAUGACUAUUUGGAUGCUGAGAAUAAUUAUCUUGCCCACCGUAGUAAAGUGAUGAACUUAGAUGACAUGGUUCUGCUCUUUCUUCCAUAAAAAUUGAGUUUCUGUCCUUGUUGUGCAUGUUAUGUUUUGCAGCUUCGCUAGUCAUAGCUGUAUUGUUACAAAAUACACAAUAUAAGGCAAUUUUCUCCAAGCUUUUCACUAUAAACAAGUGAUGAUCAAUUCAAGAAAAUGCAGGGAAAUGGAUGUCAUACUUCUUUCAAGUUCUUUACUAUAUAACGAUAUAGAACAGGCCUAAUAUAACAAACCUGGAGCUCCUUGUUUUGUGUUCCAACCAUGAUUUCCGGAAGACUGCUUUUGCCAGGUUCCUAUCAUCUCAGUGCCAGAAGGUUUCUUUCCUAAAACCUGAACAACCAAGAACAAAGUUCAGAUGUAAAUUAUCAUUAGUCUAAUAAUCUUGUGGUCGAACACCUAAUGACCGUCUUAUAUUGUAAGAGAUUAGGAAUUCAAAUUUUGAUAUUUUCAAUCGCUUUCAAAAAUCUUCAAUGUAGCAUAAAAGAAAGAAGAAUUUCUAAAUUAAGCAAGUUUACCUUUAUAGUUCAGUUCAAAAUUGGCAGUCUAUAUCACAAUUUACAUCAAACAAAAAGCACAAAACUAAAAAAGGAAAGAAGAAAAGCAUAAAACCAUAUAUAGUAUGCACUUCACGAGCAACUUCCAAGUUAUAAAACUGUAUAAACCUUCCCUUCCCUCCUCAUUUUCCAAAUUAUAAAACUGUACGCUCAACAUUCAAAAACAUAUAGAAAGCCUGAAAAGAAAUUUAAGUUUCAUAAUGUAAGUAAAUGAUGUAACUAUACCUUAGACGGAGGUGGAAAGAUAGAAGCAAAGAUUCCAGUUGAAGUUGGUGGGGGCUCUUUUGUGCCAAAAAGAUCAGCUGUGAAUGAAGAAGAAGAAGAAGAAGAAGAAUGUUUUUCCUUCUUAGAGUCCAUUGUUGCCUUUUCUGUACCUUGACUAACUAACCAACUACACUAACAACCAGUCUCCAAGAAACACUACAAGUUUAUUAAAACAGAAGAAGGAAGAAAUCUAAACUGCCUUGUGAAAUCAUCAAUUAUGUCUCAUAUAUAUAUAUACAGUUCUACAGACUACACCAGACGGCACUGGUUGUGCCGCCCAUGUGCCCUUCUUCAACAAGAAAAAGGAAAAAGAAAGAAAGCCCACUCUUUUAUUUUAUUUUAGUAAUUAAGAUAUCUUUCUUUCUUUUUUUUUUUUUUUUUUUUUGGGAAAUCUGAUAUGGGAACUUUUUUUUCUCUGCAAUUCUCACAUUCUCUUCUUCUCUCUUGUAAAAUAUAAUAUCCUACUUCCACCGCCACCACCAUGAUCAUCAUCUUUUUCUCAAGAAAUACAAAUGGAUAAGUGCCACGUGGGGUCCACAUGUCAUCCUAAUUGGACAAGCCAAUGAGUGACGUGUGUCCUGUAAUGGAUAAUUGCAAGUUUGCAACCUCUCUUUGUUUUGUAGAGUCACAUAAACUUCCCCAAUUCAAAUGACCCCAUAUCUCUAAAAGUAACAAAGGUUUUUUUAUUUUUCCUUAUUUUAAUUUUAUUCUCAUCAUCUUUCCUAACAAAUGGUCCUUCCUAAAAGUAACUUUAUUGAAUAUUAAUUCCAACUAAGCAUAGCCAUGGAUUAAUUUUAAAUCGGAAUCAAAUUGGUUAAGUUAAAAAUUAACUGCAGUCAAUAAUUUUUUUAUUUCCAUUUGAAAUUGAAACUAUAUGCAAUAACUGAUCUCGAUUAUUCAUUUUUUAGAAUCAAAACUGCCCAAUUCUAAUUGGAACCAAAAACCAAAAAAUAUUAUCUUUUACUAUUUAUUUAUGUAAUAAAACUAAAAAAUUUUUUAAUUCAUUGGAGAUUUUUAAAGAUCAAAAUAACACUGCGGGGUUGAUAAUCUGAAUAGGAUAGCUCAGUGACAAAGAGCUUGUGCAAGCAUGAUCAUCAUCAUGGGUUCAAUUUUCCGCAUUACAAACUCCCCUUGAAAUCAACUAGCCCUUUUGGUGGAAAUUUGUCAAGUUUGUGGACCACUGUUAAAUCACACUAUUCCUUAAAAUGGAAGUAAUGGUUCUAGAGCCGUAUGCAUGUGAGCAUAUCCAACUUGAAGAUUUUAAGAGUGAAAAGGAGAUUUCAAGAAAUCUCCAGUCUUUGAUCAAUCCAAAACAAGAUAACUAGAUAAGGUUUGUUUUUCCACUCAAUAUCCCUUUUGUACGUGGAUAGUUGACUGCAUUGUUGCCUUCAAUUGUCAAACUAUAGUUACUUUCUUUCUAUACCAAUAUGCCAUUCAAAUCCAGAUCUACCAAAUUCAUAAAGGCCAAGCAAUUGUACUUUCUCCUCUUUUUUUUUUUUUUUAAUUUGUUUAAUAAUUAGAAAAAUAAAAGAAUUCAUAAAUUAUAUAUCUUCGGUCAAAUCUCAUAGAUUUACCCUGAAAUUUAUGUGAUUUGCCUUGUAACACCUUCAAAUUUUCAGAGAUCUAUUACGACUCUACGCUUUUACAUUUCAGUAAUAACUAUACCCAUCGACAAAAUAAAAUAUAAAAAUAUAAAUCAUGAUUGAAUUCUUACAAAGUUGUUAUUUCAUUUUGGUGAGGAGUAUAAUUAUUACUGAAAUGUAAAAGUAUAUAAUCGUGAUAGGUUCCCACAAACUUGAGAGCGCCACAAGACAAAUCGCAUAAACUUUAGGGUAAAUUGGGUAAAUUUAUGUAUUAAGCCUCUUUUUUUUUUUUAUUCAUAUCGAAUACAACAGGUGAAAAUCCUCGUGGGUCAAAAGAAUUUAUUUUGAAACUUCUCACUAUCUAUAUAAAUGGAAUACUAAACAGAUCGCAACUGAUCGGCUAUUAAAAGGCAAGAUAUUUGUUUUUAAAAAAAAAAUUUAAAAAAGUACUUUAGAGUAAUAAAUUCAAUCACCAAAGAACUUAUUCUUUGGAAUAAAGUUCUUCCAAAUCAUAUUUUUGGUUAAUUUAACUAAUAUCUGAAGUGGGGUUUCUUAAACUGUAACAAGAUUCCAAUUUGAAACAACAAUUAACAGAAUAUUGGAUUAAUUUGAUAAGAAUCAUCCAAUGAUUAACGUAAAGCCUAAUGCGAAACUCCUCGAUUGGCUUGGCGGCUCACUUGCAUUUUGACUUUAGUGGCAAAAAGUUUUGCCAAAUUGGGUCAUUUUUCCACAUGAUUAGGCUUUGGAAGGUGGGGUUUGGUCACGGAAAUACAAGCAACCUCCUCCUUUAGUCCGGUUUAUCCACAACUUGGGGAUAUAAAAUUCAUUCCAAUAUUCCUGAUUUCCUUCGUAAAAAAAAUAAAUAAAUAAAAGAUAUAUUUGUUCCAAUAAAAAAUAAAUAUAAACGAACCUAAAAGGGAUGGUUCAGUGGCAAAGAAUAUUUGCGGGAUUGAUCAUUAUGAUUUAGCUUAUAGAUUCGAUCACCAACCAUUUUACCUCCGAGGCGAACGAAAAUUAAUCAGAUUUGUGGACAGUUAAAUGGACACGGGCCUAAUAUCUCGUGCAAGUAUCAAAUAAAAAUAAAGAUAAACUUGCUUUUACAUUUUCUACAUCUUAUCUGUUAAUAAAUUUUAUUAGUAAUUUAAUUUAAUUAGUUAUUAGUUUCCUAUUUAAAUUUAAAUUUUAUUCAAUGAACGAUAAAAAUAAAAAAUAUUAAAAGAAAAUAAAAAUCUUUAAUAGUGUGUAUAUAUAUAUUGUGUGUGUUAUACACACGUGUGUGUAUUUAUUUUUUUGUGUAUAUAUAAAAUAUUAUAGUAACCAGCAUUUUAUGUAUUCAAUUUUGAAUUUGUGCGGCCUCACAUAUGUUUAUUUAACUUUAUUUUAUUAUAAUUACUAUUGUUUAUUUUCAACAGAAAAUCAUUAUUUUCUAUAAAAAAAUAACUAUUAUAUUUUUACUGUUGAGUGAAAGUUAUAUUUAAUAUUAAUAUUAGAGUAUAUUAGGAAAAAGUAGGAGCAAAAUUUACAUUCACACAAUAUUAAUUAAUUUUUUUUAAUUUGCGUGAAAAUUGAAAUCAGUCUACACUCGUGGGACAAAGAGAGUAUAAAAAGAAAAAAUGAACGAUUUUGAAAACGUGGGCGGCAGGAUUCGAACCUGCGCGGGCAGAGCCCACAUGAUUUCUAGUCAUGCCCGAUAACCACUCCGGCACGCCCACUUUGCCUGUUUGCUCUAUUUUUUUUCCAUUUUCACCGUUUGCGAACCAUUUUCCCCUUCUUCAACCUACUGAUGCCCUCAUAUGAAUAUUGAGAUUUUUCUAUGUUAUAUAAUUUAAAAUUUUUUCCAAGUAAACCUUUAUUGAAAUAAUGAUGUGAGAAAAAUUGAAAAUUAUGGAAUGUGAAUGAAGAAAAACAGAAGUGAUUCAAACAUAAAAAAGUGAAUAUAUAGAUACAUAAAAUUAAAUUAAUAUUUUAUGGUAUUACAAUCGUAGUUAAAAGUUUAAAUAUAGAAAACUUGAAAGUGUUAUUAAUUAGGUAUAAAUAUAUAAUAAAUUUUAUUUCUACUCCGCAACUAAAAAAAUCCUGUUAUAAUAUAAUUAUUUAGUUUUGUGUGAUGCACUGUAGGUAUAGCUAAAUUAGCACAAGUAGUAUCACUUAAUAUAAGCAUAUUCUUCAAGCUUUAAGCUGGUGAAAUAGCACAUAUUUAAAAAGAUUAACUUUGACAAAUUCGCAGGCUCAAAUAAAUCAUAAAUCAAAACCAACAUUUCAAUUUGACUUAAAAGAAAGAAUAAAACUCAUAUGUGGAGUAGUUAUUUAUGAAUCCAAAAAAUAUCUAUUUUGAAUUAUAUUGCAUCAAGUUUGAUCAACUGAAAGAGUCCCCAUAGUCCACCAUUCAGCUCCAUCCUCCGAGGGGAAAAUUACAAGGAAAUAUCACAGCUUUACGAAAUUCAAAUCCAUGGCAAUGUGGUAUGUGUUCUUGCAUAGAAAAGCCAACUCUCACUUUAAGCGGUUGAGAAAUGAGCAUGCCCUUCAAGAAAGGAAUGAAUUUGGAUUGAGGAGAAUGGUGGCAUCAAAUUAGUAUUACACAUGAAACAAUUAUGUAAUGCAACCAGACACAUGCACAAACAUAUAGAGAAAACAGAAGCAGCAGACUUGACUUCAAACCAACUAAAGUAAUGAGUUUGAGUACAUAAACAGCAUUAGUUUAGUAGAACACGCAGAGAAAGACCUUAGCAAUCAGGAACAAAUUACUUAUUUCAUGCCAAGUUCUGGGUUUGUUGGGAACUCCUAAUUUACAAUGUCUCUAUUGCCUCUAAACAAGCCAAUGAACAUCUCCAAAGAAGCAUGAACAAAGUGUGAUACGAAGGAAAAUAUCUAAAUAUAGAUAGUACCUCAUGCACACCUUAGUGAAUGCCAAAUAUCUCUUCCGGAGGAUCAUAGAAAUGUUUUUCAGGGAACAGCUCUUCAUAAUCUUGCUUCACUCUGUUUCUCAAAAGUGGAUGUGGUAGAAGCCCCUUUAACAAAAUCCUAAACGGUAAUUCAUCCGGUGGAUCUGGUGACUUCUUCAUGUCCUCAUAUAUAUUCAUGGCAUCAGCAGGAGACCCAUCCCUCAAGAAUCCUCUGAUGAUUUCUGUGUACAUUUGAGAAUCUGGGAACAAAUUCUCAUUUCUCAUCACUUCCCAUAGCUUCAUUGCUUCAUCCAUUUUCCCGCCUCUUGUUAAUGCAAUGAUCAAAUCCUUAUAGAGAUAGACAUCAGGCUGAUACCAGUCUUGCUUUUGAAUCACUUGAAAAAUCUGAAAAUAAAUUUCAAUGAUUGGACCAUCAGAAUUUCUUUAUUCUAUAUCUUUUUACUUCCAAAAUGCUUUGUUUUGCUCUAUGAGAUGGGUCUAUUAUUUAGAUUUCUUUCUUGUUUUGUUACUGAAUUUAGUGAAUUUACGUACACAUAAAAAUUUUUGCAGAUAAAAAAGUUUUGUUUUCUAAUUCUUCCGUUUAUUUUGGUUCAUCAACGUUAUGGAGACAAGGAAAUAAAUUGAAGUCAUACUCAUAGUUAUUACAUGAUACUGCAAGGUUAAAGUAGUGAUGCAAUUCCAUAGGAAUAAGCUUAAAUAAGGCCUAACUCAUGAAGACUCUUUUCACUACACAGUAUAAGUUUUCCUAAUAAUGUUAAGUUAAUUAUCCAGAUAAUAGAGCAAUGACCAAGAGCCAAUAUUUCAUUGAAGCAUUCUAUCAAACAACUUAGAAGCAGAAGAGUAUAAACCCAAGCUGCCUCCACACCUUCAUUGAACUAAAAAAUAACAACACUAAAUCAAGAACAAUAAAUAUCAAAUGAGAAAUUUUAAGUACAAAACAAAUGGGAUUUUUAAAAAAAAAUUAAAGAAAGAAAAGGAACAGUGAAGAACGAAAAAAGAAAGAAACUUUAGCAAUAAAAGAACAAACCCACAAAAUCAAGAAAGAGAACAAAUAAACUAGCAGUCACCUUGGUAGCCAAAGAGACCUCUUCUUGGCGCUCAAGUUCAGUUAAUACAGCAAUCAUGUCCAUUUUCAACAGCCUCAAAACAUGGUUUUUUAUAAACCUUUGAAGCUUCUCUUCAUCAUCUUUAAACCUCUUUAAUCCUUGAAUUACAAAAAGCGCUUCUUUGCCUAUAAGCUUCUUGCCUCUCCAAAGGGGUCCUCUCGGCCUCCCAUCGUGGUAUUGCCUUAACCCACAAAAGUAACUGUAUGAUAAUAUAUUUGAAUCUGAAUAUGAAAUUUGGGGCUUCGAAGGUAAUGAGAUUGGUAUUGUUGGUUUAACCGUUUGGUUUUGAAGGAAUACUGCACUGAGUUUUGCUAUUUUUGAUCUUGAAAACGCGCGAACAGCCAUUACAAGUCUAUUUAGUAGAAUUGGGCUACAAGUCAUACAAAGGUUUUGGCAGAGGAGCAAUAGGGAGCAGAACAAUGACUAUUUAUUUACUCUAAUAUCUCAGAAAAUCUUCAAAAUAAAUUAGAAAUACAUAAUUUAAUACAAGUACAAAUUAGGAGAAAAAUGUAAUUUUUGAAUAAUAUAACAUAUGGCAUGAACAAUAAGUUGGUUACAAAACAGUCCUCGUGACUUUAGUAAAUUCACAAUUUUUUACGCGCUUUCUAUACAUUAUUCAUGCAAAUGUUGAUAUUGGGAAGAACCAAACAUUAAUUAGAAGAUGAGAUUGCAUAAAUUAUCAAUAAUUUAGAAUAAGUAUAUUUAUUUAUUUAUUUGUCAAGUCAUCUUUGAAAUUCUGCCAUAUUUAUAUAUUUUUAAAUUAUAUAAAUAUAUUUUGAGUAUUAAUUUAUAGGCCCGUGCCCUAAGUUUUAAAAUACACAGUUUUUAUUUUUAAUAUUUGUAUGAACUGGAACAUAAGUAGGCCAAUAUUUGGACUGGACCAAAAAACUAAAACCCCACAAAUGUAAGUAUGUGUAGGGAUCGUAAGGGGCAUUCCGAGAAUUGAACUCGGGACCUCUCGCACCCUAAGCGAGAAUCAUACCACUAGACCAAAUGCCCAUCACUUGCUUAUCAACCCGAAAACUUGGAUAAUAAAUGGUCAAAUAUUUGUAGUCAUUUAGAGGUUUCAGAAGGGUGUCUCUGUAUCUGUAUGAACUUAUAUUAUUCAGUAAAGAAAGCUGCAUAUAUUAGAAAGAAGCAUGAUGAUGGGUUACUUGGACAGAAUUGUAUACUCUUGAUCCAGAGAAUGGAUAUGAUCGAAAAACACCUUUGGCAUAUUCAAAGGAAGGAGACAAAGUUCUGUUGGUUAAGAAUCGUACGAGAAUUACAUGGUUUGACCUUAAAGGGUAAACAUAUGAACAUCUUGCAAUUCCCAACCUUCCUUCGCACUACAUUCAGUUGUUUCUUGGGAAAGCUUUGUCACUUGGUGAUGACAGUGAGUUUGACGGAAAUGUCAAGUUGGGAGAACUUCUUAGUGAUUGGGAAUACAACUGACAACCUUCUGAUGACUAUAGGACCAACCAAUAAUAGUUAAAUAACUAUAGGACCCAUUUUAAAAAAAUAAAUGCUAACAAAUAUAUUUUAGUUUGUCAUUCCAUAUAUAUUUUAAUUCUUGCACCAAAGGAACUGUCUUUAAAUUCCUCCAUCUUUCUUUUUCUUGAUUCAAGCUUAAUUUUCAACUAAAAACCAUAUCAAGAUCAGAUUCACUGUCAUCACCAAGCGAAACAAGACUUUCCCAACAAACUUGUAGUUCUUUCACCGACGCCAUUCCAAGAAUCUCAGCAGUUUCUCCUCUUUUCUCAUGGAGGUCAUACCAAAAUAUAUUCCUAUCAUCAACAUUCAAUAGAACGUUUUCUCUAUUCUCCGAAUAUGCUGCAGGUUUAAGUUUAACAUAUGCAAAACGCUCAGGAAACUUCUCUCGGUUAACUUUGUGUAGAAUUUGCUCCAAAUAAACUCGUUUCCUUUCUUCUUUCUAAGAUAAACCUCACCCUUCUUUCUACGAUUAUUGAACAAUCCCACACAGAGACACCCAUCUACAACGUUCAAACUCAGCUGGGGUUUUUUGGUUCUACUGUCAGGCCGCUUUACAACGGAGAAUUCCUCAUCUGCCAGAUCGAAACUAACAAUUGCUCCUGGUCUAUCCAUUCCUCUAGCAGAAAGUAAUAAACAGUGCAAAGCACCGUUAGCCAAGUAUCCAGGAGAAAAGUUAAACACAUAUCCAGUGUAACAGAAAUCCGGAAGCCUUCUCCAGCUAUUGGUUCUCAAGGAAAAAAUCCAAACUUCAUAGAUAAGCCCAAAAAGUACUGGUUGAGAAAACGUCACAACUUUAUAGUCAUCAGCAGAAGAUUCAUCUCCCAAUCCCCCUCCGUGCAUAGGAUAUGGAGGGUAAUUAGUAUUAGCUCUGAAAAUAGGAAGUAUGUUGCAGCCCCUAGUGAAAGGAUUCCACAGAGCAAGUCUUUCUUUAUCCUUCGUGAACAAGAGAAGUAAACCAUUACAAGAACCAUAGAUUGUUGUUAGACUAUUUCUUAAUAGGAUGUGGAUCUUUUUCGCUUCAUACAGUCCAUCCUCAAAAUCUGCUGUGUAAAUAGGAUCGGAUCAAGAUCUGCUAUGCAAAUAUGGGACGGUGGAAGGUGAGAACUCUUUGCUUGAGAAUUAGCUUAAGGUGAGUUCUGGUUUCCAUGGAUCUUUUAAUUAAGAUGUGCCUUUUUGAAAUUAGGACUAUCGAUGAGAUUGCAGAAUUGUUUCGAAACGCAUCUUAAAUGCCAAAGAGGUUUUACUGGAAGAAACAACAGGAUUUCUGUAAUUAAAUCUGAAUGUAAGUUCGCCAUUGUUUGUUGGGAAAUUUUUUUUUUCUUUUUUUGAAGAGUUUCUAAGGAAAAUUCUUGGCUGCCCCCUUAGGUUUUGGGAAUAUAUAUAAUAUAUAUAGUUGACGAAAUCCAAUUCCGAAUUAUAUAGUUUUGGCAGAAAAAUAUUUUUUUCCUGUUUUAAUAUAUUAUCUAAUUAUAAUUUACUGUUGUGAUAUGUGAUUUAAAAUUCUUUUACUGUAAGCUUGUAAUAAAAAAAUUAUAUUAUAAUUUUAAAAUAUAUUUAAUAAUGAAAUUAAUAUAAUUACAUCAUAAAAUACAAUAAUUAAUAUAAGGAAUUUGUAAACGACUUAAUUCACGCGCCUAUUAAACGAACCAAGCCUGCCUACUUCCAUAUGCGGAAAAGAAAGUGUACACAUGUGUUUAAGUUAGGGUCUAAAAGGGUUAAUUUGAUUUUGGAACCAAAAUAAAAAUCAAAAUUAUAAAAGAUUAAACAUAAAGCUGAAAUAUUAAAAAAUCGAAUGACUAACCUAUGGGUUCUCAAUUGAUAAUAUAGGAAAAGCUUUUAAGUUCGAUAAGCACUACAUCUGUAAAGAGAGGCGAAAAACCUUAACUGUGAUUAAAUCUGAACUGAAGUUAAUCGAUUCCUGAUAAUAGGGUUCGAACACCAAUAAUUAAAAAAAAAAAAAAAAGAAUAACUGAACUAAAAGCAAAAAAAAAAAAUUCAGUUUAGUUCAGUUUUCAAUUUUCUCCGGAGUUUGCUGACUCCUAGUUUGAGUGGAAGAACCGAAGGUAUUUUAGAUAUAAAAAUAUCAAUUCGGCGGCCACAAGUUAUAGCAAUACACAUCCAAAUAGGAUUUCACUUAGCCAAGGCUUAUUAAGUAGCUUUUCUUUCCUUAAUUUUAGGUUUAACUUUAUUCGAAUAAAUUAAUUGACUGCUUCUGGCCGGACGGUAAAUACAGAGAGCACGACGAAACGACGAUGUCGCUUCCUCCAGAAAUAAUCGUUGAUAUUUUCUUGAAGCUUCCAGUAAAGCCUCUGCUACGUUUUAGAUGCCUUUCAAAAUCAAUGUGCAGUACAAUAGAUGAUUCAGAUUUCAUCAAGGCUCAUCUCAAUAGGUCAAUUGAAACUAACACCCACAAGAAGCUGAUUCUUUUUGGCCAUACAAAAACUUCCACAGUGAUAUCAGGGAUUUACGCGGUGGAUUUGUCCGACGGACUCAAAGAAUCAGUUAAGCUCGACAACUCACUCAAUCAUGGACGGUUCAGCGUCAUAGAUUGCUGCAGCGGUUUGUUUCUCUUACUUGAACCCAGAAUAAUCAACUCAUUGAACACAGUGAAACUUGUGCUCUGGAAUCCGUUUACUAAACGGUACAAAAGAUUAACAGAUCCCCCAGUUGAAUCUUCUAGUAUGUUUAAGCCACUUCAACAGUACAGUUACAGAUACUUCGAUAGUUUCGGGCUGGGGUAUGAUGCUGCCAGGAAUGACCAUAAGGUUGUGAGGAUUCUUUAUGAAAAACCGAAAGAAGUUUGGAUUUAUAGUUUGAGAUCUGAUUCUUGGAGAAAAGUUGAAGAUUGGUGUCAGAUUGCGUUAGGUGUAAUGGGUAUGUUUGUUAAUGGUGUUAUGUAUUUUGAAGGUGAAAAUCUUGAAAACAUUGUUUCUUUUGAUUUUGCAACAGAGAAGUUUUCCAUAAUGCCAUUCCCUGAAGGUUACGAAAAAAGUUGUAGUCAUUUACGUGUUUUAGAAGGGCGACUCUGUUUGUGUACGCUUGGACGCCAUAGAACACUUGACAUCUAUGUUGGUGAUAAGCAUGAAGAUGGGCUAACUUGGAGCAAAUUGAUUAAGAUUCCAGAUUAUCAGACUCAUACUGAUCAUAUUCGAAAUUUGAGACCUUUGUGCUAUUCCAGGGAAGGAGAUAAGAUUUUGCUUAUUGAGGAAAGAGAUGAUUUUGUUUGGUAUGACCUCAACAAGAAAACAACUGAAAGCAUCCAAACAGUAUGUGAUAUCAAAAAACACUAUCGUUUGAAAUUUUUCAAUCUAUCAAACAACACUACUUGUUGGGAGAGUCUUGUUUCCCUUGGGUGAUGAUAAUAUUGACCAGAGCUCCAUUAGUUCCUGCAGAUUGGCUUGGAAUUUUCUGAUUUUUGGGUUUAUGUUUCAGUCUCUGCUGCUCCUCUUUUUUGGGUUGUUAUGGUUAGAUUAGGCAGUCUGUUUUCUGUAAUCUCAUUCUUCUGUUCUUUUCUGCAUUUUUUGUUCUAUGUAUAGCCUUGGUUCUUACCGGAAAAAACAUACAUAUUGGUGAGUUCAAAGGAGGUCAUUAUAGGCACCUUGAACCACCCUUAUAUUUAUAUAUACAAAACUAUGAUAAUGAAAUGAAGUACAAUACACCAAUUACUUGUUGUAUCCCAACAUAGUUUAAAAUUUUUACACAAAAAUUAAGAAAAUAAUUAAUUCUUUUAUAUUAUAAAAAAAUCAAAAGUAAUUUAAAUAAAUUAUCUUUGAGGUCGCUUCAUUGUUAUACAUGUAAUAAAUAAGGAUAAAAUUGAAAAAAUAUCAUUUACUAUUUCUUAAAAUAUUCAAAAAAGCUUUUAUAUUUUAGAACUAUUUAAAAAUUUUCGUUAUAACUUAAAGUUACUUUCUUAAUAUACUACUUACAUUUGGAAUUUCACGUUCCUUAAGAAAACUAUUAAAUUUAUCUAAAUUACAAUAAAUUAUUGAGUAAAUUCACUAUAUUAUCCUUAAUUUAAUACUAAUUCUCUAAGAAAACCAUUAAAUUUAAGUAAUAAUUAUUGGUCAUAUACAAAGGGUAAACAUAGAAAAAAAAAGAUUUAUUACUUCUUAAGACCAUAAAUGUGACAAGUAUUUUCGAACAAAUUAUUUUCUCAAAUGUGAUAAAUAUUUUAGAAUGGAGGUAGUAUAUAUACAUAUAAAAGGUGUUCAAUUUCAAUUAUUAAUCAAUUCAAUUAAAGAAUAAGGAAUAAAAUUUUCCUAAUAUUAAAAAAAUAAUAAAAAAGGGUAAGAAGUUAUGUUAAAUAGGGUGAAUAAAUUAUCCUAUGAGGCUUCAUACAUUCAUAUACUGAUUUUUUUUUACCAGCAAAUUAAUUUAUUUUAUUAAUAUAAAUCAGGAAAAACUUAAUAUUUUUAGGUAACUAAAUCCGAACCAUCCGGCUUCCUUGUAACCCAAAUCUAAUUUAAUAAUUUAAGUAAAAAAAUCCGAAAACUAAAAAUAUUCUUAUACUUAUCUAAUUAUUUUAUAAGAUUUUUUAUAUUAGGAAUUUUCAAAGAUUGGUCUCGUCUUUUUAGACCAAAGGUUCCUGUUUAGCGGUGUAUUGUUUUUCUUUUUUAGUUGUUGCAUGACAUUUAUUGUUCCUAAUAUUAAACUCCAAUUGAAUGUCUAAUUAAAUUGUAUUCAAUAUAAUAGCAAAAAAAUAUAAAACUGUAUUUUAAAAUACCAAAAUAUAUUUGUUCAAUUUUUUUAUUUAUUUUAAUAAAAAUUCUUAAACAAUUCAUAUUCAAUUAAUAGUCUAUUCAAUUGAGGAAUUCUUUUUAAUUUUUUCAACCAAUAAAAUUAAAAUUUUUAAAAAUAUUUUUUAUCUAUUUCAAUACUUCCUCUCCUUAUUUUCUACUUGUAUAGGAGACAAUAGAUAGAUUAUUAUGAUAAAUAUUCCAAAAAAGGUAAAAUAUUAUUUCUACUUCUGGCAGAAACAUUUAUAAAUAAUAUAAUUAUAUAUCUUUUUUCUCUCUGGUUCAUCAAACUCUAAUUUUAAUUGGAGUUGUCGCUAUUAAUUAACAGUAGUCUCUACUUUUUACUUUUUCUUUUGCUUAUUCUUUUAUUCCCUUUUAAUAAACACAUAUCUAUUUUUCAUUAGAUCUAUUUUUCUUUGUUAUUUUGUUAUUAUUGUUUUGUCUAUAUAUUUGGAGUUUUUUUUAUCACUUCUUUCAUGAUGGUUUGAUCCCUUCUCUGUGAGUGUUUAGUACUAAAUAAAAAGUUUAAUAUUUGAUUUUAUUUAGUUGGUUUAUUUAGAUCUUUGGUUUGUUGAUGUGUAUCUUCGAUCAAUUGAGUCUUACAGUGCGGUUUGUUCUUCCUCUGCUACUGCUAUUGAUGUAUAUAGUGGCGGGAACUCAUCCAUAUCUAAUAAAUUUUUUGGAAAAGAAUCCAAGUAUUGAAAAUCCAAAGAAGUUUUUUGUCAUUUAAAUUAAUUAAAUGACCAGUUGCUACUAAUUAUCUUCAAGUGAAAAAAUAUAAUAUUGUCUCUUUUAAUUUUAUUUUUAUUAUUUAAAAUAAUAUAGAUAAUUCCUUUGAUUUGUUAAAAAAUCAACAAACUCUCUAUUAAUUAUGGUUGUAAUAAGAAUCAAUUUGUUAAUUUUCUUGCAAGGAAAGGAGUUGAGGCGUAAGAUGUUUUCUUAGCUUAGAUUUAAAUUUUCGUUUGGAUUUCUUUUUAUUUAUGUAUUAUCUUUUCCUAACUCAGGAAAAUAAGUAAUUCUUGUUUAGUCUAUUUUGAUCUAUUUUAGUUUUCAAGUUUUUCACUUAACAUUUUCGAGUUAGGUUUAGGUAUAAAGAGAAGUCUGAUGGUUCGGAUUUAGUUGCCUGAAAAUGUUAAAUUUUUCUUGGACAAUAUAAUUUAACAAAAAUUAUUUUUACUGAUAAAAAAAGUAUUUGUAAUACUUCAUAUUAACAUUGAUGAAUUAUAUUUUUCAAAAAAAAAUAUAUAUAAAUGAUUUAUUAUGCCAUAUACUUCAAAUUGUCAAAUUGAAUCAGUAAUCAAAUAAAUUUCAAUUAUUUUAGCAUUUUCAAAAUUAUUUGAUUUAUCUAUUAAUUCAUCAAUUUUCAAUAAACUUAAUACUUUAUACUUCCACUUUAAACCUAAGAAAAUAUUCAAUUGAUCUAAAAUAGUAUAUCAUAAGCUCUAAUAAGCCCCUAAAAACUCAAAAAUCAAAGCACUAAACUUUAAAAUCUUUAGAUAUAAACUCUAAAACCUUAAAACUCUAAGGCUUAAAUUCUAAUUUUAUUAUUUUAAGGGGGGCCCGUAAGAUAUAUUUUUCCAAAUCUCAUAUAUAUAUAUAUAUUCACAUCCAAAUACAAUUUCACUUAAAUUGCAACUUUUUUUUUUCUUAAACCUUUUUUAUUUUGAUUUUAGGUUUAGCUUAUUCGAAUCAACAACACACACAGCACAGAGAAACGAGAUGUCGCUUCUUCCAGAAAUAAUCUUUGACAUCUUUUUGCGGCUGCCGGUAAAGCCUCUGCUACGUUUUAGAAGCCUUUCAAAAUUAACGUGCUCUUUCAAAAUUAACGUGCUCUACAAUCGAUGAUUCAGAUUUCAUCAAGGCUCAUCUUAACAGGUCAAUUGAAACCAACAGCCACAAAAAGCUGGUUCUCGAUGGCCAUGCACCAACUUUCCCUCAGCUUUACGCCUUGGAUUUCGACGACGGGCUCAAACAACCAGUUGAGCUCGAUGAUCCACUCAAACAUAGUCAUGGAUGGUUCGGCUACCAUAUCUCAGGUUCCUGCAGCGGUUUGCUUCUAUUACUUGGCGAGAACACAUUAAAGACAGUGAAACUUGGGUUAUGGAAUCCGUUUACUAAACGGUACAAAAUAUUAACAGAUCCCGCAGUUAGUAUUAUUUGGUCUUCCAAUUACAGAAGGUGCGAUAGUUUUGGGCUUGGGUACGAUGAUACCAGCAAUGACUAUAGGGUUGUGAGGAUUCUACAAGAGAUGCAGAGAGAAGUUUGGAUUUAUAGUUUGAGAUCUAAUUCUUGGAGAAAACUUGAUGUUUGGUGCGAGCUCUCCCAAGGUGAUAUGGGGGUCUUUGUUAAUGGUGUUCUUUAUUUUCAUGGGAAAAAUUUGGAGACCAUUGUUGCUUUUGAUAUUGCAACAGAGACGUUCUGCACAAUCCCAUUACCUGAAUGCUACAUACCUCAAGGUUUCCGACAUACAAGAGGUUUAUGUGUUUUAGAAGGGAAAUUAUGUUGUUGUUAAUAUGGAGAAAAUGGAGUUGAUAUCUAUGUUGGUGAUCAGCAUGAAGAUGGGCUAACUUGGAGCAAACUCACUAUGAUUACAUAUAAAUAUAAUUUUCUAGUGACACCUGUUUUCUAUUCUGGGGAAGGAGAUAAGAUUUUAUAUAUUGAGGAAAAUAAUGAGGUUGUUUGGUAUGACUUCAACAGGGAAACACAUGAAAGAUUCCAAACAGUACCAAGUUAUAUCUUUUGAUCAUUCAAGUACUAUUUGUUGGGAAAGUCUUGUUUCCCUUGGUGAUGAUGCCAUUCCUGUUGAUUAGUUUGCAUUUUAUGAUUUCCCAAUUCGUAUUUAGUCUGCUCAUCUUCAUUUUUGGGUUGUGAUAGGUUAACAUUUUCAGGAAUCUAUCUCAAUACACCAAAUUUUGUGAAAGAACCGUACUGUACUCAUCUAGAAUUUUGAAUAUUUGAUUUAUUGGUCAUCAUCUAGAAUUUUGAAUGUUUGAUUAACUAGUCUUUUUUUUUUUUUUACUAACAAUAGUUCUAGGGCAAAGGGGAAAUGAAUGCACAUAGUCCUUAUAUGAUAAUUUAAGAAAUCAUAAGAGUCAAAUUUAAGUACUCUUGUAAAAGAGACAAACAACAUGUACAUUUUUUAAAUGGCCAUUUAAAAUAUUUUAAAUCAUACUAAAAUUUUUUUAAUAUCUUUAAAAAUUAAAAAUUUUUAAUAUUUUUUUAUCUCUCUCAUAAUUAAAACCUUUUAAAUUACAAUCAAACAUUAUAUUUUUUUUUCUAUUGGUCAUGACUAAUGAUAUUCUAAAAUAUCUCAAAUUUUACUAAAAAUAUUUUAAAAACAGAGAACCAUAUUUGAUUGACCGAAGUAAAAGAUAUCUACCACUCCAAAUAUAAGUGAGAAUCGGACCACAUCUGAUUGACAAUAAUUAACUUACUUGUUUUGGACGUAUAUAUAUUCACAUCCAAAUUAGGUUUUCACAUUACUCUCAACCAUAAGUGUUUUAAUCAAUUUGGUGAAUUCAGGGGAUAGCUACCCCUAUCGUGUAGCUCAUAGUGUUAUCUUGGCCCAUCGGGCCUCCCAAUCAAUAAAAAAAAAGGAUUUCACUUAAACUUUAUUUAUUUCCAUAAAAUAACUUGCAGUGAAAUAUUUUCCAUAAUUUCCAUAAUUUAGGUUGUUCAGAAAAAUAAGUCAAGAGAAAAUAUUUUGUUGGUCAAAAGAAAAUUAAGUCAUUUUAAGGAAAAUGACUUCCCAUUUUCGAUAGAAUAAAAUAUUUUCCAGAUAUUGACAGACUUAUUAUAACUUUAUUAAUCCUUUUUUUUUUAAAUUUAUUAAUCAUCGGUCACCACUAUCACCACUCACCAUUUAUCAUCAGCCACCACCAUAGGUUACCGUCGACUUUCAUAAUUUACCCUUUUUUUUUUUUUGCAUUCUUCACAUUUUUAAUAAUAAAAUUUUUAAGAUACAAAAUUUUUAUUAUUAAUAAUAUUUUUAUAGUCUCAUGAGAAUAAAAUUUUAAUAAUUUUAAUUAAUUUUUUAUAUUGCAACCAAACAAUAAAAAAUAAAUCAUUUAAAAAAUAUUUUCAAACAAAACAUUUUUCAAAUGAGAAACAAACGAUUUUUUUUUUUUUUGUUGUUGUAAAAAGCCAUCCCGACGAAUCCGGAUUCAUGUCGAAAUAGGAUUUCACACAACCAAGACCUUAAAAAAAAAAAAAAAAAAAAAAAAAAAAAAAAAAAAAAAAAAAAAAAAACCAUCCAUCUUGUAUUUGAAACUCACUAGGAGUCAUAUCCAAAUAGGAUUUCACUCAUUAGAUUGCCUUUUUGUUAUUUUCAAGAAUUAGAAAAAAAAAAAAAAAAACUUUGUCAUUUUGAUUUUAGGUUUAGGUUUAGCUUUAAUUCGAAUCAACAACUCACUUCUUUUGGCUGGAAGGCGAACACAGAGCACAGGGAAAGGAAGAUGUCGCUUCUUCCGGAAAUAAUCUUUGAUAUCUUAUUGCGGCUGCCGGUAAAACCUCUGCUACGUUUUAGAUGCCUUUCAAAAGUAAUGUUCUGUACAAUCGAUGAUUCAGAUUUCAUCAAGGCUCAUCUUAACAGGUCAAUUGAAACCAACACCCACAAGAAGCUGAUUCUUGUUUCCCGUAGACAAACUUUCCCUGUACUUUGCACCUUGGAUUUCGACGACGGAAUGAAAGAACGAGUUAAGCUCGAUGACCCACUUAACCAUAGCCAUAGAUGGUGGGCCUACCGCGUCUUAGGUUGCUGCAACGGUUUGAUUCUAUUAUACGUAGACAUCAUAAAGAAACUUAUCUUAUGGAAUCCGUUUACUAAACGGCACAAAAUAUUAAAAGCUCACGCAAAUGAAUCACUUAGACGCUACGAUGGUUUUGGGCUCGGGUACGACGCUGCCAGCAAUGACUACAGGAUUGUGGUGGUUCCAUAUAAAAUGCCAAAAGAAGUUUGGAUUUAUAGUUUGAGAUGUAAUUCUUGGAAAAAAGUUGAUGGUAUAUGGUUCGAGCUCCACCUAUGUGAUUUGGGGAUGUUUGUUAAUGGUGUUCUGUAUUUUGGUGGGAAAUAUUUGGACAAGAUAGUUGCUUUUGAUAUUACAACAGAGACUUUCUGCACAUACCCAUUACCUCAAACUUCCAGAUUUUCAAACAAUUUGUGUGUUUUAGAGGGGAAACUAUGUUUUUAUACGUGUACAAGAAAUGGAACAAUUGAAAUUUAUGUUGGUGAUAAGCAAGAAGAUGGGCUAACUUGGAGCAAAUUGACAACAAUUAGAAGUAAUAGUAUAUUAUGUGAAACACCUUUGUUCUAUUCCAGGGAGGGGAAUAAGGUUUUGGUUUUUGAGGAAGAUAAUAACGUUGUUUGGUGUGACCUCAACGAGAAUGGAAUUGAACGGGUCAAGACAGUAAAUGAUAUCAAAAAACACUACCAAGUGAUAUGUUUUAAUUAUUCAAGUACAACUUGUUGGGAAAGUCUUGUUUCCCUUGGCCAUGAUAGUAGAAAUUAAUUAAUUCUUGUUCAUGUUUAGUCUCUAUUGCUCUUCUUCAUUUUUGGGAUGUGAUGAUUAGAAGAGUAGGUAAAAUGUUAUGUUCGUCUGUUCUUUUCUGCCUUUUAUUGUGUUUUCAGCCCUUUUUUUUUUUUAUUAGCAAAAUUAUUAUUAUUAUUAUUAUUAUUAGUCUUUCUUCUUCGCAGAACUUUUUCCAUCUCCUCUCGUUUUUUCUGCAAAUCACUCUCAAGUUGACUCUUCUGAAGCUCAAACUCAUGCAGCAUUUCCUUUGUCUUACUUUGAGAUUUCUCAGCUAUUGCAGACUGUUCGUGUUCCAUGUUUGCCUCAAAAGAUUCUUUUGGCCAUUUCAAGAUCUUCCAGCUCCCUUUUUAUAGUGUCUUCCACUGCCUGUUUUUCAUUUUUUAUUUUUCUUCUUCUGAAAAUAAAUCAAUUUACAUGGUUUUGUUAUGCAAAUUUAUUGUUGUACAAAUAAAAUUAAUUAUGCAACACAAAAUUACAUAUAAUAAAAACAUGGUUAGACAUGUAUAUCUAUUUUACUAAACGGAAAAUAGCAAUCCCUUAUUUUAGUUAUUUUCUUUCCUCCAUGGCCUAAAACUCAGGCUUCUUCCAAAUUUAUUUAGUCAAGCAGAGAUAAUGGGGCUUUAAGAACACAUGCAAUCCAAUAUCAAUUUGCUUAACGAUAUAUACUUAAUUUUAGUAAUAGGAAUAAACCUCUUCUAACAAGAGUACAUAAGCUAAUAAAACCUCUUCUAUGCUGCGGUAUAUUGUCAAAUGAAGGAUCUUUCCAAUUACAUGAACAGUCGCCUAUUGCAAAAACCUGGUGGAUUUAGAAAUCAAUUGGAAAGAGGAGAAAAUAAGUUCUGAGGCAGCUUUAGAGGAAGCAGCCCAACCCCUCCAAUUGCAAUCCAAAUUAAAGGAAGAGAUAAAAAAAAAAGUGCAGGCUUCAGGAAGAGCUGCUUUUGAAGGAGGUCGAAGAUUUGAAGCAACAAAACGAGAAUUUUGAAGAGAGAUAGACUGAUUGGAGAAAAUGAGUUUGUAGUUGUAUAAACAAUAAACGACAACAUUUAUGCUAGAGUGGACAAGAUUUUUCCAUGUUGGCAUAAAUUUAUAUACUUCAGGCUUCUACAUACGAUCGACCACAUGCUCUCAUUUAUCAGCCUGAAGAAGUACAUGAAUGAUGCAAACAAAUGAACCUCAAGUGCAUAAGUGGUUCUCCGCAAAGUUAAGGGUGCCGUAGGAAUUUUCUUUGAAAUCUAUGUAUUUGGGCUUUUUAGGAUAAUUUGUAUUUUUUUUUUUUUUUUUUUUUUUGUCUCAAGAGAAAGAGGGAUUUUUUUAUCGGAUUUGUAUAUUGUUUGGCCAGGUUUUAUUAACAUUUUCGGACUAGUUAUAAGUGUAUUGCGAAAGCCUAUUGGCUUGGAUAGAUUCUUGAAAAUAUUAAACUUUUAUUAGUUCUAGUACAGAUGUGAGCAAUAGAGCUGACUCUUAUAACCUCUGGAUGAAUUCAUUAAACUCCUUAUUUUGGUGUGUAUAAUUUAUGUAUGUGAUUGGCUUCAAAUUAUUUCGAGUUACGGAUCAAACUAAGGAGAAAAUUUUAGAGUUGGGUUAUAAUUUGCUGAUUGGCAAUGAAUAUGUAUUCUGCAAGUGCAUGGGUCGUAUAAGUAACAUAGUGAAAAAGAUUGUCGAAUCCACAGGGAUUGGGGUAUAGAUUACUAAUUUAACACGUGUGGUUCGACUAACAGGUAAAUCUUCCAAUCAUACAAAUUGAUCCAAAAUUACUUUUGAAUAAUUAUAGUUUGAUUAAUUUAGUAAUAAUUUAAUACAAAAUUAUAUUUAGAAAAAACAAAGUAAAAAUUAUAGUUUAAUUAUAUUGAUUAAGUUUUAUUAAUCUGUAUACAAGUCAAAUCAUGGCAAAAAUUAUGGGACAGCAGAAAGUAACAUUUAACUGUGCAAAUUUGUCUCACACGUACAUGUACACAUAUACAUAACUUUUUUUAAUUUUAUAUAUAUAUAUAUAUAUAUAUAUAUAUAUAAUAAAAAUAAGAUUUUUGCACUCUUUCCAGUACUGAUAUUUUUUUUUCUUUUUGGCGAGUUUUUGUUUUAACAUUUUCAGAUUAAUUAUAGGUGUAUUGGGGAAAUAUAUUACUUUGGGAUAGAUUCCCGAAAAUGUUAAACUUUUCUUGGUAUCUUUAAUUCUAAUGAUUUCCUUUUAGUUGCUGAUAAUACUAAGGCAAAUUUGGCUCUGUGGAAUUGCAAUUAUCUCUAGACUCUAGGGCUUAUUUAGCUCCAAGUUAUAAUCCCAAUCGGAGUCUUAAAAGAAAACCUAAAACCACCAGUUUUUAUAAUUCAUAUUAAUCAGUUUUGAUUUAGGAUUUGACUUCAUAAACCCUACUCUAUAUAUAUAUAUAUAUAUAUAAGAGAAUAACCUUCGAUUUGCAUACUUUUUUUUAUAACCAAACGGUUUAAUUCCUUGGAGCUGCAGAGCGUAAAGAUAUUUUGCCCUCUCAGCAAACUAAGCCACCUCACGAUUUGCAUAAUUUAUUACUAUUCUUUUAAGUUAUAAUAUAAUGGCAGAGAGAUCUGAACUUCCUUGCGGGUACCGUUUUGUUCCUACAGAUGAAGAACUUGUUAACUUUUAUCUUCGAAGAAAGGUGGAAAAACAACCACUACCUCGUGGCGUUGUAAGAACUCGCGACAUUUACAGUAAAAAUCCAUGGGAGAUCUUCGAUAAGAGUUGCAAUGGUUUCUUUUACGUGUUCACUACGUUGAGAAAGAAGCAGAAUAGCAGAACAAGAUUUGAUAGAACAGCUGGUUCAGGGACUUGGAAGAAUCGUUUUUCGAAAAGCUUUCCUGGUGAUGAUGGCAAAUCUUUUUGGUUCAAGAAAGAUUACGUUUUUGAACUCAAUAAAAAUCAAAGCUCUGCAGAUUCAUCUAUUGAUAAUGGACAUUGGAUUAUGCAAGAGUUUUCUCUCGAGGAUGAAGGGGUAAGUACACUUUUUUAUUAUUUUUUUUUAUUAGCAAUUUUAUAUUUUAUUAAUAAUAAUUUCAGGAAAAAAAAUUUAAUAAACCUUAGCAUCCUAAAUUGCACCUGAAUUAUUAGUUAAGCUGUAAUUUGAGCUAAAAUGUUGAUUUGCUGUAGAUGUUAGUUGUUAUAGUAGCUGUUAAUUAUUAAAUUUUAGCUGUUAGUAGUUAGUUAUUUAUAUAGCAGUUUAAAAUAAAAGUGUUACAAAAAAUGAUAAGAUCAUAGAGAACAAAGACAAGUGAUGCACAUAGGCUUAAUAAAAAAUUUAUAUAAAAUGCUAAAGGUGAAUGAGAAUAACAUGAAUUAGGAUAGAUGUGACGUUAUCGAACAUAAUAAUUAAUUAAAACAAUCAAAACACUAAACAUUACUCUUAUUGCAUAAUAGAGCCUUAAUACAUCCACGUUUAGACCAUCGUUAAUUUUACAGGUAAAGGUAAGUUAGGGCCGAACAGUUAGGCUUUGUUUGGCAAAAUUAGCUGUUUUUAUAGCUUUUAGCAGCAAUUUGAGUAGUUUUCUUAAAAUAUUAAAAAGCUAAUAUUACAUAUUUGAAAUUUUUAUAAAACGUUACCUUAACAUCUAAAAGUUAAUUCAAACACUAUGUUACAGAACACUAGCGUUUAACAUUUUGGUGGCAUGCUAUGUUACCGAACACUAACGUUAGCGUUUUGACCGCUAUUUAAAAAACUAUUCAGUAAUAUAGCGUUUGAACUAGCUUAUGGAGGUUAAGAUAACGUUCGUUUUGUGAAAAGUUAACUCAUAUAAUGUUUAGUUUUUAGCAUUUCAUGAAAAAAUACUGAAACAGUUAACAGUUAAACACUACAAAAACAGUUAAUUUUGUCAAAACAGACGCUUAGUCUAAAAAUGCGGUUUUAUUUUCAUUCAUCCAAUCGUCUGUCAAUUUUUAUUUUUCUCAUAGAUGCCAAUGUUUCACUCUUCUGUUGCAGUCAAAUAGUUAUGUCCUCUGUAAAAUUAGCAAUAAAAAUGCAAGAGAUUCACAAAAGGAGAAAAAAGAAAUCGUUGAGCCAAAAAGACACUCGAAUGAAAGAAAAUUUUCAAGUGAUGACAAGGAAGAUCAAAACCCUAAAAGGAUGCGAAUUAACAGCCAUUGCUUAUUCCCUCCAUCAGAUGGAAAUGUAAAGCCUCAAACAUCAAUACCAGAUGCUGAUUCACUUGAAGCAGUACUUGGAAAAUUUUGGGUUCCAAAAGAAGAUAGCAACAAAAUAUUUAACUCAUCCAUGUCAUUAUUUUGACCUAACUCUUAAUGCCUUGCCUAAUUUAUACUCCCUCGUCUCACAAUUUUUUAUUUGCAUACAGAUUACUAAAAAUUUAGUUAGUUUAGUUACCUUUGUAUACCUUAUUAAGAGGGGGCAAUUGCCCCCUCUCAUUUAAAAAAAUAAAUAAAUAUUUAGUUAUUCUAGGCUUUGCUUUUAGUUUUUGUUACUUCAUCUUAUUAAUAUAAAAAAAUAUAGUAAAUUUCAAAUGUUAUUCAAGGUGGUAAGCGAACUCAAUCCCGUAAAAGUUAGAACACAAGUUCGAUCCUUGGGAAGCGCACUUUGCUAGGAGGUCAAAAACUUUUACGCUCUACGAACCUAAAUGAUUAAACCUUUAUGGCCCGAGCGGAUUAUUGGAUUCUGUUUAUUCUGCUCUUGAAAAGGCAGGAGGGGCCAGUUUGAAUUGUUGUAUCAGAGAGUGGUUGGCCAUCUAAAGGAGACGAUGCAGGAACACUUGAUAAUGGAGGCACUUAUUAUAAGAACUCGAUUAAUUAUGUCAAGCAAGGGACCCCUAAGAAGUCAGGACAAGCUAUAAAGACUUACCUGUUCGGCCUGUUUGAUGAGAACCUGAAAGAAAGAAGCAGGAUUCCUACAAGUUGGUCUUUGAGAGGGUGAGGAAAAGAAAGAAACAGAGAGAGAGGGAGAAGUUAGCUAUAUGGCUUCUAAUUUUUCAUUUCUAGCAAAACCCUCAUAAAAAGGCCAGAACUAUGCACAAAAUGGGAUAUCUGAAAUCUUUAACUGAACUCUCUUACUGUAUUUCUGAAAUCUUAGCACAGAUCCAUCAGAAUAUACAACUUCAAGUAGAAGAACAUACUAACAACAAUUGAUCAGCUUAUAUUUGUGGCCUAAGGGGCUAAGACCUUCAUGGGUUAAAACCAAUUAUCAUAUUAAUCAAACCUUCUGCUAAUAGCAAAUAUAGAGGAGAAAGUAAGAACAAAAGUUGAAGAUCAAGGAGUUCAUUUAAACAAUAGAGUAAGCAGGUAAAACUAGGCUCCACAUAAAUGCUAGAAUGGCUAACAUGGUGAAGCCGAUGAAAAUUUCAGCUUACAAAUGCAACGAAGGAAAUUAUAGAGUUAAAGUUAAGAUAGAAAGAAGACCCAUAAAAAAACUCAAGGAUCUUUACCGGUCACCUUUAAAUUAAAAUCGGUUUUGGUUCCAAAUCAAACCAUGGCUAUGCCUAAUUAUACUAUGACAAUUGAUGAAAAAAAAAAUGUACUUGUAACAGUCAUUUUACGUUUUAAUAGCUACCACUACUGAAAAUUGUACUUUUAACAAUCAUUCAACAGCUAUCAGCUUAAUAAAAUAAGCCCUUAAGAGGAAAGCGCAUUGUUAUCCGUAGAAAUAUAAAAUUUAGGGCACCGCAUUGUAAUAUUAAUAAAUCUCUAAUGGAACAAUAUAGCAGUAAAUUAUUGUGCCUGAACAAAAUCUGAAGGGUUAGAUACUUGUACUUUUGAGACAGAAAAGGUUAAAGUCUUCCAUAAACCAUAUAUAACACAGGAUUUCAGAAACCUUCAAUUGGUCUCUCACAUUGAAACUAAUCAAGCCAAAAAAACAGGGGAAAAAAAUGAAUGAAAAACACAUCAGAUUAUAGCACAGUAUCCACAGAAUAUACAGCUCAAAGGAGACGAACACAUCACCAACGCUUGAACAGCUUCUGUAGUAGCAAAGUUACAUCAUUCAAUAGUCAUGUUCAAUUGGCUACAGAGUCUGAAAACUGUUUAAAGUUGAAUCAAUGACAUUACAAGUUGACAAAUAAACCACAUUGCAAUGUCACUCUGAAUUUCAAUCCAUGGUACAGGUGUAGAAGUCCUAUGAUCUAUGAGCCUUCUUGGGCAACAAUGUCAUGCUGUGACAUCCCUGUCAGUAAAAAUGAUUUUGUUACUUACAAAAAAAUUAAAACCAACAAUUUAAAGAGACUAAGGAAAGAAUAUAAGCAGUAGGCUUACAAUGUCAAGAUAGCUUAGUUACCCAAGAAGUAACUAAAGUAAUUCAGUUUAAGUAUGGAGAUAAUUAGCAGCCAUCAUCAGAUCCAGAGUCAGUUCAGGUUCAAUUGGGAAUUCAGUCUCCUUUCCACUGGCAGCAGAGUAGCAAUUAAAUGUCACCAAAGAGUAAAUAGCCGAAGAAUAUUAGGAAUUAUUAUUUCACAGCAUUUGCAGCAACUAUGUAAAUGGAAAAAUAUAUCUCAAAACAUUAGCAGGAAGAACUAGGCUCCACAUGAAUGCUAGGAUGGUCGACAUGGUAAAGAUGAUGAAAAUUUCAGCUUUCAAAUGCAAGGAAAAAAAUUUUAUAGUCAAAACUCCAUAAGAAAGGAAGAAGUCCCAUAAACAGAUUCAAGGAUCAAAGAAGCACAAUAAGCACAUGAAAAUCCCAAGCGUGCACACUGAAAAGUUAGCAAUUUGAGUGAAAAGACUAAAAAAGUAUUUGUGUUUAGGGCAUAUUUAAUUCCUCUAACAACCUUUCCAAGACAAAUGAGCUACACACAAAUAUUAAGUUAACCUCUAACUUUCUCAAUCCACAGAUCAUAGAGUGCUUGUCAGUACGGUUGCAAACCAUUUCAUAUUCACAAAAUAAACCUCAACAUACCCAUUUCAGAAUUCAAACUAAAUAAAUGACAGUUCAAUAUCUCCUAAUCAAACAAAAUAGCAAUGGAGCUUUGAGCAAAACAAUUUUAUCAAACAUUCCACCAAAAAACAAGAAUAGAAAAACCAUCAGAGAUGUAAUACAAUUACAAAACCAACCAAAUUGCCCCCCAACACCCCUUCAAAAAGAGUACUGUAUAAAGGCAGGCCUCACUAGCAUAAAGGAUAGAUCAACAAAACUAUAACUUAUGAAACAUAAAUCUGAAAUCAAGUUAACUAGCAUGGUAAAUUUCUCAAACCACAACAAACGUUAGCCAUGACCCAGCCAAAACAAAAGGGUAAGACAAGAUAUGGACCAAUCCCAAAAUGCUGAUGCAAAUGAACUUAAUUUGAACCGCAAACUAAUGUAGAACAAACACAAACAAAUAAACAAAUAAUACACAAAUAUAAAAGGAAAAGAACAGAACUUGGCAUAUUGAAGAGACCAAUAGAAAUAUUGGCAGAUCUUCUCCAGAAUUACAGUACUUAUCUCAGGAAAUGUCACUUCUCCAUGCUGUGUCUCUGCGAAACUCCCUGCCACAAUUUUAAAAAAUGACACUUUUAGAAACCCCAUCUCUAUCUCAAAACCCAAAUUAAACCCUAAUUUCAAUCUAAAAAGUACACUAUUUAAUUCCUAAUAUGAUUAGCAACAAUUAACAUAAAUGACAGCAAAAUUUAAUCCAAAUACAUUAAUAAUCCUUGAUUAAUUAGAGAAUAUCCUCGAUUAAUCCAAACACAAACAAAGGGAAAAGAAAACUGUCAAUCAAAAUAGAAACAACUCAAAAUUAAGACUGACCUGGAGAGGUAAGCAUGUUGCGUAUGGUUUGGGAAACCAUGGCGGCUUCCUUGUCAAUCACGAACUCGAAGCCCUCAGCGCUGAUUAGCUUAACUGUGUCUUCCUUCCUCAUCUUCUUCCUUUCACAGAGAUUUCUCCUUUCGACCCAAAUCAAUGGUGAUCCGGGAGACCGAAAUGGAAGAGAGUUUCGAUUCCUUUUCUAUUCUCUAUGAGGAUUUGGAUUUGUUUGCAUAGCGUCUUAAAAUUGCAUUUUAGAGUCGUGGGUCUUGCUUGGCUCGCGGGCUUUAGUGCUCCAAUCGCUGGAUUGGACUUGGUCUUUUUUUAAAUUAGUUUUUUUAAGAAAGUGCUGCUCAGUUAUAAAAUUAUUUCAAUUUUUGUAAAAGUGAAAAUAUAAAUUUAAUUACUUUAAAUAAAAAUUGAUUUCAAAAAAAUUAAAUUAUUAUUUGUUUAAAUAAUAAAAUUAGUUCAUCGGAAAAGUGCAAAAUUACAUUUUAAUUUUCACCACUAAUGACAUCUUUGCUUAAUUAAAAUUGCAAUAUAUUUGAAACGAGCAAAUGAUUCUUAGUCCAAUUUGUAAUACACUUGCAAUAUAUUUAUAGUACCUGAUUGCAAAAAAGAUAUAUUUAUAUACUUGAAAUGAAAAAAAAAAAAAAAUACUGAAGUUUUAUAGGUAAGGGAAUCAAAGAUAGGUGAUCCACCUUAAGUUACAUUAGAAUUGAAAUGAAUUAAAAUACAAGAGAUAACUCUUUUGUUUUUCAUUGCUCUAUCCCAAUUUGCCGAGAUGGAUCGGUUCGAUUCAGGUUUUGCAUAGUCCGUGGUUUUGCAUACCCCUAAAAGUAAGAGUCAAAAUAUCACUUUAUUAUUUAUAUUGUUUCGCGAUAUAGUAUUUGUUUUACUAUAUUAGGAAGGACAAAAUUAAAAAGAUAUAUUAAAAUGAGAGUUGCGACAGUACUAAGGUUCUAUUUUUAUGUCUCGAUAUUUUAAAAUAAGACUAAAAAUGAUCUAAUAUUGUCUCAUUAUGAUUCAUGCACACCCUUAAUAAUAAUAAUAAUAAUAAUAAUAAUAAUACAUCUAAAUUAUGGAUGGAAUCUUUAUAUUGCAACAUGAUUAAUGGAUAAAAUUAUGGAAUCAAUUCGCGAAAUUGUCUCAAUAAAAUAAUUUACCGAGCUGAACCGAGGUUAUUCGGUAAAAUGGUUCGGUGCAUUGAUAAAUGAUACACGGUCGAUAAGUUUUUUUAACAAAAUUCGAUAAAUGGUUCAACAAAGUAAUUAAAAGAAUUUCAGAAUUUUCGAUUUACCAAUUUAUUAAAAAUGGCAUCGUUAUAAUUAAAAAAAAAAAAAUUCAACCCUUAUAUAGUAAAUUUAUCAAUUCGGUCAGUCCGUUGUAAACAAUAAAAUUUCAUCAGUAAACAGUAAAUGGUAAAUUUGGUAAAUAUUUAAAUCAGUAAAUAUAAAUUCCAUCAACAGUUAACCAACUCAAUCUCCAUCCCUAGUUGGCAUCUUUCUGUUGUCCCUCAAACAGCACAAAGCAAGCCUGUGCUAGUGGCAGUGAUUCCAUUUGAUAAAUAAAAUGAGUGGCUCAUAACAACACUUACUAUUUUCCACUUAAAGUGUCUAUUCACUGAGAUUAAUUAUUUUAGUAGUUGUUAGUUGUUUAAGUAGUUAUUAACUGUUAGAUAUUAAAUGUUCAUAUAGUUGUCUAGAGCAAAGUAUUCGGUGAAAAUAGCUGUUUGAUUAACUGUUGAAAUUAAAAUGAUAACAAAGACAUUUAAAUAUCGAGUUAGAAUUUUAAAUUAUAACUAUAGAAGUGAACCCCAUAUAAGAAAAAAAGAUAUGAUUAUGUGAUGUGUUAUUAACUUUUUUUUUUUUUUUUCAAAAGAAUGUCAAUCUAUAGUAUAUUAGUCUAACUAUAUAAAAGAGGUAUCGUUGAAGUAUCAUAACAACCAAGUUUUGAACAGUUUAAUUACUUCUUGAUAUCUAACUAACUGAAGAAGGGAUUCAAGAUGCAAUUGAAAUAAAAAAAAAAUUUAAAUUAAUGGCAAGAAUGUCAAUAAAUUUUUAAUUAAAAAAAAAAAGUGAACGCUAAACAUUAGGCGAAAACGUUUCACUAAACAAUAUAUUAUCUACUGAAAGCUGUUUUAUAAACUAACUCACCAAACAAUGUAAUACAUCAAAACAGUAUUUUGACGUAGUCAAUACUCUAAAUACUCCCUCGAACGCUCUUGCCAAACAAAGCAAAAAAGUUGUAUUGAUACUGUUAAAUAAUUAAUAACCUAAACAAGUAAUCAUAAAAUCCAAAAUAACACUCCUUUAUUUAUUUAUUUAUUCAUUUAUGUGAGUAUUCCCACUUUUCAUUAUAAAAUUAAUUUUAUUUCGGGAUUUUUUUCACUAUGCUUUCCAAAUAUAACACUCUUUAAUUAAUAGAAUAGUAUUAAAUUUCCCCACAACUUAGUUGCAAUGUAUAAUAUCUUAGAGUUUUUAAAUCAAAUGGUUUCUCUAACGUGUAUUGCACGCUUUGUUUGUACUCGUUGCAAAUAAAAUAAUUUAAUUUAUAUAAAUAAUUUUUUUAUUAAUUUUUAUUACAAUUUAUAAUAUUAUGAAUUAUUUAGAUUACUAAAAAUAUAAGAGCAAUUACAAAACAAAAAAAAAAAAAAAAUUUUAUGAAAUAAUAAAAAAAUCCAAUAAACAAAGAACUUGUUAAGUAAAAAAUAUAUUUACAAUAAUAAAUUCAAUAGCUAAAUGACUUGUUGAAGGAAGAACAUAUUUAUAAUAAUAGAAUAUUAUUAUUAUUUGACAACAAAAUUUUCAUAAAAAAAAUUACUUAUUAAAUAAUCUAAAUUUUCUUAUAACAAUUGAAAUUUUAAUUAAUUUAAUUUUAUGUAAUAUAAUAUAAUAUCAUAAAUGUCUAUAUUACUAAAAUAUGAAAAAUCAGUAUUAGCUAUUAUAAUAAUUAAUAUGUUAAUCACUAUUUUAAAGCAUCAUUGAUAAUUUUGAUUUUUUUCUUAGCAUAAAAUUAAUUUUAUGACUGCUUUUUUUUAGAAAAAAAUUUCUCAACUUGUUAUAUGGCGAUAUAACAUUAUAUAUAUAUAUAUAUAUAUAUAGCGAGCUUUAUUUUCUAUUUAAACAAUAAAUCUCAUAAUAUUUUCUUAACAAAUAAUUAUAAAUUUUAAAUUACUUGUACGACAUAUAAUAAAUCAAAUAAAAAAUUUAUUAAAAAUAAUAAUUAAACAUAUUAUAUUAUUGCUAUAUGUGAUAUGUACCUUACAUAGUAUAAGUAUAACAGAACCAAUCAAAAUUAAUUAUCUUUAUUUUUUUUCAACUAAUAAAAUUAAAAUUCUGAAAGAUAUUAUAUUCUUACAAUAAUUAUUAUAUACCUUAUUUAGUAUAUAAUAUAAUUUUUUAAUUUAUCCAAUAAAAUUUAGAUUUAAAUAGAAAAUUAAUAUAGUCAAUUAAAGUUAAAUUACUUUUAUUUUUAACCAAUAAAAUUAAAAUUCUUAAAGAUAUUAUUAUAUUCCCACCAUAUUUAAUAUAUAUCUUAUAUAGUAUGUAAUAUAACUUCUUAAUUUAUUCAAUAAAAAUUGAAUUUAAAUAGAAAAUUAAUAUUAUCAAUUAAAAUUAAGUUAUCUUUAUUUUUCAACUAAUAAAAUUAAGAUCAUUAAUGAUAUUUUUGUCAAUCUAUAAAUUUAAUAAGGCAUAACAAUUUUAAUAUUUUUCACUAUUUUCACUUUUAUAUAUAAUAUAAUUAUACUAUAAUUAUACAAUAGAUCUUUGAAAAAAAAUUAAUUGAACCCAUUUUUAAACGAUAUCUCACGAUUUUAACAUGAUUCCUUAAUUAAUCAUGAAAUUUUCUCUAGGGAGACCAAUAGUUCUUUUCUAGAAUUACGUGGCAAUCUCUUAUUGGUUAUAUGACUUUAAAUAUCAUUACUUGAACAUCAUCCAAUCAAAACCUUGCCCAAAAAAACAAAUCCCAAUAACAAAGGGACGUGGAAAGCAAAUCACUAAACAUCCUGCUGCACCCUCCUGCCAGCUAGCCACUGUCAGUUGCCACCUCAUAUUUCCUGACAUCACUCAAAAUUUUUGUCUCUAUGAGUAAUACGAUACCGUUUAACCCACACAGAAUCACCAUGCAAAAAAUCCGUUUAUAUUUAUUAGCCCGUUUCAAACCCUUUCCCUCAAUCAUCGAUUUUUCUUUUCCCCAAUUAAAAAACAGAAAUUCCAAUUCCAUUUCUAGUACCCAAUUUAUAAUAUUCCACUUUCCAUUUCGGCUUAAAACCGACCCGAACGGAGCACAAAUUUUCUCUUCUCGAUCUGUUCGCCUUAGGGUAAGUUAUUGAUUUUCUCGGUUCUUGUAAUUCCUCUCUGCAGAUCUGUUUUUGAUUGCUCAUUAUCUUUGUGUUUGGUUGGAUCUGAUUUGCUUAGAGAGAUCUGAGGAGAGGAUACAGAGAAUAUGGCGCACAGAGUAGAUCAUGAAUAUGAUUAUCUGUUCAAGAUCGUUUUGAUCGGUGAUUCCGGUGUGGGAAAAUCGAAUAUUCUUUCCAGAUUUACCAGAAAUGAAUUCUGCUUGGAAUCCAAAUCCACUAUUGGUGUCGAGUUCGCCACGAGAACUCUUCAGGUAAUUAUUGCUUUUGUUGUAUGAGCAUUUAGAAGACGAUCUGCUGUUUCGUUGUGUUUGCGAUCUUGUGUUUGAUGAUUUGUGGCGAAAAUGAAAUUCUCUAGAUGGAAAGUCUCUGGAUGUUCAAGUAAUUCUAUGAGUUUCUAUUGUUUGGUAUUGAUAGAUUGACGGUUGGUAUUAGGGUGAAUAGAUGAGCAGCAGUGCCCAUGCUUUAAUAUAAUGGAGUUUGACUGUGAGAUCUUAUAAGUUGAGAAUAUAGCUUCUUCUUAUUUUGUACUAGUAGAGAUUAAUUAAAUUGUUGAAAGUUAGAAAGUUAGAAAGUGGGUUCUAUGCUGUUCUAUGUUCUAAUAAACUUAUAUCUUAGUCUGUGGUAUGAAAUAUCAACCGUGCAAGAUGUACCUAAAUUUACCUUCCCCUGAAAUGCUUGUUGGUGGGCUAUUGUUGUAUUUGGAUUUCAAUAGAAGUUGGAUCUGCAGGAUCAUCUCGGUUGAUUGCGUGUAUAAAGUAAUGUUUCAUGAGUACUGCCAAGGGUCAUUCUUAUGGUAAUCAACUGUGGAUUUGGUGCAUUAGUGACUGGUUGAUUGUGUGUAUCAAGUAAUGUUGCAUGAGUAUUGCCGAGGGUCAUUCUCACAGUAAUCAACUGUGGAUUUGGUGCAUUAGUGACUGCUUAAUCCUUUCACCAAAUGGAACAUGAGAAAAUGCUAUUUCUAAUUUGUAAUUGGUGACUCGGCCUUGCUAUUUGAGUGUUAUAUGACAGACAUACCAUUUUCUCAGUGGAAACACCCAUUUAUGAUCUUUGAUGUACAACGUUUUUCAAAUUGUUUCUGUAAUCUGGUUCUGAUACAGUAAAUAAUUCCUUUUCUAUAUUAUUUUUCUGCUACAGGUUGAUGGAAAGACAGUAAAGGCACAAAUUUGGGAUACGGCAGGUCAGGAGAGGUACCGCGCUAUCACAAGUGCAUAUUACAGAGGAGCUGUUGGUGCCCUUCUAGUCUAUGACAUUACAAAAAGGCAAACUUUUGACAAUGUUCAAAGGUGGCUUCGUGAGUUGAGGGACCAUGCAGACUCUAACAUUGUCAUCAUGAUGGCUGGAAAUAAGUCUGACUUGAAUCAUCUCAGAGCUGUCGCGGAAGAAGAUGGUCAGGGCUUGGCAGAGCGGGAAGGUCUCUCAUUUCUCGAGACAUCAGCAUUGGAAGCAACCAAUGUUGAGAAGGCAUUCCAGACCAUAUUGACAGAGAUAUACCAUAUCAUAAGCAAGAAAGCAUUGGCAGCACAGGAAGCAGCUGGCAAUUCUACCCUUCCUGGUCAAGGAACCACUAUUAACGUUGCCGAUUCCUCUGCGAAUUCAAAGAGAGGUUGCUGUUCUACAUAAGACUGUAAUUUGAGGAUGGAUAAGCAUUGCUAGCCAGCAGUCUUUUUUCUUUUUAAUUAUAUUUUACCUUUUUCUUUAAAAAAAUUUUCUUUUUCAAUUUUUGGGCGGAGGGAGGGAGACAUGUAGAUUACCAUCUUUUACUUGAAAUGAGUUUGUGAAAUUGGAGAAAAGAAACAGUUCCUUAGAAUAUCAGGAUGUCUGUUCUGUUCUUUUGUUGUGUUUAUUUCUUGUAUGUUACUUAAAAGGAAGGUGGAACUGACUGAUAGGAGGGAUGUAGAGUGAGAUCACAUUAUUUUCUCAAUUGUGGUGUAAAACCAUAGAAAGGGGCAGCAUUUAGUACUAUUGGUGUUGUUUGUUGAGCUACUUCUUAACUUGUAAUGAAAGCUUUAUUACCCUUUUAACAUGUCUUUCCAACCUAUGCUUAUCGCUUCUUGUUCGUGCAAGCGCAAUUACUUAUUUAAUACAUAAUCCUGUAAUCUGUUAUUCACAACAUAUGACUAACUUGCUCGUCUUUGAGUGGAAGAUUUCCUAAUAAACAUAACAUUCUCUCGGUUUCUUCCUGUUUUUGGAUGAUUUCAGGUUAUGAUCUUUUUAAAACAAGUACUGCAAUGGACAUUUUUCUAAAUAUGAUUAAAAGGAAAAACUUGUGGAGGAGAAUCUAGGAAUUUCGACUAGCAUAAUUAGACGGAGAAAGGUAUGUAUUGUCGCAUGUUCUAGGGGCUCCUUGUUUUGAUUUGUAUCUGUUUUAAUGGCAUUGAGUGCUUUUUAUAAAACGCAUUGAGUAGCUUUUUAAUAGCAUCGAGUAGUUUUUCAUAAAAGUUGAUAAAAAGCUAUUUUAACCUCUAAAAGGUGUUGCUGAACAUAGCCUUAAUUAUUCAUUAGCCUACGAAAAUCCUUUCUAACUUUUUACCAGAAUCUGCCAAUCGCAGCAGAAAUGCCAAGGUUUAGGUUAGAUCUUUUCAAGUUAAACCUAACUGAUUUUAACAUAGAAUCAAACAGCUUUUAAGUUUUGCAACAAGUAUAGUUCCAAUCCACAAAAUGCAAUGAAGAUGAGAAGCGCGGAACAAAAGCUCUGUUUUGUAAAUCUUUAACUUACUGCUCGAUUUGUACAGUUACAUGACGAAUCCUGUAUGUUUUUUUGCAGUAAUCGUUAAUCCUGUUAAGUAUUUCAGUAGAGCUGAUUCCAGGCUCAGCCACAACAUGGCAAGAUAAAACCAACUUCCCUACUGUGAUAGCCCAAAUAUGCAAGUCAUGAAUGUCUUGAACUCCUUUUAUGGAUUUCAGACCACACUCCACCUUGCCAAUGUUGAUCUCACAAGGUGUCCUCUCCAUCAGAAUGCCAUAUACAUCCCUAAGCAUCGGUAUUGUAGAAUACAGAACAAAACCAGAGAAAAUAAGAGUGCAUAUCAGAUCAACUACCAACCAUUCAGGCUUUAACCAAAUAAUUACUCCAGCAACCAUUACGCCUACAGUUUGAAUUAGGUCAGCCAUGACAUGUAAGUAAGCUCCUUGAAUAUUUAUGUUUAAUAUUUUUCUUUUUUCAGGAGAACUUAAUACCAGUCCAGUUCCCUCCUCUUCGUUUCCUGGACAUAAAUCCCCAUCCUUGUGAUUGUGAAUGUGAUCAUGAUUAUGAACAUGAGAAGCAUGAUGAGAGUGAUCAUGACCUAGCCAUACAACCAUGAUUAAGUUAACAAUGAAUCCGAAGGCUGCAAUUGCAAACAUUAGUCCUCCAUUUACCUCAGAGCUUCUGUGAAUAAUUUUGUCAACUGCUUCAUAGAUUAAGAUGACAGAGACUAUCCAUAUAAGCUGCACUGAUAGAAGGGCACCUAAAACUUCAAGGCGGUUAAAUCCGAAUGACUGUUGUGAUGUUGCCUCCCAACCCGAAGCCCACACUGCGAAAAGAGAGACACAGAAUCCAGCAACAUCAGUCAGCAAAUGGGCUGCAUCUGUAAUAACUGCAAGGCUGUUGGCUUUCAAGCCACCGACGAUUUCUACUGUCAUGACUAGUAAAUAGAAAAUUAUAAGCCCCACAAGUUUUACAGCUGACUUUGAUCGUUCUUCGGAUUCAAGAGUAUCAUUUUCUUGUUUGGAGAAGGCACAAACAGAAUUGCAAGAUAAAUGUGCUGUAGCAGGAAGAAUGGCAUUUUCUUCAGAUGAUACUAUCAUCUCAACAUCCUUCUGGUUUUGCAAUUGCAAAAUGGAGGCUUCCUCAUGUUCCAUCUUCUUGGAGAACAUGUUUACCUUCAGUAGAAUAUUAGAAAAAAGAAAGUCAAGAAAAUAUAAAACAAAAUUACUCGAAAAGUAUGGCUGUCAUUGGCUUCACAAACAGUAAGUCCAAGGAGUGCUUCAAUACCACAAGCUACAAAAGUAAAGUGGAAUCUAAAAUUCUAGAAAAGCUACAGGCAGAAAACAGCAAUCAGCACUGAUUGCUGGCCUGGGGACAGUACAAUCAACAAAGUUUAACUAGUUUGGGACCCAUCAUGUAUUUGUAAAUAACUAGAACCAGGAAAUUUGAAAUAAAAGAAAGGACAAACAGAAAGCAAAUUACAUCACACUAAUGCGAAGUGAUUUUUUCCUGGAACAAUAUAAGCUAUUAAAACAUAAUAGAUUUUAUAAAUUCCGCAAGCUUCAAUCACGUGUAGUGUUAAUUAAAGCAAACUAAAAUUUAUAAUUUUUCACAAUCUCAUUUUGAUGGACAAAAAUCAUAUAUCUGUGAAACAUGAUUAAGUUCAAAGAACAUGAAAUCAUAUUCUCUUGCAUAUAUAGUGAAAGAACAGUUAUUAAUUCAUAAUCCUAAUCAUCACUCUUCAUCAAAAUAAUGAAGCCUUUGCAAAAACCAGAGAUAGAUUUAAAUUUCAAUCUAUCUUCUCAACAAAAUCUCAUUAAUUUGAAAUUCCUUUCCCUUCAUUUUAUUUUACUAUGUCUGAAAUUGUCAAGAACUCUCUGAAAUCAGUUUCAUUGCACAUAAAUCCAAACUCAGAUUAUUGCACAUAAAAAAACCAUCUAAUAAAUUAACAUCUUCACCGCCAAGGACAAUUAACUUGGUUUUGAAAGUAGUCAAAGUACAUGAUCAGUUCAAACAGUUCAAACAGCAUAUGAGAAUCACAGAGCAUUCUUCUCAAUAAAAUGAGCAAACUCAGAUAAAUAUAAAUAAUCAAUUUAAAACAAAAGUUCAAUAUACCCAGUUGGAUUACUCUCUUCAACUUCAUAUAUGACAUGAUUUCUAAACCAGUUGUUUCUUUAAUUAUUUAAUACCCUAAAAACUUAAAACAACCUAUUGACGAUCAAACAAUCCUUCCUACCUUCAAUUUUAAGCAACUCCAAAACCCUGCAUUUUGCAUCCAUAGCAAUAAUUAUUACAAAAGAGAGAAAUUUCGUAACUUGAAAAUGUCGAACAUAUAAUUCCAUUUCUAUUUAAUUGAAACAAACGACGAUCAAGAAUUGCGAGUAAAAAUUUCAAUAAAAAUAACAUGAGCUCAUUUCACAAUAUAUAUAUAUAUAUAUAUAUAUAUAUAUAUAAAGAAUCUACUAGUUGCAGAAGACAUUGCAACUAUUGAAGGUUGGUGAUGGGUUAUACCCGUAAACGACAGGACAGAGGACAGAAACUUUAGAGGGACUGAUUAUCGGAUCUCAUGAAUUGAGAAAUUGGGUUAUGAUCAGAAGCGUGAAAAGCCUCAAAGUAAUUGGCAAAACACUUCUUGUGAUGAAAGCACGGGGAAUGAUAAUCCCCUGCUUCCGAAUUCCACACUUUCUACUGUUGUUUAUUUUCUUAAAUAAAGGGGAGAAGAAGAACCCGGCACGUUACGAUCGGAAGCGUGAAAGGCCUGAAAGUAAUUGGCAAACAACUUCUUGUUGAUGAAAGCACGAGGAAUGGUAUUCCCCUGCUUUCCAGUUCCACUUGUUUAUUUUUUUAAAUAAAAGAGACAAGAAGAAGCCGGCAGCCAAGAAACGUUACUGUUAACAGAAGAUGCCAUAAGCGUUUCCAUGUAGCGGAGAACUAAACUUGCGGAUGGAUUGGGCAUCGUGAUACCAGGUAAUAAAAUAAUAAGUAGGGACGAUGAUGAUCAUGGAUAAUCAGGGAUAAUAAAUAAAUAAUAAUUUUGAUGAUUCUGCAAAAUCCAUACUCCACCCAUCAAGAUUUUCAUAUACCCAUAUCCCAUAUGGGAUCCAAUGUCGGGUUGAAUUAAAUUAGAUAUUAUUCGUUUUUUCUAUUAUAUUUAGAAAAAAUAAAAAGAUAAUUACAAUUUUUUUAUACAUAAGAAGCCGAAUUUAUUGAAAUAAUAUUAUAGGCUACAUAGCAGGAAGUAGCUUUCCCCUCUAAAUAAUAUUCAUCAAAUUGACGAUAACCUUUAUGAUGGAAUCCAUAUUACUUAUUAUAUUUGAAAAUACAAAAAUUUAUAAUGAUAAUUAGAAAUAUUAUAUGUCAUGGCAGGUGGAAGAUAUUCGAACCGAACUAUACUAUAUCUGUAAUCCACAUCAAAUCGGACAUAUGAUCAUCCCUAAUAAUAAUGCAAAAGUUUCCUAAGAUAUAUUUGGAUUAGGGUUUAAAUGUUUAGAUCGUCUAAUCAUUUUAUUGCAUACGCGUUAAUUUUAUUGUCAUGGAAUCGAUAUAAUCACUGCCCCUGUUGAUUCAAACUACAUGUCAGGUGUUGACGUUCCGAUUUAUGACAUUCCCAUAGGGCGCACCAACUUAUGAGCACUAGUGGGAGACGCUGCCCCCUUCCUGCAAGAGGCACCCACAAAGUGGGUCGUGGCUCCUAUGUAGCCACCAGUUAGGUGUUGACAUUCCGAUUUAAGACAUUCUAUAGCCGCACCAACCCCUAAGCUGCCCCCUUCCUGUAGGAGACAACCCACAAAGUGGCCAUGGCUCUUAGGCCGCCAACGGUCAGGUGUUGAUGUCCCGAUUUAAGACUCUCCAUAGGCGCACCAAACCCCGAGCACUGGUGAGAGACACUACCCUCUUCCUAUAGGAGGCAGCGCACAAAGUGCUCUCAGGCAGUAGAACGAAUAUUUAGACAUCAUGCGUAAUGAAAUAUUGUCAUUGAGGAUUGAACCGAGAAGCUAUCGUAGAGGAUUAAACCUAGAUCAAGCAGGCGGAUGAUUAACGUUUUUACCACCGGGCCAUUACUUGGGGUGAUAUUACUAAAUUUAUUAAUAUCUUGUUCAACAACAACUUUUCAUAUAACUUUUAUUACUUUGUCUAAGUCAAAAUACAAACUUUCAUAUAGCCUUUAUGAUAGUUUGAGUAAGCGAAUUAUGAAACGUUAUUUUCUUCAACAUUUGAUGAAACUUAGUUAAAUAAUUAACAUCCAAUAAAACAACUAAUUUUCCACUAAUUUACCAAAAAGACCCUGAAUUUUCAACUUGUUGAGUUAGAUAUAAAAACAUAAGGUUAUUAAACUCUUUUUUUUUUUUUUCUGGAAGUGCAAAGGAUCAUAUAUUAUCAUUAUCAUGACAAAUAACAUCCAAGAUAAAAGGUGGAAGAGUAAAGCUCCAUUCCUCCAUGUCAGACAGAGACACAGCUUGUCAUAGCCCUACCCUUGGUAAGUAUUGUCCGCUUUGGCAUAGUCCCCGGAUGGCCCGGAUGUCCCUACACCUCACGGUUUUGUCCCUUUGAGCCAGGGGUCACCCACUCUGCCAACUCAAAAUGCGCCUACUAAGGUUAGAGACUACCCCUCUUAUGUAUAGAUCCUUUACCUCGUCCGUAGCCGAUGUGGGAUUCGCCUAAGGUGAUGCCCUCUGAUGUCUAGGAUGUCACAUUCACCCCCCCUAAGGGACUCAGCGUCCUCACUGAGGCUUGCCCCACCACCAGCCAGAGGGAACGAGGCCGGCUCUGAUACCAAUUGUCAAAGCCCUACCCUUGGUAAGUAUUGGCCGCUUUGGCAUAGUCCCCGGAUGGCCCGAAUGCCCCUACACCUCACAGAUUUGUCCCUUGGGCCAGGGGUCACCCGCUCUGCCAACUCAAAUGGCGCCUACCAAGGUUAGAGACUACCCCUCUUAUGUAUAGAUCGUUUACCUGAUACCCCCUGAUGUCCAGGCUGUCACAUUCACCCCCCCUAAGGGACUCAGCGUCCUCACUGAGGCUUGCCCCACCACCAGCCAGAGGGAACGAGGCCGGCUCUGAUACCAAUUGUCAAAGCCCUACCCUUGGUAAGUAUUGUCCGCUUCGGCAUAGUCCCCGGAUGGCCCGAAUGCCCCUACACCUCACAGAUUUGUCCCUUGGGCCAGGGGUCACCCACUCUGCCAACUCAAAAGGCGCCUACCAAGGUUAGAGACUACCCCUCUUAUGUAUAGAUCGUUUACCUGAUGCCCCCUGAUGUCCAGGAUGUCACACAGCUGCUCUAGCCAAAGCAUGAACCACCUGGUUAUCUGACUUUACUACAAAAGACACCCUACAAUACUGCAACUCAUUAAGAAGCUUUGCAUUCAUAAACAAUAGAACCAAAAUGCAAGAGCUCCACCUCUUUUGCUAUUAAGGAUUGCAUCUACCUAGAUUCUAUUUAUGGCUCUAUUCAUUGACCAAACUAAUAAAAAUGGAAUUUUUUUUAUUAAAUGGUAAGAUAAAACCUUAUUUUAAAAUAAUUUAUUUUUCAUGGAUUUGAUCUGUGAGUAAGCCCAUAGACCACAUCUAGAAUCUAAAUAGACAAUUUAACCCUUAAAUAAAAAAAUCUCUUAAUUGAUUUAAUGGAAAAUUUUUUAUCUAAUAUUUUACAUGGUAUUUUCAUUUAUUUAUAAAACAUUAAUGGUAAAAAUAAUACUUUUUACACAGAAAAAAUAAUUUAAAGAGACCAUACUUCGGAAAUGAAUCAAUUAAUUUACCAAAAUGAAGAAAUGUAAUGGUAAUUAGAGUCAAAUUUCAGGGAGUAAAUAGCAUUUCGCCCAUAUUUUAAUUUAGUCGCUUACUUCUUAAAGUCGUUACUUAAAAACGUCCAUCACGGGCCCGUGAGUCUCUUCCUCACCGAAACUGAAAUUCAGAACCCCGUGAGUCGAUUCUCUCUCUCAAUCUCUAAUGCCUAACUCCUCUCUCUUCCUUUUCCUGAUAUGAUUACUUCGCGAUACUUGAAGAUUCCGAGCAGAAGUUCAAUAAAUUUCAGUCACAGCUCUUCUAUCUCAAAUAAGACAAGGAGAAUUUCACUGUACUUUUUGUGUUUUUCUUUUGUUUGACUGAAAAUUUCUUUUAUGUUUCACAGAUCUUCAAGAUUGAUUGAAGAAAUUUGGUCACCGGAUCUUCAAUUUCAGUAAGAUACUGUAUUUUCUCACAAUUACUCUCACUUUCCAUUAAUUCCCUUUUUGUUCUUUUAAUGUUUGCUAGGAAAUUACUUGCAUGUGUUUUUUUUUAUUUGAUAGUGUGAUUAUAGUUAUUCUUUGAUUUCUAAAGUAUCUGCUAAAAAACAACUGGUUAGAUUCAUUUCCUGCUCUUAGCUCUUUUUCGAAUCCUUUCCUUUCAUAAUUUUGUUGAAAGUGAAAAGAAAAAUGGUAAUUUAGUGUUAAUCGUGAUUAUGGAAAUUAAAGUCUCAAUAACAUAAAAAGAAACAGUUCUACAGUGGGUUGUGGUUUAUUCUUUUUUGAGAGGUAAUUUUAUGGUGGCUGAAUGGAGAGAGAGAGAGAGAGAGAGAGAGGGAGAGCGGGACCGCUUCCUGAGAAGCUCAAUUAUAUGCUUAGUACAAUCAAUAAAAUUGGCGAUGCUAUGUGGCCCAUGAUGCACAGUAGUGUCACGGGUCCCCUUGAAUUAGCCUAUAUGAGUAGCUUUUUUGGGUCAAUUUUAGUCCCUAAAUUACCAUAAGAUAUAUUUGGAGGAUUAUCAUGUUUUAUAGCACAAAAAUAAGGGAUCAAAGAGCAAUUAAAAUUUGAAAUAUUUGUGAACUGAAGUGUUGCAUAAUCUAAAAUACGAGGGAGUCUUAGAGCCUAUGCAUAAGGCACAACCAAGCACUUGACAGAGAUGAGGCGCAAAAGAAAUUAAAUGAGACAAUUAAUUUUAUUGUCUAUUUGGAUAGAUAGUCAUUUGAAGUGGGCACAAAUUCUUUUAUAAAAAUUAUGCAAACAAGGAAUAAAAGCAUGAAAAAAACAUCUAGAAAAGGAAAGAGAAUCUGAAAGGCAUCUAGAAUAAAAAACAAGAGAAAAAAAUGAAGGGGAAUGAUAUGAACGAGAAGAAGAAGAAGAAAUGACCUAACAUGAAGAUGCAUCACACGUGCAUCUUCUUAAGCAUUUCGUCAAUGAAAUUUGGAAUGCAUAUAAAUUAUGUGCAUAAUAUGACCUGCUUUAUGGGAAUGUUGAAUAAAGCUGUAUUUUUUGAAAGAGUUUAUUUCUAUUAGUUAAAUGUUAAUGUAUAAGUUUGAUGGUGUUUUUUGUUGUUAAAUUUUUAGGUAUUGGGGCAACUAGAUUAAUUAAGAUGUCUUAUGGCGUUGUAAAUGGUAAUAGUCAUAACAAAGGUGCUGAUGCCACCAUCAGCUUUCAUGAGUCCCACUUGGAACCUAAUGGCAAGGAAAUGGAUUCGGCACAAAGUGUUGAAGUUAGUUCCGAGGAUUUGGGACCAAACACACAGCAAUCACAGCGUGAUGAAAAUACAGCAGACAAAGGCGAUGUACCCAAGGUGGGCAUGGCAUUUGGAACUCUAGAAGAUCUAUUUGAAUUUUACUGGAAAUUUGCAGAGAAGGAAGGAUUUGGAGUGAUUAAACAGUCCUGUGGAAAAGGACUUAAUGGAGAACUUAAAUACCAAACUUUUUCUUGUGAUCGAGCAGGGAAGGCAAGUAACAAUGGUAAGAAUCGCCAAAAGCCUAGGCCAACAAAAAGAAAUGGAUGCUCAGCAAGGGUCUGUGCAUCAAUAGGUCCAAAUGGAAAAUGGAAAGUAAAUAAAGUAGUUUUACAGCAUACCCAUGAGCUUAUACCCUAUUCUUCACAACUUUUAAGACACCAUAGAGUGAUUGCUCAGCAUAGAAAGAGGAACCUUGAGAUAAAUGAUGUUGCAUGUAUUCAACCAUGUAAGAGUGCUCGUGCCACUGAAGUUGGAGCUCAUGACAAUAUGACAUCUUCGAGCAAGGAUAGCAGAAAUCAUAUAGAAAUUUCAAGAAGGAUUAAUCUGAGUAAGUGCAAAAUCUCAUAAAAAGAGAAAUCUGAAAUCUGAAAAUAUCAUAUUUUCCUUUAUUACUUUUUCUUUGACAAUGGAUAUACAUUAAUAUGUGUUAGCAGUCAGUAGUCGGAAGGGGGCAGUAAACACUCUACUGCUCCAGCAGUGUGAAUUCAUCCAAUUGAGAGAGUUAUUGCCUCAAUUCCAUCAAGCCCCCUCCGAUUCUAAAGGAGUGAGAGGUUGCAAGCAUUAAAAUGUAUAUUUCAAUCUUUUGAUAACUAUAAAAUGUACGUUUUUCUUGCUCUGUAGAUGGGGAUGAUGCCAAGGUGUUGCCUUCACCAGACGCAUACAAAAAGUUGUAUGAAGAUAGAACAUGCUUGCUCAACAUGCUGCGGAAUGAGGUGCGGAAAAUGUUUGGCCGUCUGCCAACUCUACUUGACCCUUCAAUUUUCAAAAGCAUUAUUUUAAUAGCUGAUGAUCCAUUGUCUACAUUAGUGGAUUUAUUUGAAACUGAAAUUGAAGAAAAUAAUUAUUCUCCACCAAAUAGUGGCCAAACAUUCCUCAGAGACGACACAAAAACUUAGAUAUGAGAAUUGAAAUUCUAAUUAUCUGUAAACACUCGGUUGGGGGAGUAUGAAAAGGAGUAUCUUGUUCUAGGUAGUCUUGUUUUUUCCCCACUAAGGUGAUCUAUAUGGUUAACUUACUUUACCUCUGUGCCAAGUGAUGUUGUAUUUAAGAUGUUAAGGCACAAGGACAGUCUGUUAGUGUCAAGAUGUCCAUAGUUAGUUUAGUAUGAGUAUCAAUGUACCUGUUGUUUAGCCUAACUGUACAAUUAUGUACUAAUUUUCUACUCAGUCCUUUGAGUAAAAAUUUUCUAGUAGUUUAUAAUAUUAACUAUUUUCAUUUUUUCAGUAAAAAAUUUCUAGCCAAAUAUGUUUAAUUAAAAAAAAAAUGCUUGUUUAAACAACUAAUGAAAAAUAAAAUUAAGGUACUAAAAUAGAAAAAUUGGCAAGACACCAACUAUGUAAUUAUUCUAAUAAUGACUGUUGCAAGCUGUCCAUAUUAUUACUUGACAUUUCAAAGCUUGAACAAGAGAAGCCAACAACAAAUGAUCCUCUAGUCUCGUGGUGGCAAGGUGACAUGAAUUCCACUUUGGUUAUCCUUGGUGUUAAUAAAUUGAGGGGUAGACCUUAUUUUGACUUAGCUUUUGGAGUUGAGUUAGGUUUCUCGUACUCAGUCUGCGCUGGAUCAGCAUUAAAUAUUAUUUUUUAUAAUAUUUUAAUUUUUAAAAAUUAAAAUAAUAUUUUAUGAAAAGUUAAUCCAUUUAAUGUUUAAUUUUUAUUAAUAAUAAAAUAUAAACUAUUUAAUGUUAUUUUAAAAAUAUUUUUCCAAUUCAUGAAUUCUAUUAUCCAACAAAGAAUAGAAUAUAAAAUUAAAAUACUUAAAUUUCAUAUUUCAUUCAUUUAAAUAAGCACUAAUUACAUUAUAACCCAAAAAUUCUAGAAAAUGGAAAAAAAAAAAAAAAAUUGAGCGGCGGAUUAAUCGACCCCAUCAAAUAGACUUCUCCGCCACAUCGGACUUUGCAGUUGCCCACUGGCCACCUCCAUUAUUUUAUUUUAUAAAAAAAUUAAAUAAAAAUACAAACAAACUCACAUUCUCUCUUUACACCACCAACCCAAUUCAAAAAAAUCAAGAAAGAAAAAGUUCAGAAAAGAAAGCACAGAAACAGAGCUAAAAGAAACAAAGAAAGGACCCUCGUUGUUGUCUGUCAUUUCUUGAAAAUCUUUUGGGUUUUGAUUUUUGAGCAAGAUUUCUUCCAGAUCGGUUUUCAAUGGCUCAGCAAGGGCAGGUGUCUAUCGACCCUGCCGUUUUGGACGAUAUAAUCACUCGUCUUUUGGAUUUUAGGCAAACAAGAGCAGCCAAACAACAGCAGGUACAGCUAACUGAGAAUGAGAUCCGCCAACUCUGUCUUGUUUCUCGAGAAAUCUUUCUUCAGCAGCCCAACCUUCUGGAGCUUGAAGCCCCCAUCAAGAUCUGUGGUACAUCCUUAAAUUUCUUUCUUCAUUACUCUAUUUUCUUUGCUGUUGCUUUUUUUUUUUUUUUUUGCGAACUUGGAUUUUCUGCUUGUGGGUUCCUUUUUUUCUUUCGGUCUUUUGGAGAGAAUAGAUUGAGUAUUGUUGUUAUAUGUAGGUUAAAACUGACUGUUUCUUUGCUGCCAAGCUGAAAUUUGGUAUUUCUUUGGAUAAAGUUCGAGUUUUUAGGGUUGGAGAGCGAGCUUUGCUUGGGAAGUAACCUUAGUUCGGGAAAAAAAAGCAGGGAUUGAUUUUGGGGGUAAUGGGUUGGUCUGAACUGUAAACCAGUUAUUGAGGGAGUCCUAUUUGUUUUUGGAAGUACAAUCCAAAACUUUGUCUAUACUGUGGCAAUUGAUGUGAAGAACGGAAGAUGGAUCAAUGGUUCUCGGAUAAAAGAAUAUGCUAAUGCAAUGGUAAGAGUCUUGGAUUGCAGUUUACAGGCUGUUGAUUUUAAGCUUGUGAGCAGCUACUUAAUUCAAAAAUGCAAAGGCAAGAUGCUUAAUGCAGAAAUUCGAAGGUCAAGACUGCAACUAGAAUUCCCUUUGUAGGCGAUAGGCCCUUCUUUGGUGAGAUGUAACCGAGUAAUGUCUUUUUUUAUGUUUCAAGGUUUUAUAUUACUAGGUCCCAUUUAAGAAGGAUUUAGAGAAAAUUUGCAUGGAGAUAGGAAAUGAUAUUAAAUAGUAGAAUUUAGGGGUGGGAAAUCUGUAUGCAAUUCCGAUUGCCACCUGAGGCAUUAGCUUAGGUGAACCUUCACAUAGAUGAGGUGAAAGAGAUGAGAGGAUGAAAGGUGGUGCUAUCUCUGAGAAUUUUUUUUCGCAUCAAUAUUUGCGUUACUUCUAUGCUGUAGUGUUUUCUAUUUUCAGUCAUUUUUUUUAAAUUUCUGUCAAAGUGAUUGUAUGAUGAAAAUGAAAUAGCUAUCUUUCUGCUUUAUUCUGUCUGGGAUGUUAUAGAUUAAUGCUUUGUUUGGAUGUAGAGAGGAUGUAAAAUGAGAGAGUAAAAUAGUACUAUUCAUUUUACCUCCUUUGCACUCCUUAUUUGAUUUGAAGGAAAAAUAGAAGGGUGGGAGUAAAAUAAAUUUAUUUUACUUUAGUUGCACCUUCAUUGUUUUUUUUCCUCCCAUUUUGGAGAGCAAAUUGGAGGAUAUAAAAUAAAGAUAUUUUAAAUCCACUCACAAUUUUCUUCCUUCCCAAAUAAGGUAUUUUACAAACCCCAAAAAAUUUUCACUUUUUUUUUCACCCAUCCUUAUUUUACAUCCAACCAAACAAGCUCUAAGAAAGUCAAGUGGCCUAUAUGUUUUGUAACAACCUCCCAGAUAUAACUAUGUAUCAAUGCUGUGCAGGUUGUUUGGAACUUUCAUUCAUGCAAUCAUAAUUUAAUUCUAAUUUCUAAGAUCAGUCUCACAUUUGGGUUGGUCAGUAUUCAUCUUUCCACAGAUGCUAACAAUCACACAUAUUUAUCAGUAGUUCUUCAUUCAAGUUUGAAUAUCAGGCUGAUUGGACGAGGUGAUCUUUCAGUGUUGAUCCUUAAAGUAGGUGAUAUUUUAAGCACGGUUCUCUAUGGAAAAAUAUUUCUCAUUGUAGCAACUUGUCCUACAGCAACCAUCUUGAGGUUUUCCUUUUCUUGGUGUCAUGGCAAGGCUUAAUUACAUGGAAACUGGUCUCUAUAGCCAUAAAAUAGAGACAGAAGCAGAAGGCAUGAUGUAAAAAAUGGGGGAUAUCUAUCGAGGGAAUUGAGUCAUACAAAAUUCUUGAGAAACCUGAUUAAAGCUUAGAAUUCAUUCACUGAUGUUAACAUAGUUUUCUAAAUGGCAAAUCACAUCAAAAUAAUAGAUGUAAUAGGAUCCGUUGCAUCCUACUAAAAAUUUCACUUGAAAGGUAAACAUCAAUUCUAGAUGUAUAUUACCUCUAAAAUUGUUGAAACAUUUUCCCAUAGGUUUUGGAAAGGAGGAGAUGGACAAUGGAGAUCACUUUGAGGAAGGAAAUUUCUGGUAAUCAUUGGUGCUGCAUCAUAUCUUAUUUUUUAGGGUCCCUUGUAAGAUAUUCCAAUUUGUUAGGAUUCCUGUUUUUUAGGGUCUUGCAUUUAUCUUGCAUCAUGUUGUGGUUUAAUUUUAUUUUGAAAAUAAAAGUUUAGCAAUAUGAUUUUCUAGUGCUUUAUAGGAAUCUACUGCGUCAUGUUAUAGGCAUGCUCUUAUGUUGCUCUUACAUCCUCAUCUAAAUUGAGGAAUCACUUCUCUUUGAGUGUAAUUUAAACAAAUAAUAAGACUGCAAUGCAGUUUUUAUUUUCACCUAAUGUGUGAAAUGCAAAUUUUUUUUUUUUUUUUUUUUUAAGUUCUUACCUUUUAUUGCAUUUUAGUUGAACUAUAUUAAUUUCUACAUUUAUUUCCAGGUGACAUUCAUGGGCAAUAUUCUGAUCUUUUGAGGCUUUUUGAAUAUGGGGGUUUUCCGCCUAGUGCUAAUUAUUUAUUUCUAGGUGAUUAUGUAGAUCGUGGCAAGCAGAGUUUGGAAACAAUCUGCCUUUUGCUUGCCUACAAGAUCAAGUACCCAGAGAACUUCUUUCUUUUGAGGGGAAAUCACGAGUCUGCGUCUAUUAAUCGAAUUUAUGGAUUUUAUGAUGAAUGUAAACGGCGGUUCAAUGUGAGACUUUGGAAAACCUUCACUGAUUGUUUUAACUGUCUUCCUGUUGCUGCUCUUAUAGACGACAAAAUAUUGUGCAUGCAUGGAGGACUUUCCCCUGAAUUAACAAGUUUGGAUCAAAUUAGAAGAUUAACCCGUCCAACUGAUGUUCCUGAUUCUGGGUUGCUCUGUGAUUUACUUUGGUCUGAUCCUAGUAGGGAUGUUAAAGGCUGGGGUAUGAAUGACCGAGGGGUCUCAUACACCUUUGGGCCAGAUAAGGUGUCAGAAUUCCUAACAAAUAAUGAUAUGGACCUUGUUUGUCGUGCCCAUCAGGUUGGUGAAGCUUACUUCUUUUGAUACUUGUAUCACUUGAUCAGUUUACCAGGGGGCCUUUUUUGGUUUUGUUUUUCUGUUUCAGGUUGUGGAGGAUGGGUAUGAAUUCUUUGCAGACAGGCAGCUUGUUACAAUAUUUUCUGCUCCUAAUUAUUGCGGUGAAUUUGAUAAUGCUGGUGCGAUGAUGAGUGUUGAUGAGACCUUAAUGUGCUCUUUCCAAAUACUUAAGCCUGCAGAUAGGAAGUCCAAAUUCAUGUGAAAAUGGACUUGUUUGCUAUCAUGAUUCUGGCUUAUAAUUGCUAACGUAAGUUUCAUGCUAUGGGUUUUUCCUUAUUUACUUGGUGCUAAUUUAUGCUAUGCGGUCAUCAACUUGCAUAUGACAGAAUCCAUGUCUUUUGUUAUUUCUGAAAGAUUUUCUAUUUAACAACAUAAAUAAAUAAACAUCACUUCUUUCAUGCAUUUGGACUUUUCUAGUCUUAUAUUUUGUGUUUUUGCUCUUUUUCUUUGUUGGGGCUGAUCAAUUUUUCAUUUUGUAUUUAUAUUUUCAUUUUCUUUGCUUAGAGACUGUGAAUAAUGCAUGGUGAAUGGAUAUUUUCUUUUCUUUUCCUCUUUUUUUUUUUUUUUUGGAGAAUGGAAAUUGUUGGAGUGAAAAGAAUGGCUUUUAGAAUUUUACUUGCUAAUUUGAGAUGAAUGGUUAUUUGGUUGGUUGUUGGCUUUAUAAAAUGAAUAUGAUGCUGUGUAAAAGGCUACUUGAAGAAUUAAUUUUAUUUGAAAAGCCAAACUUCUACCCUAGCUUUACUUCCAUCUUGUUGAAACAAUGAAUUUUUCUUGGAACAUCAUUGCCAUUGUUUGCUUGCACUUAGCACCAUGAUGAUGCUUUCCUGCUUUGGAGAAGUGCUGCAAUAAAAUAGAUGUAAAAGGUGGAAAAAAAGGCGGCUUGUUUUCAAUAAUAAUUUAACAAACACUAUGAGCACUUGUUUGAUAUCGGCAUUAGUAGUUCCUAAGCAAAAACUAUUACUAUAGUGGCAUCAUCUCUAUGUUUAUUUCUUUUAGUGGCUAGAUCCAAUUUAUCUAUGUUCUAUCCAAAAUCUCUCGACCUCCCAGCCAUCCACCAUCAAAUCAUCCAUUACUUGCACUUCCUAUGCUUUUCUUGAUUCUUCAUUGCCAUCGGCACCUUUUUGGAGCAUAAUUAUGCCGGGCAUUAGAUUUAUCCAACACCAGCAAUACAUAUCCCCUUGCCUCUCUGGUAACAUGUCACAGUCAGAUUGGAUAUUUGCCAGCAGUACCUGCUAUUGUUAUCAUACCAUCUCCUUUAUCAAGGGUAUUACCCUUGUUGCUUGUUACAUGUUCCGUCGUUCUGUCCACCUAUCUGGCAUCUUUCACAAUCCAUGAAAAAGCUAGGUGAUAAAAACAAAUUGGUUUCUUGUUUCUAAUAUGUAUUCCUCAACUAAUUAGAUGUUGAGAAAAAAGUAAAUUGUGAUUUAUUUGGCAGUCAUAUUGUUACUAUGCACAUUACAAUGCAGAAAUUAGUUCUGAAACUGCAGUUUUCAAAUGCUUACCUUCUUUAUUAUUUGGGCAUAAAAAUAGUGAAAUACUAGGAUGAGUGCUUCUUAAUGAAGGACUUCCAAAAUUGGGAUGUGGAAGGAAACUAUAGAAAAGUGAAAAGUGGUAUUUUUAUAUAGGAUCUGGAAGGAAAACUGUAAUACUUCUUUCCUUUUGCAAUUUUAAGUGUCUUUACUCUUCCUUGUUAAGGUCUCAUCCAGAUGAAAAUGAUUAAUGAUAUGUUUGAUCAUGUGGUGAUGGCAAAUCAGGGAGAAGCUAUUGUAAUUUUUGUGGAUUCUAAAGCUCUCUAUUAAGUUCCUCUAUAUAAUUUAUUUUAUGGCUGAUAAGAUUUCAAGGUUUGGUCAAAAUUUAGCUUUCUGAUUUUGGCAUGUGAUUUUGUUUACGUUACAUUGCUUGCAGUUUUCUUUAUCCCCCUUCUAAUUUAUUGUCAUAACCACUUUUGUUCAUAUGCAUUGAAAAACCAAUUGAUAUAUUGUGCUGUAGAGAACUUUUUUUUGGUUAACUACUAAAUUGUUUAUAGAUAUGUAUUUCUUAUAUGUGCACCAUAGUUCAAACCUGUUCUCAGCAGUAGCUUAUCAUUUUAUUGAUCUAGUUACCAUCCUUGCAGAGCUUUAUUUUAUGUGUUUGCAACACGAGGAGCAACUUUUGAAGAUUGAAACCCUGGGAUCAGAACUCCAAGCUUGAGGUGUUGCGAAGAGGGUAACAUCUCUCUUGUGGAGUGUAUGAGUCAUUUGUUGAAAAUAUUGUGUUUUGGAGGAACAAUCUCCUAAUUCCUAGUUUGGAGCUAACUGUACUUAGUGCAGUGGUAAAGUACAGAUAUUUAUUCUUUUUUAAGUUCUCACGGAAAUUACAAUGCUGGUGUAAAUACAUUCUUGCUGUAAAUGACUGCAUUGAUACACCACUGAAAGAUUGCUUUUUCUUGGAUCCUCAAAGGGCUUCAUUAGGUUUUCAACCAUACAACCGGUCAUCAAGUUCCGAUGCUUGACUUUAGAUUUUCAACCAUCUUUCUUCUUGAAAGAAACACAUGCAUGACAUGGCAGGUAAAUAGUAUGCUAUAAGCACAAACAAACACUUAAUACCUGUUUGUAUUCUUUCAUAAACUUUUUUGCACUCAACAGCUGUUGAGGAAAAUGCCAUUUUCCCUAAUGUGAAGUCAUACAAAAUGUCAAUCUUCUGAUGUCAUGUGAAACAAAUCCAAUGUCUACUGUAGUUGGAGGUCGCAAAGAAGAUGCAAUUGCCAGGUUUCAUGUCUAAAGCAAACGUGGAAGCAAAUAGCAAUUGCACCUUUGCAUGUUUGUUGCAGGAUCAUGUGCCUAGGAUCUAUUUAAAACCUAAUAUGAUCACUCUUUUCCACUCUUCUUUAGAAAGUACUGAUGAAACUUCUUUGUUGGGUUAAAAAUGGAGAUGCUUGCGUUUUGUGCUUAUUUGCUACUGGUUGUAGUUGCACUUGGAGGAGGCAAUGUUCUUUCAUUUGCUGCCACUGUUUCUAGUGAUGAGAUACCUACUAAAUCAAAUGUGGUAGCAGGUACAUUAGGAAAUGGAUAUGGUCAUUUUUCAAAGUGGGAUAAACGCCUGCCUUUUCUUAGGCAUCCUUGGACUUUUCGUAGGUGGUAUCGCCCACCCACCCAUGGAUAUACCCCACCUUCCUCAGCCCCACCCUCUCCAGGAUGUCCCACCCCACCAUCACAAGGACAUCCACCACCUUCUCAUGGUCGAUCACCCCCUCCAAGUUAUGUCCCACCCUCGCAAGGAAAUCCACCACCGUCUUGUCAUUUUCCACCAUCUCCUGCACAUCCACCACCUUCUCAUGGACAUCUGCCACCCUCUCCAAGAUGUCCCUCGCCCUCGCAAGGACAUCAACCACCUAUUCAUCAUCCUCCGCGCUCCCCUCAAUAUCCACCACCUUCUCAAGGUCAACCACCUUCACAUGGACAUCUGCCACCCUCUCCAAGAUGUCCCUCGCCCUCGCAAGGACAUCAACAGCCUAUUCAUCAUCCUCCGCGCUCUCCCCAAUAUGCACCACCUUCACAUGGAUGUCCGCCUCCUACUCAAUGUCAACCACCUUCUCAAGGACAAACUCCUCCCUCACAAGGACAUCCACCUCCCACCCAAACGCCACCCUCUCCAAGACAUCCUCCUCCUUCACAAGGACAUUCACCGUCUCCUCCCUGUCAUUCUCCACCCACUGCCACGCAUCCACCGCCAUCUCAUAGGCAUCCGCCGUCCUCUCCAAAGUAUCCAUCGCCAUCACAAGGAUGUCAACCACCUGCCCAUCAUCCUCCGCACGCUCCUCAUUGUCCACCAUCUUCUCAAGGUCGACCACCCUCAUAUGGACAUCCGCCUCCCACCCAAAGGCCACCCUCUCCAAGACAUCCUUCACCUUCACAAGGACAUCCACCACCUCAAGGUUGCCCACCCUCUCACAGGCAUCCACCUCCCUCUUAGAGGUAUCCACAACAAACACCAUAUUAAGGGCUAUCUUAGCAACUGAGACGCACACAUCCCCCUUUAAUGUGGAAGUCUUUGUUGUGAUAAAUAAAUUAAAACAACCUUGUCUUUAAUGUUUGAAGCAAGAAAUCAACUUGAAUACCAUAAUUUCACAUGCACUAUGUGCUAGUUUUAUUCUCCUGUUUUAUAAGCAAGGCUUAAAAAAUUUUAAAUGGUCAUGGUGUGUGAUAUUUUAAGACAACUUUGCCUUUAGUAUUUAAAGCAAUAAUCAAAUUCAAUACCAUAAUUGCAUAUAUCUUGUGUCAUAGUUGGUGGUAGAGCUCAAAAAACAAAAAUUUAAAAAAAAAAUUUGAAGAUAAGAAUUUAGUAUAAAGAAUAUAAAGUGUCUAUUAAGAUGAAUGAUUGAAAAUUGGUAUUUGACAUUUAUGGCCCGUUUGUAACAAAUGAAUAAUGGUUUUAGAAUUCAUUUGUAAAGGAAUUUGUUAUGUUUGUUAUGCUACAAUUUAAAAUAAGAAAUUCAAUUGAAUUUUAUAAAAUUAUGUUUAGAAUAAAUUCUUAAAUGAAAAUUCAUUUGUCUUUAUUUCUUAUAAUACCCUUAACAUAAUAAUUUAAUAAAAAUAAAUAACAAAUACCAAUUAUAUUUAUUAUGUACAAUAUAAUAACUUGUCAUUUUUUAUUAGAAUAUAAAUAAUAAAUUUCAUAUAAAUAAGUACACUAAUAUUCCACACUAAUUAAUUAAUUAUAUAAGCAGUUAAAUUCGUCAUAAUAAUUAUUUUUAAUUGAUGUUGUUGAUUUAAGUAAUUAAUUUGAAAACUAAAAAUAAUAUUAAGAAUGUUGCUAUUGUUUUUAAUUAGAUUUGAAAACAAUUGUUGAUACUCAAUUUUUAUAGUUUCAUAGUAAUAAUAACUAAUGUUAUUACUAGACUUUAAAAAAAAAAAACAUCAUUAUUUUGGUUUGAAAUUUUCAAAAAAAAAAAAAAGAAAAAAAAUAUAAAAUAUAAACUAACAUCAUUAUUGGAUUAAAAAAGAAUAAGAUUGUUAUAGUUUGAAAUUUUCUAAAGAAAAUAAAUAAAAAGAAAAAAAAAGUAAAAAUAGUUGAGUUUAUAGUGAAGGAUAAUUUUAUUAAUAAACAUUCAAUGGUCAAUUUUGUGGAAUUCAUUUACAAAUUCUAUCAGCUUUAUUAGAAUUUAAGUUGGACAUACUCAAUUUCAUAAAAUUCAAUCCGUAGAAUUCAAAUCUAUAUUUUUUUCAUUCCAAACAUAAUAUUUUGGAUUUCUAAAAUGAAUUCCACAAAAUUUUAUAGAAUUCAUUUGUUCCAAACGGACUCUUAGACUCUCAAUUCUUAUAAAGAAUAUUCGGGGGAAAAAAAACCUUUAAUUUUGUCAAUUAUGACUUUGAAUCCUUAUUCAAAUAAUAAACUACGAAAUUAAAAAAAAUUAUCUACAAUUUAAGAUAGUUUGGUUUAGUGAUAGAUUUGUACUAACCCUAUCAUUCGCAAAGUUGACUCAUAGAAUUGGCAUCUUUGAAAGAACUUUAAUAUAAUCAUUUUCUUACUCGAUAUAAAAUAUUAUUUAAUUCGUUGGUUAAAUUGGGGAGAGGAUGCCUUAGUAACUAAAAAAAAAAGAGUUAGAAGGUGAGAAAAGAGAAAAUAAAUAAAUCCCACCAACUAUUUCUGAACUCUAAUUAUUCAUUGGUAGUGUUCUUCUCUUCUCUAUUUGGUUAAGUUCUUCUUUGCCUUAAAAUUUAACAUUUGCUUAUUAAGUCCUCAAAAACCUUUUCGAUGUCUUGAUAGCCCGCGGCAUUCCGUUUUUAAAUUUCAAGUAUUUGGUAGUGUUCUUGUUUGGUUGCAUUCGGUUUGAUCAAGUAUCCUUCCUACUAGGUUUGGUUAGAAAAUCGGCCCAAAAUGGAUUGAACAAACAGAAUGCUUAGAGGUAAGCAAACUUGGGAAAAACCGAAAAAUUGAACCAAACUGAAUUAUUUUCAGUUAUUUAUUUGAUUUUUUUUGAAAAGAAGUUAUUUAUUUGAUUAUUUGGUUUUUGAUUUUGAUUUUCAAUUUUUCAUAAUUAAGUUUUCUGUCAUUAUAAAAUAUUUAUUUGUUAAAUAAAAUUGAACCAUUUGAUCGAAUCAAAUCAAUCAGUUUAAUUUGAUCACGAAGAACAGUUAUUUUCCAUCUGUGCGGUUCAGCUCGGAAGCGAACGGUACGUUUAAACACCCGCAAUGAUAGUCGUCCGAGGUUGGGGCUUUGGAAAAGAUAUAUGGGACCUGUACGAGGCAAAAAUGUCAUUUUGUUCACUCUCAGUCAUAACAGCGUCGCCGUUUUAAACAAUCACUAAUCCAUCGUUUGGGCUGUUUUCGGUUCUCAGUAGCAGAAGAUGUUUUUCCACAUAGUAUUGGAGAGGAAUAUGCAAUUACAUCCCCGCUACUUCGGGCGCAAUCUCCGCGACAAUCUCGUUUCCAAGCUCAUGAAAGAUGUUGAAGGAACGUGCAGGUCAUGGGUUGUUUCUGUUUUGGCUUCCCUUUUUUACAUUACAAAUUUUCAAUCAAUUUAAUAACAAUCAAAAUCUUCAACUUUUCAUGGGAUUUGGAGAAAUUAAUCAAAACCCAUCUCUGAAAUUGAAGGUUUUCAAUUUACCAGGAAACAUUGAAUUCUUAAAUAAGAUUUUAGUUUUAGAGAAGAGUUGAUGUGUUCCUUAUGAGAGUUCGAUUUUUGCGCAUGUGAAACUAGAAGAGAAGAAUUGUUAGUAGUUUUGGGUCCUUAGUUUUAUUUGCUUGGCACUAGAGAAAAACUCAAACUUUCAACCUGACUUUGCUUAUUUGUUUGCUUGGAUUAUGACACUAUGUCUCUUAUGAGUUAUGACUCUAGACAAAGCCUGCAUAUUUGCAAUAACUGAAAAGGAAUUGAAGUAAUGGUGCUACUAGUGAUAUCCUAGAACGUAGUAUUUCUGGUAAUUGAUAAUGUUAUUCUGAGAAAUCAAGGUUCCUUGGCUUAGCUAUGUAGUCUCAGAAGAAAAUUUGGGAAGAAGCCAGUUGGUAUAUAGGGAACUUGUUGUGGAACGUUCCAAUUUUGAUCCAUUUCUGUUGCAAGAUGCUUAGAUGAGGUGUAUUUGUUGCUAGAUUUUGUCAUGUUACCUUAACUGAAUAGCCUUCAUAACCUGCAAUUCAAGAGAGGGGCUGAUGAAAAGAUUUAUUCUGUUAUUUUCAUUCUGCAUUAGUUGAUUGGAAAUCUGUCCUUCAAAAAGGGGCAGUGGAAGUGUUCUCCAUUGUGGUUUAGCUCAAAUUUCAGAUUUUUUAUAUGGGAACCUAAAAUGAAGUUCUGAAAUACUUGAAUCGUUCUCCACAAAGCAAUCCCUUGCUCUUCAGUAGAUGAAUUAUUUUGUGGAUGAACAUCAUUCUUAAUUGUUGGCAUUCCUGCAGUGGUCGGCAUGGCUUUGUGGUGGCGAUAACGGGCAUAGAGAAUAUUGGUAAAGGGUUGAUCCGAGAUGGGACAGGAUUUGUGACAUUUCCAGUGAAGUAUCAGUGCAUUGUGUUCAGGCCAUUUAAGGGUGAAAUUUUAGAAGCUGUUGUUACCAUGGUAAACAAGGUAUGUGCUACUCUUUUACCAAUCUAACUCUUUUAUGAAAUUAUAAUUGUGAAUUUUUCCACUGUAGCCAAAUUUGUGAUUUUAUACAUAAACAUGUCAGAUGGGCUUUUUUGCAGAAGCAGGACCAGUUCAAAUUUUUGUUUCAAACCAUGUAAGUACUGCACUUUACUUGAAAGUUCUUUUCCUAGAGGAUUAUGAACUUGUUAAAUUACCCUGUCUUGCAAGAGUGUUUUUUUUCCUUCAAUUGUAUCUUUGUCAUUUGAUUAUAUAGAUAUGGGAAUUGCUUAAACUUUUUGGUUAGCAUGUAGGAUAUUAAGAAAAUAAAAGCUAUAAUUUAAUUUAUUGCAGUACUUUUGUUUGGCCUUGUUGUUUGGAGUUUGUAACUUUCAGAAAGCAAAAAAAUGAGAGUAGGAAGAAUUUGUUUUUGCCAAUCUCACAUUUUUUGUUAGCAAUAAAAAAAUAUUUUUUGUUUAACAUUAGGAUAAAAAGGAAUGUAACAGUUGUUGUACGUAAAACUUCAGUUUUCAGGUUUUUUUAUAUGUCUGCUUUAAUAAUACAAACUCUAGACGUUUUCAUUUGUGUCUUGGGAUAGAAUAUUACAAGUAAAAGUUGAAUACUAUAAGAAAAGGGUUUUUGUUGCAAGGAAAAUUGGAAAGCCAUUAUUGUUCCUAAUACUUCUAUAUCUAUCUAUCAGUACCAUUUAUUGGGUGUAUGAUAGUAAAAUCCUAUUGUAUUUUAAACCUAUGUCAUGUCCUAAAUGUAGUUCACUUAUAUUCAAGUUUGUUAGUUUUCCUAUUAUAGUAUUAUUUCUCUACUCUAUUGGAUGUAUUAUUCCUCUUAGUCUAUAUCUCUCUGUCAGUACCACUUAUUGGGUGUACAAUAGUAAAUUCCUAUUGUAUUUUAAACCUCUGUCAUGUCCUAAAUGUAGUUCACUUGUAUUCAAGUUUGUUAGUUUCCUAUUAUGGUAUUAUUUCUCUACUCUACUGAUUGCAUUUACAUACGCAAACUGUUAAAUGUAUCUUCCAUACAUGCAACUUAACGUUUUCAUCUUUUGUUGUAGCUAAUACCUGAUGACAUGGAGUUCCAAUCUGGAGAUAUGCCAAAUUAUACAACUUCAGAUGGAUCAGUAUGCUUUGCUUUGAACCUAUUCCGAAUGUGAAUCUUUUCUUUUUUUUUUUUUUCUUCCUGGCCUGUUUGACAAACUUAAACUUGUUAUUGAUGUGUUGCGCAUCUUUUCAGGUUAAGAUUCAAAAGGAUAGUGAAGUACGACUAAAGAUAAUUGGGACUCGAGUUGAUGCUACAGAAAUUGUAUGUUCAUAAAUCUCGUGUUUUAUUUCUGGAUAUCUUGCUACUUUCUCUCAUCAGCCAUAAGCUCAGAUGGAAUAUCUGGACUAGAAUUAUAAAGAAUUUAUGCUCUUUAUAACUGGGUUAUUGUUGCCAUCUAAUGAGAAUUAUUUUACAAAGUUGAGGAAUAUAAUUUCAUUUUAGUGGACGUGAUAUUAUUUGGAGAAUUAGUGAUAUACAUCUAGGUUAUAUAAAUGAAAAUAGUCUGUUUCACCCCUAAAAAACUAUUUAUUUUGGAAUUCAAUGUGACUACAUCUAAUAUUUCUAAAUUUCAAAUUUCAUUUAUAUUGAAGAAAGGGUAGGCAUGAUCUCUUAACCAUUUAAAAUUUUAUUUCGCAGCGAUCAAAAUCUAGAAAUUCUCAUUGUGUUUCUUUUUUUUUGUGUUUUUCCUUCUUUUCUUUGCAGUUCUGCAUCGGUACCAUAAAGGACGAUUUCUUGGGUGUGAUAAAUGAUCCAACAGGCGCUUAGUGGAGUUGUUUACAAGAAAGUAGAAACUUCAACUGCAUCAAACUGACCUUCUUGCAAUGUAUUACUGCUUACUGUAUAGUUUUAAGGGCAUUAACAUUGUCUCGACCUGCACAUCAAGAUGUAAUCUAGUGUUAAGUGCAUGUAAGAUCUGAUAAUAGAGUCAAGUUUGAAUUUCCUUCCCCAAUGCUUAAAAAGAGAGAAAAAAAACGGUGUCUUGGACCUUAAGAAUUACUGGUUUGAAUCACUGUAGUAGAUUUCUUUUCCAGGUAAUUGAAAUUAGAAACUGGAAAUCUUUCUUUAUUUUCAAGCUUAGUACUAGUCGUAGACUCUACUGAGUCAAGCGACACAUCGGUUGCAUCAAAUUUUAUUACUGGAACUAGGAUUUACCAAAAUAAUUUUGUGUUUUUAAGAAAAUACAUUAAUAUAAUUGAAUUAUAUAAAAUUUUAUAAAACUAAUUUGUAAUUGAUGUUUGGUGUUCUUUUAAGAACACAAUUAAAUCAAAUUUUAUAAUUCAUAUAUAAAUUUUGAAGUUUAAAUUAAUUUAUUCCAAUCAAUCAAAACUGUGAUGAAAAAACCUUGGAUAAAACGCAAACUGUUAAACUAGUGCUUUGCUUUUAUAAAAUAAAAAUUCUAAAAUUUGCUACUGCUAUUGUGUAUUAUCAACACUUUUUUUUUACUGCAGGGACACAAUCUGUUUUAAUAACUGUAUGCAUCGUUAACGUUUCACCAAAUGUUAAAAAAAGAAAAUGUUUCAUAAUUCGUUCUAUCAAUCGAGUCAAAACACUAAAUUCGAUGUGAAAAUAUAAAAUAUUACUCUCUACGUUUCAAAAUAUAAAUUAUUUAAAAUUUUUACAAAGAGAUUAAAAAAACAGUUAAUUCUUCUAAAUUAUAUUUAAAAUCAUGAGCAAUUUGAUGAAAUUAUUAUUUAUUUCAAAACCAAAGAUAAAUUAUAAAAUAUAAUUAUUAUAUCAAAUAUAAAUAUAAAUAUGGGUAAUAUUAGAAAAACAAUCACCGGAGUAAUUUGAUAUGAGUUCAACAUUAUAAAUUUUAGAAAAACAUUUUUAUAUUUUAUAUAUAUAUUUUUAAUUUUAUAAAUUAAAGUGGUUAAUUAGUAUAAUUUUAUUUAUAAAUUGAAGUGUUGGAUAAAUUAAAAUAAAAAUUCUACUGAAGCAACAAAGAGGAGUGAAUUUAUGUACCCCAAAUAAAAAGCCAUGGUCUGUAACUAGUAAUAUUCAUAGGUAGACGGUCAAAAUCAUCUUCGAUCAGUGAAUCCACAAAAUGCUAAUGGACGAAACAACUCUGCCUCGCCGCGGUUCUCGUUUCUUACUGCAAAACCCUUAAGUCUCUCUCUGAGCCUCUGACCCUCUGACCCUUAAACCCUAAUUUUAGCAACAAUGGCAAAAAUACUCCACUCGUAACAAAAUCUCACUAUCCCCUAUCUCUCUCUCUCUCUCUCUCUCUCUCUCUCUCAAUGUUAACUGCUAUUUCAAGAAUGAAGUCACUAAUGGCUCCACCAUUUUCACCCAUCUGCAGACCCACAUCUUCUGCCCUCUUCUUCUCUUUAGCCUCUAAAUACAAAUUUCUCUCAUCUCCCUCAACUCUUAAAAAUGUCAACUUUCUCCCCAUUAAACCUCCUCCUCCUGUGCCAAUAUUUCCAAUUCAAAAUCGAUGUCUACAGUCUAAAUCUUCUCCUUCUUCUUCAUCCGGCGAGAUUCAUGUCAUAGUUGGCCCUAUGUUCGCCGGAAAAACCACCACGCUUCUCCGUCGCAUCGAGUCUGAGAGCAGAGAUGGCAGGUAUGACUUGGUUUUUAUAAAAAUCUUAACUUUCCCUUUUUAUGUAAUGUGCUCUUUGUUUGUUUUUCAUGUUAUGUGAUUGUUUCUAACUCUUACUUCUUUUGUAUUUUUUUAUGUUGGUUGCUCGAUGUUGUUACUUUAUUGUUAAUGUUAGAUGCUUUAGAACACAUCUAAUGCUCUAAUGAAUUGCCAAUUGAUUUUAGUUUGUGGGUGAGCUUUUGACCCUGAUUUUUUUUUUUUUUUUUGAUGGGAUUAUCACUGGUUAGAUAUUGCCAGGUUUCAGGUUAAUAACAUGCUUCAAUUGGCUAAAACUUUAAAGGGUCUUUGUUUAUCGGGGAGGAUGAGUGAAGCUGUGGGACUAUUAUGGCGUACGGGAUUAGAAAUGGAUCACAGGACCUAUGCCCUUCUGUUGCAAGAAUGUAUAUUCAGAAAACAUUAUAAAAAUGGAAAAAGAAUUCAUGCUCAAAUGGUUGUCGUUGGGUAUGUUUCCAAUGAAUAUCUUAACACUAAGUUGUUAAUAUUAUAUGCGAAAUCAGGGGAUUUAAAGGCUAUGCACAUGUUAUUUGAUAAGUUGAUGGAGAAAAGCUUGAUUUCUUGGAAUGCUAUUAUCGCUGGAUAUGUGCAGAAGGGGCUUGAAGAAUUAGGUAUUAGUUUUUAUUACAAAAAGAGAGAAACUGGUCUGGUACCGGACCAGUAUACCUUUGCAUCAGUUUUUAGAGCUUGUGCUGCAUUGGCAACAUUGGAGCAUGGCAAGAAAGCACAUGGUGUCAUGAUAAAAUGUCACCUAAGCGAAAAUGUUAUAGUCAAUAGUGCUCUCAUAGAUAUGUACUUUAAAUGCAGCAAUCUCUCGGAUGGGCAUAAGGUCUUUAGUAAAUCAGUAAUCAGGAAUGUUGUUACCUGGACUUCAUUAAUAUCUGGGUAUGGCCAGCAUGGAAGAGUUUCAGAGGUUUUAGAAUCAUUUCAUAGGAUGAAAGAUGAAGGUUUCAGACCCAAUUAUGUUACUUUUCUUGCAGUCCUUUCUGCUUGUAGUCAUGGAGGUUUGAUUGAUGAAGGUUGGGGUUAUUUCUCAUCAAUGAAGAAAGAUUAUGGAAUCCAACCUAGAGGGCAACACUAUGCAGCCAUGGUUGACCUUUUAGGCCGUGCUGGGAGGUUACAAGAGGCUUAUGAGUUUGUUCUUAAUGCACCUUGUAAAGAACACUCAGUUAUAUGGGGGGCUUUGCUUGGGGCUUGUAGGAUUCACGGGAACAUGGACCUAGUAAAGCUUGCAUCAAAGAAAUACUUUAAAUUGGAUCCAGAAAAUGCUGGCAAGUAUGUGGUAUUGUCCAAUGCAUAUGCCACUUUUGGGUUUUGGGACAAUGUUGCAAAGGUUAGAAGUAUGAUGAGAGAUUCAGGAAUAAUGAAGGAGCCUGCUUAUAGCAGGAUUGAAGUUCAAGGGGAGGUGCACUACUUCCUAAUGAGUGAUAAUUCUCAUAGAAAAUUUGAAGAGAUAUGUAGGACGAUUAUUGAAAUGAUGGGAAUUCUAAAAGAUUCUGGCUAUGUUCCUGAUAUAAAUGAUCAAUAAUUCACAAAGGUAAUCAAUUAUUACAUUUUAAAUCCAAAAACUCAUUACUGUUUUCAGCUGAGCUUUUAUUGGACUUUGAGGCUUAGGUUGGCAUUUUAAGGCACAGUUCUUUGUGUGUUUCCCAUGCACAGUUCAUAGGCUUUACUUUAUUUAUAUUUUUCUUUCCCAUGUUAAAUGCAUAUACCUUCUUAUGGUCAUGCUUGUUCUGAUAUACUGUUAUUGCUUAGCAGAACUCUGAGGUAAGCUUUCUUUUUAAGCCAUGUACUUUCCUGAUUACUCUAAGGUCCAUUUUAGUGUUGUAGGCUUGUAGCAUAUGAUAAUGAGUGUAAUAAUUUGCCAUAUAAGUCCUAAAUAACUUUUAUUUUAGGUUUAGUAAUCUAAGUGAGAGAAAAUGAAAUGCUUAUGAUUUGAGCAGUGCUUUAUAUUUUAGAAUUCAUUUUUUCCUUUUCACAUUUUUAUGCAGAAAUGUAGCAAUCAUAAAAUCAAACAAGGACACAAGAUAUGGUUUGGAUUCAAUAGUGACACAUGAUGGGUUGAAGUUACCAUGUGUGGCACUUCCCAAUUUGUCGUCUUUUAGACAAAAAUUUGGUGCUGAUGCAUAUGAACAGGUAUCUCCAUGGAAAAAAUAUGAUGAUUUAUAUUAUUAAGAAAGAUAUUGAAAGGAUGUUUUCAAUUGUUAGUUUGAAUGUGGACUAUCUCAUGUCAUUAAGUAGUUAGUAUUAACUUUAUUUCUGUUGUAAGUUAAGCAUAUCUAUAACUGCCGCUACAGCUCAUGUUAAGAAAGAAGCUAUUAGAAAAGUUCUGAUUGCUGGAUAUAUGUGCGCAUCAUUCUUGCUAGUUUCCUGAGCUUUCAGUGUAGACUUGGUAAUAUUAACUCACCAAAAGCUUAUGUUGACAGCUGGAUGUAAUCGGUAUUGAUGAAGCUCAAUUUUUUGAAGACCUGUAUGAUUUCUGCCGUGAAGCUGCUGAUCACGACGGAAAAACUGUAAUAGUUGCUGGUCUGGAUGGUGACUACUUGAGGUUCGCUUCGGACCUAUUAUUCACUAUUCAAUUAAUCCAUGAUUUUGUUGCUUAAAAUCACAUUACAAUAUUCUCGGAUUUCCUUUUGAUGGUGAAUUAAAUAUUUGCUGACAGGAAAAGUUUUGGUUCUGUGCUUGAUAUAAUUCCUCUUGCUGAUUCUGUGACCAAGUUAACUGCACGAUGUGAAAUUUGUGGAAGUCGCGCUUUCUUUACCUUGAGGAAGACGGAGGAGACGCGGGUAGAACUCAUUGGUGGUGCUGAUGUGUAUAUGCCUGUAUGUCGACAGCACUAUGUCAGUGGACAAGUAGUCAUUGAAGCUGCUGCAAGAAUAGUUGUAGAAUCUCAGAAGGUGGAGUUUGGAUCUUGCGUGUAGCUCAGAUUCUUCUUAAUUGGACGCAACGAUUUUAAUUAAUAUGUUGUUUUGUGGUUAUGGGUAUGCCGCUAUUAGAUCAAGUAGAAAAAAGAUUUCUUUCGAUCCCCAUUAUAAGUUGAAAGUUUUAAAUCUGUGAUUAAUAUUUUGAAAAUAAUACUGUACAUACACAGGGAUUGGGAUUGAUAGUCCUCCCUUAAAGGGCUUUUCACCCUCCUCAAACGGGAAUAAAUUUGGAAAUCAAACCAAAUUAAUCUGUUCGGUAGGCAUUGGUUUGGUCAAAUGAUUCGGUUUAUUCAGAAAAUAAAUGUUUGAAAUAACCAUUCCAAAGACCAAAAACUAAAAUUAUAGAAGAUUUCAAACUGAAUCCAAAAACCGAACCAAAAUUUGCUCACCCCUUGCGCCAUGUAAACUUGGGGAGAUAGAUGUUAAUAUAUAAUGUGGCAUGUGAAACAUAGUCACGAUAUAUUCUUAAUGCAGAUGAACAAAGAGUCCGUUCACAACUUGAAAUGGUAUGAAGGCAGUUCAACAUUUUGUUUUUACUGGGUGAUAGAGCGCUUGUUAUAACAAAGGGAAUCUGCAGAAAAGCAUUCCUUUGAAACUUCUCAUAGCAUGCAAUGUUUCAACAUUGUAACCCAAAAAUGUAUCAGAGAGUAAUAGUCAGAAAGAGAAAGCGCAACAUUGCAGAAAAAUUGUCGUAUUUUCACAGUACAGUCACAAAGCGAUCUUGCUUCAUUCUUAUGAGGUUGUUUUCAAUGUUCUUCAAAACUGGUUUGUAGCUGCAGGAAAUGAAAUCAACUUUAGUUUGUUCCGCAAUGUCUAAAAACUUUCACCUUCAAAUUGAGUUUGUAACCUAAAAGGGAUAUUAGAGAGAGAGAAAGUAGACUGCUUACAGGCGUGUAAGACCAUUAUAUGCUUGUGUGACUUCUUGUAGUUUUGCUGAUAGCUGCAGGACCUCUGCAGACAAUGCUUCUGCUCUGUUCUGUUCCUUCGCAAGUUCUCCCUAUAAAUAAAGAACAGCCAUAAGUUGAAAGCAAACUGGUGGAUGAAAUCAGAAUCUCGUAAUGAUGUCAACGUUAGUUUGCUCAUCUUGCAAAUGGUUAAGCUGAGGAGCUGAAACAAAAGAAGAGGUGUAACAGAAUUUGUUAGGAAUAAAAGAUCCCAUCUUUACUAACCUUGAGGUAAAAAAUUUCUGUUGAACCUGUCUCGUUUAUCCCAUUGCUAUGUCGUUCUGCUGAAAUGAACAUCUCCCUUUCACCUGAAGAAAGCAUAUUGGCCUGUUCUGUUCUCAUCUUAACAAGAACUCCACGAAGCUCUUCAUUUUGCUUAAGACAGUCUUUCAACUGUAGAAGUUAAAGUGAGAUUAUUCAUCAAAAUAAACAAGAUAAGUGCAAAUUAGCAAAAUGCAAGAAAUGAUAACAGAAACAAAAUUGACACUGUGAAAGAUUAGCACAUCACAAAUCAAGUAAUCAGAAAACUAACUUCAAGGUUAAGCCCAUUUCACAAAAAUUGGAGGCAGUGUCAUGCAUGAACUACCAUAUGCAGCAAAGAAAACUUAUAUAACAAAUUUAUUAAUAAAUUGAUUAUCCAUUUGUGUGCCUGGUUUCAAUUAAACUACAAGAAGAAAGUACUGCACGUAAGUUAAUAGUCCAUGAUUGUAAUAUUUUUGGAAUGUCUACCAUUUCGUACAACAUAUUCCAAUUUACUUUCUAGUUUAUUUUCUCCGAUUCAACUAUAGCUCAGAUCUCCAUUUUAAGUAUCACAUGAAGUCAUUAUUGACAAAAGUAACUUCUUAGUUGUGGAGUUAAAUGAUGCACAAAGGCAUCCCACACUUCGUGACACAAUAUUUGCUAAACUAGACCUUAAACUAUACAGAAAUUUACCUGAUUCUCCCAUUGCUUUGCUAUGCUUAUUGCCUCUUGAUAAGAGGAAGAGAGAUUAGAAUUUUCCUCAAAUAGCUUCUCUAUCUCUGUAGAUUGUGAAUCAAUCUGUUGACAAAAUUAUUUCAGCAAUGUCACCUUGAGACAGCAGAUGAAAUUUUAAAUUCCAUCGACAUUACUAAAAGAAAAUCAAGCAAAUACUUUACCUCCUUUAAAAGUUUCUGUCUGCUACUCUCCAAUCUCUCAACUGCUACAGCCAUAUCAUGCAACUGCUUCUCAAGUUUCUCCUUUUCCUCCUGCAAGGAAUAGAACAUCCAUCAAAACAGUAAUCCAAAAUCUUAGCCCACAUUCCACCAACCAUUAGUUAACAAGGGAUCAAGAGUUGAUAAGCAAUGGUUUGGAAAAGGAUAUUGAUGAGAAAGUAGAUAGAACAUGAAACCACAACUAUAUUAGAAAAUGUUGCAAGCAUGUCAUGAUUGACAAAUGUGAAUGCCAAACUAAUGAAAAUAACAACAAAAGAUUCUCUUACCACUGAAAAUGCCUUUUGAGCCACUUUUUCUGACAAUUCUUCUGUGCAAAACCAAAGAGAAAGCGACUUAGAAAAAGCAAAUCAAACUGAUAAAGACAAUUGUGAACAGUCAGUGCGUGAUUCUUUGUGUGAGAUAGAGACCACAAUUUCAAGGCUCCCAAGUUCCAAAAAAGUUUCUGAAGGGAUGUACCAGGGGCUUUUCUGGAUAUAGCCACAAGUUUCUCUUCCAAUUCCUGCUUUUCAGACAGAAGGGUGGAAACCCGGGCUUGCUCCUCCACCAACAGUUGUCGGUCUUGUUGCCUCAAUGAUAACUCUUGCUAUAAGUUCGGAAUCACAAUGAGAAAUACAUACCAAAACUCCAAUAGGGAACAAAGAAAAUGAUUCUAACCUGCAAACUAGACUUUAAACUAGCCAACUCAUGUUCCAAGCUUUGUAAUUGAUCUGGCAAAAUACCAGCGGACGUUGUUCGACCAAGUGGAUUACUCAUUGCUUGUUGCUGUAUAGAGUUUAAUUCUGCUCUCAAAGCUGCCGCAUCUUCCUCAGCCUACACUAAGAAAACUAAUGAGAAUAUAGGAACUGAGCUGCUACUAUAUAAUCACCAGGAUCUGGUUGCAUACUCUGUAUUGUUCUUCUUCUGCUUCUUUUAGACGUUUCUUAAGGGUGCGAAGCUGGGCUGAAAGAUCCUCCUAUACUAAAAUAUUAGAUGUGAGAGUGAAUAAUGAAAGAAAAGGAGCAUAAAUAUAGCAUGGAAGGAAACAAGUAGUGAGCUAAUAAUACCUACCCGUGCAACAACCGCUGCAUCUUUCUCCAUAGCUACAUCCUUGAGUGCUUUUCUUAAAGAUGGAACAGUAUUUUGUUCCUGAAAGUCACAAAAACCCCAAAAACCGUUGGAUCAUGUGGUAAAGUACAUAUUUAGAAGUUUUGCUGCCAAACACACCAUAACAAAAGGAAUGAGUUAAGGGGGAAAAAAGGUUCAUUACUUUACCAGAUCAUUUAUGCGCUUUAGUAAUGAUUCAUUCUCAACAUCCUUUGUUUGAAGCUGAAGCGGUGAGAAAAACAAAAAAAAUUUCUCAGCUUGAUGACACAAUAUAAAAGCCAUUCUUCAGCGUUUAACUGCAACCAAAAACAUAAAACCAAAUUUACACCCAUACCUUCAAGGAUAACAUCUUGUUGGUUUCCUCCAGAUCUUCAUUCUUUUUCAGUACAUCUUUAAGCUGCGAUACUAAUCCGCUAACAUCAGUCUGCAAAAGCCACUAAAUGUUAAGAUGACUACUACGUCCACAACUUGGCGAUUCAAAUCAAAUGUCUUUAUAAAUGCAUUGCGUCCAGUAGAAAGUGUGCCCAAUCCCUUAAUACCAUGAGUUACAAACUUAACACAUGAAAUGGAAAAUUCAAUUAUCUUCCUUUCUUUACAAAAAUUAUUAAUCAAGUUCACAAAAAUUCACACAUUUCUACAAUCCUAAUUUCAGAUUUCACUCAUCGUAGGAGAACAGCAAAUUCGAAAUACGAAUAAUAAUAACUCACAGAAAGUUGAAUUCUUACCUCAGAAAGUCGAUUUCCGCUUUCUGAUUUUCUAAUUCCUACGUUAUCUGCCCAGAAACAUUUCAGGGGGAAAAUAAUUAAUAUAAAUUUGAUAAAAAAAGAUUGCAUCAAUCAAAAAGCAAAAUAUUCUCUGAGUUAAUUUUAACAACAACAAAGGCAAAAAGAGAUAUUAAACAAAGAUACCAAUAGGGAUUUGAGCUUUGGUGAGAUCUGGUCCAGAAGAUGUUUUGCUUAACCUCUCUGCUGCUCUCUUUUGUCUAAUAUCUUCCAACUAAAAAAGAAACCAAUAUGAUAUCAAAUGAAGAUCCUUUUUUCUCCCAAAAAAAAAAAAAAGGGAAAUUAAGAGAAAAAUCACAUAUAUGAAACUUACAUAAAAAUUUUCAUAAUUAAGUGAAGAAAAAAAAAAACAAACAUGCUAAAGAGAAUGAAUAGAUGAGUACCGUUCGUCGACCUAGAGAUGCGUGAUGAGACUCCAUGGCCAAGAGAAAAGCAAUUCCAAUGGAUGAAUUAUCUUCCUCUCUCUUUGGCCUCGAUUUGGAAUUUUCUCUGCAGAGGCUUCAAACUGGAGGAGACGAUGAAUGAAAAAAAGCUUGUAGGUUCAAAAAAGCUAGAAAUUUAAACUGCAAUUUGUAGACGCAAUUAACAAUAAUUUAAGCAGUGUGCCAAUUCAGUGUCUGGGUGGUGUAGUUGGUUAUCACGCUAGUCUCACACACUAGAGGUCUCCGGUUCGACAUUGGGCUCAGAUAAUAUUAUGCAAUGUGAUAAUUAAUUAUAAUUUUUCCUUUCUUUUUUUUCUUUUUUUUUUAACUAAACAGGCAGAAAAUAAUUCAAAAAUACAAGAUGGGUUUGUCCAUAGGUGAGGUGAGUUCGACCUCGAAUUAAAUAUUAUAAAUGAAUCAAUUUAUCUAAACUAUAAAUUGUAAACGAUUCAAUUCAAAUUCAGCUUUUAUAUAUUUAAUAAGUUUCAAUUCUCUUCCACUUAUUAACAACUUUAGAUAUAUGUUGCUCCACUUAUAUUAAUUUUUUCGAACUCUAAAAAAUCUAUUCCUAAAUUAUUAUGUUUUUUCUAGUAUAUUUUAAGAAUAUAUAUAUAUAUAUAUAUAUAUAGUUCCUAAAUGCAGAUGGCUAAACUUUGGGUGUGCGUGAGGGGUUAAAAUUGGCUAAGAAAUUGGGCUGGUCGAAGGUUAUAGUGGGUUGUGAUAAUACGAUAAUUACUGAAUGGAUUAAAAGUUGAAAAUUACAUUCAAAUUCUAACCAGCUAGAGGUAGAAACGAGCCGAGCCGAACUUGAAUCUGUCAGGCUCGAAACUUGAUGAGUUUGAAAAUUUUAUGCUCGAGCUCCACUUGAAACUUGAGUUCAAUUCAAAAAAUUUUAAAUUCUAGCUCGGCGCGAUACUUGAAUAAGUUUAUAUAUAUAUAUAUAUAUAUAUGUUCGAUAAGGCUUAAUAAGUUUUCGAGCCGAAUAUUAUUAGGCUUGAGCUUGGCUCAUUUGCUAACAAGCUCGUGUUCGAUUCGAACCGAGCUUUUUCAAACCUUUUUAAAGCCGAGCUCAAACCGCUUGCUAGUCGACUCAACUCAGUACACCCCUAUUACCAGCUAUUUAAUUCUCUUAUCUUAUCAAAUUGAAUUAGGAGGUUCAAACUAUUCACGUGUCAAGAUAAGCUGUUUCAACACUGAUUGUUUAACGAAUUUUGUUCUUAAUAUAUAUAUAUAUAUAAAGUUGGAAUAAAGAGAAUAUUUAUAUCUUGAGUCUUAAUUUUUAAUUAUUUCUUAACAUAAAGUUAGGGAGGACAAUGGGUUAGGUAUAGAACAGGUUUUCUAAUUUCGACAUCCACUUUGCGAAAUUACAUAUAUACAUGUCCCCACGGGCCCUAAAAUUAAACAGGUGUGCUUGAGGACCGGUGGGUUCAAAUUGAAUUUUAUGUAAGUAAAUAUAAAAAAUAUAAUCUUAAUUUAAAAAGAAAAUAGAUAAAAUGGGUCAUCACUCAUGAUCGAGUUGAGUUUUAUUUGUAAAAUUUGUAUCUACCAUCAUUUUUUUUUUUUUAAAUAGAUCAGAUUGUAUCUACAUCAUUUGAAUAAAGUUCGAGUAAAUAUUCGACUGAAUAGGUAAAUUUGUCAUCCUUACAUAAAGUUUGUUAUAUUCAUCAUUUAGUUUUGAUUUGUUUGAAGCUUUGCUCCACAAUAUAAAAAGAGAGAAAAAAGAAAAGAAAAAAAAAAGCAUGUUAAUGGUAAAUAUAUUGCUUUGGAAGGGAAAAAACAAAUAACAUUUAAUUGUUUUUCUUCUCUAUCUGUAGUUAGGGGUGGCCACGGUUCCGGAACCGGCGGUUCCAGUUCCAAAAAAACUGGAACUGAAAUCGAACCGAAAAGUUUCGGUUCCGGUUCCGGUACAGUGACCAAACCGACGGUUCCAAUCGGUUUUUCGACGAAUCGCAUAAUUUUAAAUUUUAAAUUUUAAAUUUUGAAGACCGGUUUUAAAAUAUAUAUAUAUUUGAACAUAAAAAAUUAAAAGAUACACCUAAAAAAUUAAAAAAAUACUUCAAUUAAAUUUAUUUUUUUUAAAGACUUGAACAUAAUUAUUUUUUAAAAAAAAAUUUUUCAACUGAAUUUAUUUUUUGUUUAAAAAAGUUUGAACAUAAUUUUAAAUUUUGAAGACNNNNNNNNNNNNNNNNNNNNNNNNNNNNNNNNNNNNNNNNNNNNNNNNNNNNNNNNNNNNNNNNNNNNNNNNNNNNNNNNNNNNNNNNNNNNNNNNNNNNNNNNNNNNNNNNNNNNNNNNNNNNNNNNNNNNNNNNNNNNNNNNNNNNNNNNNNNNNNNNNNNNNNNNNNNNNNNNNNNNNNNNNNNNNNNNNNNNNNNNNNNNNNNNNNNNNNNNNNNNNNNNNNNNNNNNNNNNNNNNNNNNNNNNNNNNNNNNNNNNNNNNNNNNNNNNNNNNNNNNNNNNNNNNNNNNNNNNNNNNNNNNNNNNNNNNNNNNNNNNNNNNNNNNNNNNNNNNNNNNNNNNNNNNNNNNNNNNNNNNNNNNNNNNNNNNNNNNNNNNNNNNNNNNNNNNNNNNNNNNNNNNNNNNNNNNNNNNNNNNNNNNNNNNNNNNNNNNNNNNNNNNNNNNNNNNNNNNNNNNNNNNNNNNNNNNNNNNNNNNNNNNNNNNNNNNNNNNNNNNNNNNNNNNNNNNNNNNNNNNNNNNNNNNNNNNNNNNNNNNNNNNNNNNNNNNNNNNNNNNNNNNNNNNNNNNNNNNNNNNNNNNNNNNNNNNNNNNNNNNNNNNNNNNNNNNNNNNNNNNNNNNNNNNNNNNNNNNNNNNNNNNNNNNNNNNNNNNNNNNNNNNNNNNNNNNNNNNNNNNNNNNNNNNNNNNNNNNNNNNNNNNNNNNNNNNNNNNNNNNNNNNNNNNNNNNNNNNNNNNNNNNNNNNNNNNNNNNNNNNNNNNNNNNNNNNNNNNNNNNNNNNNNNNNNNNNNNNNNNNNNNNNNNNNNNNNNNNNNNNNNNNNNNNNNNNNNNNNNNNNNNNNNNNNNNNNNNNNNNNNNNNNNNNNNNNNNNNNNNNNNNNNNNNNNNNNNNNNNNNNNNNNNNNNNNNNNNNNNNNNNNNNNNNNNNNNNNNNNNNNNNNNNNNNNNNNNNNNNNNNNNNNNNNNNNNNNNNNNNNNNNNNNNNNNNNNNNNNNNNNNNNNNNNNNNNNNNNNNNNNNNNNNNNNNNNNNNNNNNNNNNNNNNNNNNNNNNNNNNNNNNNNNNNNNNNNNNNNNNNNNNNNNNNNNNNNNNNNNNNNNNNNNNNNNNNNNNNNNNNNNNNNNNNNNNNNNNNNNNNNNNNNNNNNNNNNNNNNNNNNNNNNNNNNNNNNNNNNNNNNNNNNNNNNNNNNNNNNNNNNNNNNNNNNNNNNNNNNNNNNNNNNNNNNNNNNNNNNNNNNNNNNNNNNNNNNNNNNNNNNNNNNNNNNNNNNNNNNNNNNNNNNNNNNNNNNNNNNNNNNNNNNNNNNNNNNNNNNNNNNNNNNNNNNNNNNNNNNNNNNNNNNNNNNNNNNNNNNNNNNNNNNNNNNNNNNNNNNNNNNNNNNNNNNNNNNNNNNNNNNNNNNNNNNNNNNNNNNNNNNNNNNNNNNNNNNNNNNNNNNNNNNNNNNNNNNNNNNNNNNNNNNNNNNNNNNNNNNNNNNNNNNNNNNNNNNNNNNNNNNNNNNNNNNNNNNNNNNNNNNNNNNNNNNNNNNNNNNNNNNNNNNNNNNNNNNNNNNNNNNNNNUGACAGUGUGGCGAGACCUGCCAGUUCGAACCGGCGGUUCUAACCGGUCGGGGAACCGACGGUUCCAGUCCGGUUCGGACCAGUUCUCUGGAACAGCCGGUUCCGGUUCCAGAAAAUUUGGAACCGAAACCGAACCGGAAUUCUCCAGUUCCGAUUCCGGUUCUCACCGGUUCCGGUUACAGGAUCCGGACCGGUUUCCGGAACCGUAAUAUGGCCAUCUCUAUCUAUAGUAAAGGUGCAUGAAAAAAUCAUGUUUAUGACCUAACAUACUUUGUUACUGCCAUUAACUUUAAGACAAAAAGCAAAUCCUCUAAAGUCUAAAUUUAAAACAGAACCUUAAUUGCUUAUCAAAUUGACAAUUAGGACAGAUAAUAACAUGUUAUGAUUUGAUAACAGGCUGUCCAUUAUUUGAUAGAACUGUAUCAUCACAUGGCACUUUAGAAAUUGGCAUCUAUUUGUCUCAUACUCUUGUUUAUUAAGAUUGAAACCUAAUCAUUCAUGGAGUUUAUCUUUUUAAGGAAUCUUUAGCCUUUUUAUUUUUAAAUUUUACUUUGUUAACCUUCCAUUGUUCCAUAGUAAUAAAGUUGUGUUCGUUAAUAAUUUUUUAAGUAGCUUUUAUUAUUUUGAUUAAAUACUAUUUUUUUUAUAACUUCAUUAAUAUAAUAUUUGAAUUAGCUUUUAAAUGUUAAAGUAGUAUUUUUUAAAAAAUAACUCAUAUAACGUUUAGUUUUUAGCAGUUUAUGAAACGUUGUUCUAAUAACUAAACACUACUAAAACAGUUAAAAGUUACCAAAAUAGCUAAUUUUGCCGAACAGAUACUAAAACUUUACAGCCUAGUCUUUCUAAUUAUCCAUACAUAACUUCACUGCAAGUGCAUAAGCAAGCUUAUAAAAUGUUUGUAUUUGGUUUGCAAUAUCAAUUUUACUUCUCGAAAAGUAGACCAUCUAACUUCCAUUACGUAAGGGAAGUAACUUUUUUAGGAAUGAUUACGGAUGAUGCACUUUCUUAGUUAAAUGCAAUAAAUUUUUAUCCUACUAUUUAAACACACUUAAAUUAUAUUAUGAAUAUUAUUAUUAGGGGUGUCAAAACAAGUUCGACACAGAUUCGCCUAACACGUGACACGAUUAGAGUCAACACGAAUACGACACAAAAAUUAGGUAGGUGACAUGAAUAUGAUAUAUGUAACUCAUCUAAUAUUAUAAAUAUGUUAAGUGAGUCAUGUUUACUUGCAUAUAACCCACUUAAUUUACUUAUACUUAUUUUUAAAUUUUAAUCUAUUUAACUCAAAUCAUAUUUAAAAAAUCAUACAUAAAAUGCAUAGAUUUUUCAGGAUUCAUAACUAAAAUAAAAAAAUUAAUACAACAAUAAAGUUUAAAUAGGUUUUAGUUGGAGUAUUUAUAUUUGACAUUAAAAUUACAUAUUUACUCUUAAAUAAACGAGUCACUCGCCUAAUCCGCGUGUCAAUCCACGACAAGACACGUUUAUAUUCGUGUCAUAAAUGAGUGAUCCGUUAAUAACACGAACUCAUUUAACCUCAACCCUAAUAUAUUUAUUUCGCGUAUUACGCAAAUCGUGUUGGCGUGUCAGACCCAUUUUGACACUCCUAAUUAUUAUCUUUUGUAAUUUACUUCCUAAAAAAUUAUACUAAACACGUUCAAAUUAUAUUUAAUGAGAAAUAAAUUCCUUCGAAGUGUAUAUUACUCUUUAAUUAUUAUUGUCAACAUUUUUUUCCUUGUCGUGGAUUUAUGUCAUUAAUGUUAUUUAAGAACAAAUCAUUUACGAUAGACUUUCAAUUCAUUUGGAAAAAAUGACUAAAUAUUAUAUAUAUAUAUAUAUAUAUAUAUAUAUAUAUAUGACAUAUAAUUUCCAUUUAGUUGAGAGUGAAUACAUAUUCCGGAGAAGCACUAAUAUAUACUCCCCUCCCAUUUUAUUUGCUUGUUAUUCAUUUUUCGGAUGUCCCAAAAUAUUUACAAGAUUUCUAAAUUUAUAUAUAUGUAAACAAUUAUUUUUUCUAUAAUAAUUUUUAUAAUUGUUAUUAAACGAAGAACUUUUAUUAAUAUAUUAAUGAGUUAAGGAAUAGUGUAAAAAAAAAGUAAAAUAACUUUAGUUGACUAAAUUUUUAACAUGCGUAUUUUGUCAAAUCAUGCAAAUAAAAUGACGCAGAGAAAAUAUUACAUAUAUAUAUAUAUAUAUAUAUAUAUAUAUAUANNNNNNNNNNNNNNNNNNNNNNNNNNNNNNNNNNNNNNNNNNNNNNNNNNNNNNNNNNNNNNNNNNNNNNNNNNNNNNNNNNNNNNNNNNNNNNNNNNNNNNNNNNNNNNNNNNNNNNNNNNNNNNNNNNNNNNNNNNNNNNNNNNNNNNNNNNNNNNNNNNNNNNNNNNNNNNNNNNNNNNNNNNNNNNNNNNNNNNNNNNNNNNNNNNNNNNNNNNNNNNNNNNNNNNNNNNNNNNNNNNNNNNNNNNNNNNAAAUUAUCAAAUCAAUAUAUAUAUAUAUAUAUAUAUAAAUGAGGGAGUAUUAUAUUUGGCGAGUCGUAAUAUACAUAAUAUAAUAUAAUCAAAGCCAUUUCUCAAUUUAUAGAAUUUAUAUAAUAUAAUCAAAAUUAUUACAUUAUGCUUACCAAAAAAAUAGCAUAAGGUUUGAUUAAUUACGCUAAAAAUAUAUUUAUUUUAUUACGUCUCGUCAAAUGGGGCCUAAGAUAUAGUAAAACCAGAAAGGAAGACAUGGGAAGACAUACUGCAGAAAAAAGGAAAGUCAUAAGAAUCAUACUUUUUCCCAAUAAUUCCAUUGAUUAAAUCAAACAUGCUUAUUACCUACGCAAUCAUCCUAAUAAUUAAAUAUUAUAGAACCUGUUUUCAUUUUCCUUUGUCCAUAUAUGGCCACUGAUUAGCCAGAAGCAGCAAGUAGCUAAGGUUUCAUAUAUGCUUGUAAACUGUAAUUAGCCAUGAGGAGAUGUGCGCACAUAUGUGCCUGUAUUCCUGGAAUUAAGCAGCAGAAGGAAGAUCAUUCUGACAAGUCCAGUUCCCAUCACAGAUCCCAGAAAAAGAAAAAGAAGAAAGGAGAUUCAGCUGCUGAUUCUACUGGGGUUCCUCUUAAUGAUCACGCAGAAGGCAGCAGCCACCACCAGGGAACCAGCGCGGAUGCCGGAGGUGGUGGCACCGCAGCUGCUGUUGUAGCAGUGAGUGCAGUACAUAUGUCUGCUAUUGAAGGUAGUGGAGGAGGUGGCGAUGGCUGAAUGUGGGUUAUUGAAGGUUUCUUGGGUUGUUAUUCGUUUGUUUGUUUUUGUGCUUCGUGAUAUCCCUUUUUCGGUUGUUUUCGUUGGCCAUUUGUAAGAUAUGGUAAAACGUGGUGUCGUUUUGAUGGGGGUGUGUGAAGUGUGAAUCUGAUCUGAGGAGUAAUAAGGGAAGAAGUGUUUUUGGUCAGAAAUUUUCAUUGCUGUUUUCUUUUCUUGAUUGUAAGUGUACCAUUAAUGACAAUUUUUAGCUGAGAAACAUUUCUUUUCUUCAUCAGCUAUGGCUGUAUCAGCUAUCACUCACUGGCCAAACCCUGCUGCUUCUACCCCAAAUCGUUUAGAGCAAAUAAAUUAAAAAUAUAAAAUUUGUUUGUAAAUAAAUUCAGAUUUUUAGAAUGAAUUACUAAAGAUAUGAAAUUUAAUUAAUUUCAGAAAUUUUUUGUAGUUAUAGUUGUAUUUUUAUCUUGUCCACUUCCCUGAAAGUAUAAUUUCCACAUCCUUUCUCUAGGCUUCAUUAACUAUGUCGGUAUCAGCUAUAGUCAGUGGCUAAACUUUGCAGCCACCGGCUGGAGGUAAAAUACCUCAUAGUGCUCCUGCUACCACAACCUGAAUUUUAUUUGUAAAUAAAUUCACACAUUGAGGAUGAUAUUAUCUAUUACUCCUUAUAAUAUUCAAAAUGAUUUAUAUUUUGG
Molecule: long non-coding RNA, 91135 nt
Filed under: Jatropha curcas
Lineage: Eukaryota; Viridiplantae; Streptophyta; Magnoliopsida; Malpighiales; Euphorbiaceae
Description: long non-coding RNA (JCUR_LNC000783)
Rfam family: tRNA (bases 83674-83747)
Source: RNAcentral